This 102781-nucleotide long non-coding RNA is filed under the name Setaria italica (foxtail millet). RNAcentral describes it as "long non-coding RNA (SITA_LNC002469)". Lineage: Eukaryota; Viridiplantae; Streptophyta; Magnoliopsida; Poales; Poaceae. The record is from RNAcentral.
ACGCGAUCUUCUCGUCGCGGAUCGUGUUGCGCAUGUUGUAGGCGUAGUUCUCCAGAGAGUUCUUGGACUCCACCUUCUUCUUGUGCUCCUCGUCCUCCGACUUGUACUUCUCAGCGUCCUGCACCAUCUUCUCGAUCUCCUCCUUGGACAGACGGCCCUUGUCGUUGGUGAUGGUGAUCUUGUUCUUCUGGCCAGUGGUCUUGUCCUCGGCAGAGACGUUCAGGAUGCCGUUGGCAUCGAUGUCGAAGCAGACAGUGAUCUGGGGGACACCACGGGGAGCAGGGGGGAUGCCGGAGAGCUCGAACUUGCCCAGGAGGUUGUUGUCGCGGGUCCUGGUCCUCUCACCCUCGUACACCUGGAUCAGCACACCAGGCUGGUUGUCCGAGUAGGUGGAGAACACCUGCUCCUUCUUGGUGGGGAUGGUUGUGUUCCUCGGGAUCAGCACAGUCAUCACACCUCCGGCAGUCUCCAGACCAAGGGACAGAGGGGUCACAUCCAACAGAAGCAGGUCCUGCACCUUCUCAUUGCCCUCACCGCUCAGGAUGGCAGCCUGGACAGCAGCACCGUAGGCAACAGCCUCAUCAGGGUUGAUGUUCUUGCACAGCUCCUUGCCGUUGAAGAAGUCCUGGAGCAGCUGCUGCACCCUGGGAAUCCUGGUGGAGCCACCGACAAGGACAACAUCGUGCACAGUGCUCUUGUCCAUCUUGGCAUCCCUCAGGCACUUCUCCACAGGCUCCAUGCACUUCCUGAACAGGUCCAUGUUGAGCUCCUCGAACCUGGCGCGGGUGAUGGUGGAGUAGAAGUCAAUGCCCUCGUACAGCGAGUCAAUCUCAAUGGUGGUCUGGGCAGUAGAAGACAGGGUCCUCUUCGCCCUCUCACAGGCGGUCCUCAGCCUCCUGAGAGCCCUCGGGUUGCCAGUGAUGUCCUUCUUGUUCUUCCUCUUGAACUCCUGGACGAAGUGGUUCACCAUCCUGUUGUCAAAGUCCUCACCACCAAGAUGAGUGUCUCCAGCAGUGGCCUUCACCUCAAAGAUACCUUCCUCAAUGGUGAGGAGGGAGACAUCAAAGGUACCACCGCCCAGGUCAAAGAUGAGGACAUUCUUCUCACCAACACUGGUAGCCUUCUUGUCAAGACCAUAGGCAAUAGCAGCAGCAGUUGGCUCAUUGAUGAUACGCAGAACGUUAAGUCCAGCAAUCACCCCAGCAUCCUUGGUGGCCUGCCUCUGUGAGUCGUUGAAGUAGGCAGGAACGGUGACAACAGCGUUCUUGAUGGUGCUGCCAAGGUAAGCUUCAGCGAUCUCACGCAUCUUGAUCAGAACCAUAGAGGAAAUCUCUUCAGCAGCAAACUGCUUCUCCUCACCCUUGUGCUGGACAACAAUCAUGGGCUUCUCACCCGGUCCAGAAAUGACCUUGAAGGGCCAGAGCUUGAUAUCACUCUGGACAGAAGCAUCACUGAACCUCCUGCCGAUGAGACGCUUGGCAUCUGCAUGAGAACAAUUUUGUCAGAGAUUGCAACAUUUCAAAUGCUACAUAAGCAUACAAAUAAAUCACUGUGUACAUAACUGAACCUAACUAAUCAAAUGUAUGCACAUCAGUUUUGCAGUCAACACUACAACAACAUAUUGCAAAGAUCUGACCAAAGAUAUCAUAAUACUAGUAUUAAUGUAAACGGGCAUAUAGUAACUGGAAGCUCAUAAAUGAGUGACCAGUGUCGCAAGAUCCGUUCCCCCUAGUUUUUUGCCACGUUUCGAGACACACAGCCAAAAAAGACUGUGCAUCAGAUACCAAAUGGCAUUGAUUGCAAAAUGUAAAGAAACAAAUAGUAUGUAAUUUAAGAAAAUGUAACUUAGGUUGUGCAAUCUCAGCCGAAAGAUGGUGAUUUUUUUCAUAAUAAUCACAGUGAUUCAUGUAAUGGGAAUAGUUGCAUCACAGAUUGCACAUAAAAAUGAAACUUUUCAACUCAAGUAUUAAAAAAAUAAUAAUGGAAGUAAUAUGGACAAACAAGGAUAUCAGAUGGUAGUGCAUGAUGUGAUCAUCAUAAUGACUGCAGAUAUCUCGUGUGGAUAUGGUAUCAUCAUUUCCCCAUUAAGAUUGAACAGCAAUGUGUGACUACUAUCCUAGUAAACUUUGAGAUGAAUGUCAGACUCACAAGAACAUUUAAAACAGAGAACUUAUUAGGAAAUGUGGUGUUGCAAACCACAUAAGAUGAAUACCCUUUAAAUUUACUGGUCAAUAUUCAAAGAAACUAGGGAAUCAAAAGUUUCUAAUGAAAACAAAAAAUUAAAACAGUGAUGAGAGAUCAGAUGGUAGUGCAUGAUAGUGAUCAUCAUAAUGAAUGCAGAUAUCUCGUGUGGAUAUGAUCUCAUCACUUCUCUCAUUACUGAACCCAAGAGAUUCCAAACAUUAUUCUAAUAAACUUAAUUUUGUUUGACACAAGAGGAAGAAGCAAAAAAAUACUAGCAUAACAUCAAAGGAAAAAAACUGAAAAGUUAAGUAAUGCUUGAACUGCAGAUGUUUCAGAUUGAAAACCACAAAAGCUAUGAUAACAUAGCUUUCCAUCACACUGAAAUCAGUGGAAUAAAGCGCUUGGGGUAAUUGUUUCAUCAUUAAUCUGCCAGCUCAAGAGUUGACAAAUAAAAUAUGCUACUCUUUAAACAACUGAUCAAAUGCUUUUAUAACAAAUCGUCUACAUAAUCACCGAAAUGCAACAAAUCCGAGUCAACACAAUAGGUGGGGGACAAAUCAUUCAGACAAGAAAUAAUCUAAUAAUGAUGCACUGAUAACUGUCAGCUUAUAUCAAGGAAGCAAGCAUAACAGACAAAAACAAAUGCUUUAACAAAGUAUCAGGCUACGUGGUUUAAACUUCGCUUAAGAUAGGAUAUGGCAUAGCCCUUUAAGUAUUAACAGAUCUAACAUAAGAGCAGCAUAGGACAAACAAAUUUCACAAGAUCUACUGUAACAACAGAUUGAAGUGUUGAUGUCAGGUACUAUAAAAAAUUAUGGCAUCUGGCCACACACGACUAGGUGCUACAGACUACGGAUCUCGAUACCAACACAAACUUAAUACAACUAGUAACGGAUCUAAGUCAAAAGGAACUAUGCUAGAUCCAAGCAAAAACUAUAUUGGAUCUGACCAACAGCAUAAACAAACCUAGCACUAACACAGAUCCAGCCAAAGCAGCGACAGAUCGACCAGAUCGAAGUACAAGUCGCGCCAAACAAAACAGAUCUGACGAAGAGCAAGUAGCGAGGGGGAUCGAGGAGGUGCUCACCAAAGACGGUGUUGAUGGGGUUCAUGGCGACCUGGUUCUUGGCGGCAUCUCCGAUGAGGCGCUCGGAAUCGGUGAAGGCGACGUACGAGGGGGUGGUGCGGUUCCCCUGGUCGUUGGCGAUGAUCUCGACGCGGUCGUGCUGCCACACGCCGACACACGAGUAGGUGGUGCCGAGGUCGAUGCCGAUCGCCGGCCCGUCGCCCUUCCCCGCCAUCUCUUCUUCUCACUACCGGCGGUCGCGGAGCUGCAGCGGCUUUGCGAGGGACCGGAGGGUGGGGAAGAUGGGACGCGGAGUUGCGGCGGCGGGUGGAGGACUAGGGUUUCGAGAGGGGGAGAGACGGACGCGGGGGAGGGAGAUUUUAUAGCGGGGCAAGGGCGCGUCAGCGCGUGGGCAGUGGGGUUCUAGAAUGUUCCGGGCCGCGGCGCGGGGAGAUCCGAGCCGUUGAGAUGCGAUCCUGCGGCGAGGGGCGCGUGGCGGUGUCCUUUCCGCGGGCGCCUUUCGGCUGAGCUGGUUCAAACGGCUCUUUUUUCUGAUUGGGUUUCUUUCAGAUGCCCAAAAAGGAAUCUUUGACGGAGGAGGGGUUGGGCUGUGAUCAGAUCUCAGCCCAUAGCACGAGGGCGGCCUUAAUAAAGCACAAAGAGAGAGAGCCCAAACGAAACUCGCAAAAGUCUUGCUUGGGCUGAAACAUGUACCAGUUUCUGGCCUAAUCUGUGUUCAAAUUUCCAACAAAUCCCACCCCCUCAAAAAAAAAAAUCCCACCCUUCCUUCGUGUCUCCUCGAUAUAAUCGAGUAACAGUUAGGAAUUCCGUAUAAUCAAGGCAAGCACAUUGAUAAUGUGCUAUAUACGAUCACAUAGUGCCGUGCCACGUAAGUUUAAGAUGAUUUAACGGACAAUCUCAAUAUAUUACGUUACUCUUAGAGUUGUUACUCUUUAGAGUUGUCUUAUAGGUACUCCACAAUUCCGUAACAUACGCAUAAAAAGGAAGGAAUGACGUGAAAAAAAUCUUCUUGUAAUUUUGAAGUUAUAUUAGCUUAUAAAGUAUAGUUGCUUCACGAAACAAUGGCUUCUCCUCUCAUCUCUCUCUUUGUUCUUAUUACAUGGUCAAAAAUUACAUGGCACCAACUACCACUGCUCACAGCAGUCUAUAGGUGGUACAUUUUUAUGUGACUUUGUUCAAUUUGAUCUAGCUCAACUUCCUAUGCUUUUUCGUGGGUUUGCUUUCUUUAUGUCUAGGGUUUCCAUCUGGUCAUUAAAACUAGCUAGGUCUAGUAUAUAUGCACGCAUUUGUCUAAAUAGUCGUUUAGCCUAUUUACAUACUAUACUCUAUCCAGCGAUUUUCACUUAAUCAUUCUUGUAGCCCGUUUAAAUGGUUGUUUAGCAUGACAAUUGAUUGACUGUUUUCCGUUUGCCAUUUAGGGUAAUACCGAGUAUGCAUCAUCAAACUCGAUAACCCUAUGCACUCAAGGUCAAGCUACUAGAUCUCUAUUGAUUGUGCUGGCAACAAAGAGAAAUUAGACCUAGCUAUAAGAGUCAUACCUCCAAGGUUGCUUGUCUAAACAUGCCGGAAAUUAUAUAUAUCUUCGUGAAGAUACCCGUAAACAUGUUAGUUCCAUUGACCAUAUUGACAUGAAUCAGACAAACCAUAUAUGUACAUAAACUUGGGUCAAUGAGCUUACAUGGGAGAUGUACGGUGGUAUGGCAAAGUCGAUGAUUCAUCAAACUAUAAAACCACCGAUUUCCUUCCUCCCAGGAGAACAAAGCAUAGGACGGGGGUAUUACUCCAGGGUUGUAAAGAGCAUUAGUCCAGUGCAACACAACUUUAAAACCUAUUAGGUCUAUUUAGCACAACCAUUACAACCCAUCAACCUUCCUCUACAGAUAUUAUUCAACAUUUCCUUAUACUUAGAUUCAAAAAUCCGUAAAUUCUAUGUCAACAUUUUGAAUAGGCUAACUCAACAUUUUGAAUAGGCUAACUCAACAUUGCACGAAGAUGAGAUAUGUAUGUGUUGGCGCUAAAAGUCAGCUGAUUGACUCUCAGCGUCGGAUACACGACCCGGGAGAAUCUGCUUAACUCCUGUUCGGGUAAUCGCCCUGGUGCGGUUCGCGCGGCGUGCCAGCCAAUCUAACCUGUUGAUUGGCAAGGAAGAAAACCUGUCAAAUUCCAGGGGCUCCGAUCGGCUAAGGUUCCGAUCUCGAGGAAGCGUAUCAGCGAAUCGGCCGAUUUGCUAUAACAAGGUAAUCGGCUAUGGUACAGCCGACAACUAGGUAACGUUUUAUGAAGAAAAAUACUGAAGUAAACUAGAUAACGCUACAGGAGCAACACUUGAAAUAGAUCUAAUCGGCUAUGCAAAAGUAAUAGAUAAACAAUAAGGAUAAAUAAGCUGAAAGCUCUAAUCUCAAGCUGGAUAACUGGUGAUAAAACUAGAACGACAGAUAAAACCUAGAAUUCUAGUAAAUAUCGAUAACUAGUGAAUAAAUCUAAAUGAAACGACAGCGAUGCGCUCGAAGUUAAAGCUUAGAUAUUACUCGAUAAACGGAACUUACAGAAUCGGCCGGAGAUCGUGUCGAUGCAGCCCUGCCAACCCGUACGAACUCGUGAAAGAGGAAAAAUGUUGGCGAAGUCGCCGACUUGAAAGUAAAGUACGAGAAAAUAGUAGAUUGUUGUAUUGAUUUAAUGUUGUUCUUUACUGAUCUCUAAAGAUGGCUAUUUAUAGCCUGUUACAACCUAUUUCUUAACCGACUAGGAUUCUAUCUCUAAUUUUAAACGAAAACGAAUAUUUACAAGUACAAUUCGUAUCGGAGUUGGUUGUUGUGCUUCUGCGGGUCCAUCCCCCUUUUAUCUUUUCUUUGCGAUUCACUUUAAGCCCACAUUGGCCCAAUUGCUCCAACCUCUUAAUCGGCCGAUUUCUACCAACUCCAUCUGCCAAAACACUGCAGUGCCAAUCGGUCGAUCUCCAACUGUAGCACCAAUCGGCCGAUUCCCAAUCGUGACCUUUUCGACUUGCCGCAUUGGCUAAUCCUUUCCCCCCUUUGAUGCCGAUUCCAUACGUGUCAAAAUCUGGCGUCAACAGUAUGUUUGACUUGCUCCCCCCACCAGUGGCGGAUCCAGAAACGGGCUCCGCCCCAGGCUAACUAAUAUAAGGCUUAAAAUCUUACUAGCCAUGCACUACUAGAUAUAACAUAUUUUUCAAAUAGCACAAAUAAUUAUAUAAUUCUCUAGAUUCCAGUGUUGAACCAAUAGACGCAAAUAAUACAUAGAACAUUGAAGGUAGAAAAGUAUCAAAUUAAGAGUCUUCCAUGAAAAAAAAGAACCAUACAUGUCUUCAUGAAUUAACACCACUUCCACUUGUUUCGACAUCCUCAAUUCUACAUAAAAAGUUUCAACAUCUCAGCCCUAUAUAAAGCAAGAUAACAUUAUGUAUUGAAAUAGACUAAGUAAACAACACGCACCUUGAGCCCUCGUUUGGCAAAUUCAUCUUAAGAUUUCUUAAACCUUGAAAGCGCUUUAGAAUCUCGCUCAAUAUAGCACAUCAUGCUACUAUUCAGCCAAUCAUUCAAAUACUUCCCGCUCAAAUCAAUGAAAUGAAAUAUUCAUUAUCAUUACUUUGCAUAGAAAUAGCAAUUUCAAAAAAAAUUGCAUACCGGAGGGAGCAAUUUGAAUAGGUGAACAGGGGCCGGCCGGCGUGGCCUGGGGGCGCCGGGCAUAGGCCGGGGGGUGGGGCGGCGGGCGGCGGCCUACCGGCGGGGUUGCGGCCGUGCGGGGCCGCAGGUGGUGGCGUGCGCGGGUGGCGGUGCGCAGGCGGCCGGCGGGGGCGCGGGGCGCCGGGGCCGCGGGGGCGCGGGGCGCGGCCGACGGCGAGCAGGGCGGGCGCUGCCUGGCGGCGAGUCUGGCAGGACUGGAGUCGGGGGAGGGCGCACCGCGCACGCGCACUGGGGCCGGCUAGAGGCAGUGCUAGGGUAACGGGGAGUUGCUGGGCCGCCUGAGCGCCUGGGCUAACUUCUCUUCGGGGUGGGCUAAUGGGCCAAAAAGCCUUUUUAUACUAUUUUUAUGAAGAAGUUUUCCACUGCUCUUGGGCCUCGCCCCGGGUUGCAGCUCGGGUAGCCCGGGGCCCAGAUCCGCCCCUGCCCCCCACCUCACCAAGAUUUUUCCACGUGUGAUGCACACUUCAACAUUUUCUUACAACUGAUUCAACAAACCACAAACUUGAUACAACAUUUCAAAUAGACUAAUUCAACAUAUUUUUAUUUAUAGUUGGCUUGGGAGAUGUGUGUUUGUGUAUAGCUGGAUUGCCCCUCUAUCUUAUCUUAGCCGGCCAUAUACUAUAGCACGGAUCUCAAACACAAACACGGGAAGUCAUGUAAAAAAACUUGUGGAAGCGAUAUAGGCCUUGUUUGGUACAACUGUGGGUGAAGCGCUUCUUAAAUUGCACUAAUAUGACAAAAAUCGCUUCUCUGAUAAGCGGAUAUGGUCCAGCUUUUGUGUUUUGGUACAAAUGGGAGCAGUGGAAAGAAGCGCGGUCAGUAGAAGCUAAAAUAAAGCACGUCGUUUAGCUAUUAGUUUCAGUUAACAGGGCCAUAGAUUUCCCGGCAUAGGACUGCAACCCAAAUGUCAAACGGCCCGCAAGGGAUGGCUGGGCCAACACCUCUGGGCCUAAAAAUUGCUUCUUCUUUUUUGCUCGAGUAUUUUCCUUUUAAUUUUUUUAAAAGAUAGUUUUUGUUCUGUUUUGAUGUUUACAUCUCAGAUUAUAUUAAAAAUUUAAGCGUCGAUACAUGCGUAUACACGAACAGUACACUGACACGGUAUACAGACGCACACGUACGAUUCGCGCACGCAUAUGCAAUUAUGCGUGCGUUAUUCCGUUGGCACGUACACGGCCGGACGACGAGGACACGACACGUACGGCAACCGAAGGACCACAACACACCCCCACAAGCUACCAUCCGUCCAUGGAGUGCUCGCCGCGCCAACAAGCUAGGCGACGGCGACGGCGGCGCGGAGGAGCUCCGGCUCGCCGCCGGCCGCAUUAGUAGUAACCAUGGUUUUCGGGCAGAAGAUGACCUUGAGCUCGCCGGGCGCGACGCACCGCUGGUCCACGUCCACCGCGUCGCCGCUCCACGUCAGGGUCUUGGGACACCGCUGCUUGAAGUACCCCCCGGGGGCCGGGUCGCUCCUGCACGCCACCACGCCGCCACCGCCGGCCGCCGUCACGCGCCGCCCCGCCGGGCACCUCGGGUUCAGGUCCUCCGUGCACCCGAGCACGGGGCACGCCGAGCCCGUCGGGAACGCGUGCGGGGUACACCGUCGCCGGCACGUUGAACCCACCCGACAGGCUCACGCCGUACACGGCCACGUCGGCGCGCCAGUACGCGUGCACCUGCAGCUGCACCACCGCGCCGGCAGCUAGCUCCUCCCCCGAGGCGCACCGCGAGGGGCAGGGCGUCUCGACGGCGCACCCCGCGCGCGCCACCACCUGGCCCGACCAGGCGCGGCUAAGCGGAAUGAUGAAGGCGGCGGCGCCGCCCCGUCUGUCGAGGCGCACGGUGUUGCCGGAGAUGGGGGAGGAGCCGUCGUUGGGAAUCACCAUCGGCCAGACGGGGUAGUUGCAGUCGUUGACGAGGGUCAGGUUGGCCUCUCUUGAUGAUUCCGCCGCGGGGACAGCGGCGGCGACGACGACGAGGAUGCCGAGGAGGAGGGGCUUGGCCAUGGCAGAGUUGGUGGGCAGCCUACCAAUUUCUUGGAUUUGGAGCACAAACUAGCUUGUUGGAUGGUGUUGAUGGAGCAAUGAAGUGAACAAGCUCAUUUCAGUAGUGUGUAUAUAUAGGCAAAGUGCCAAAGGUGGUUGCCCUUCUAGUCUAGAGAAGUAGAGAGCUAAGCAAAUUAAAGUGUGCGGGACCUAAAAUCUGUACACACUAACAGUUUUGUGAACUGAGCAUUUAUAAAUCAAUUUAAAUCGGCACAUUUAUAAUGAAUAUAUAUAUAUAGCAAAAUCUAUUGUAAAUUUUCAAUCUAAAUCAAUCUUUAUACAAAGUCAAAGGAGGUUUGACCGAUAGAAAAAUCCUAAAACAACAUACAUUUGUGAUCCGGAGGAAUAAUAUCACUUAAGCAUCAACAUUUUUUUGAGAUGCCAACCGUAUGGUAAAAUGAAUCAAGUUCAAAACCAAUGGGCCACGGUGACCCAAAAGUCCCCAACUGGCCACAUCUCCUUCGUAAAAGUAACCUUGGGUUUUGACACAGAUGACAUAAAUCCGCUUGCUCCAACAGUAUACACAAGUGUGGAUGAUCUUUGUUUCCACGUGUCUGUAUUCGGAAAGUGUGAUACAAACCAAUGGGCCAUGGCAACUCCAAUAAUUGGCGUCCGAGCACGCGGUGGCAUGCACUGCAAGCCAUUUAUCUCGCCUAUAUGUUUAAGAGUACAAAUUGUAUAAUUUUAGCUUGAUCCAGCUUUUAAAAUUAAGGUCCGUUUGGCAGGACGUUUGCACUGGCCAGCUUCUCUACCGGCUUUUGGUAAUGCCAUGCCAAAUAUGUAAAACAAUAAUACCAUUUCCGAUGUGUAUGACUCCCCUAUAUAAAGAAAAAAAACAUGUGCCCCAGUUGUGCGUAUCUAGAGUAUAUUUUCUAUUUAGUGGCUUUUUAACGAAAGAGAAACAGAAAUCUUGGUUUUGAUAAAGGAACGAUGCCACCUAGGCUACUUGUUCUUCGCAAAUAAUUGCCGCUGAAUCCACUUGUUCAUUCUAUAUUGUGGAAUGUGAUCCUAUUGUUCUUAGAGAGGUAAUACAGGUUUAUAUGUUAGUCACCGCACCUUGAUCAAAUUAAUUGUCCAUGGCGCUAGCUAGAGGUUCUGCUUUUGAUAUGCUUUAUUCGCUUCUUGGCUUUGUUGUCACUACUCACUAGUGCUAUCUAUCGGCCAACAGAACGAAAUUCAAAAGCAUACUUCCUCUGAUGAACAGAAAUAGAACAUCGACACUUGAUUCUUUUUUUUUUCAGUAACACUUUGACUAGCUACAUGCCUACAUCUAUAAAAAUAUCUAGUAAUACCAAUCUUAUUCUGUUAAUCACUAUAAUUGUUAGUCUAAUUUUUUUUAAGUAUUGAUAGCCAAAGUAAAAAAGGCUUGAGAAUUGACAAUUUCAGUCUAUUUGAGUAAGAUAUUGAAUGUAAUAACCAAUGAUAUGUCGGCAAAUAGAAAGAUACUCUGGGGAAACAUUGCAGUGUUGAAUUAAUCAACCUAGGACCAUGAUUUGAAAUGACAAGAGUAACGCUGCAGUAAGCCAAUACUAGGUGUCUCUAGUGACCACUUGGUGUUUCUUCAGGUAUACUAUAUUCUUGUAGCGUUCAACGAAAAUUUGCAUAUGAUACUUUGCUUUGUUGUUGACAGAUCAAAAGUCCUUGUUGUAAUGAUACCUGUCGUUACCUGUACUUACAUGCGAACAAUUCACGAAACUAGUCAAAUAUAUUCUAUAGAAACCAAUUAACCAAGGUAUUACAGUACCAUUUUGCGAAAUGUCCAUGUUCAGAGUACACUGUUCACAAGUCCAUUCCUGCAUUGGCAGUCUCCUGUAGAGGAGCCAGUACAAAGGUGUGAUUAGUUACUUGCAUUUGUUUGUAAACAUGGCUUAGCAGAUAAACUUGAAAUAUAGGAUUUUGUCCACACGAUUAAAGCUUUGCUCGCAUACCUGAAAUCUGACAAGCUCUAGAGGAACAUUGGUCGUUGUUUCUUGAUUUUCUUUGUUUUCCUGUCUGCCUCAGUUUGUGUGGGCUCAAAAAAUCCUGGGCCGAUUGUGCUAUCGAGCAUCGUGAGUUGGAUCCGUGGCCCGUGUAAAUUUUCCUUUUAUUUUGAAGACAGUUUUCUUGUAUAAAUCAUAAAUGGGCCUAUGCAACAGCACCAACCAUGUCCUCCCCACCCGCCGGCACGGCCCGAUAGGAUAGGCACGAUCCAGAGACUAUCCAGGCUGCAGGCAGGGCCGUGCCCGACCGAAUGGCCGGUUCAUCCUGGGCUGGAUUAGCUAACUGAACUGGGCUUGUGAGAUGGGUUUGUGCAGGAACAAAGAGCUCCUCUCCUAGAAAAAAGAGGUAGAUUUUAGAGCGUGUUGGACAGCACUCCACUUCAGAAAAAACACUUCCACUCCACUAACUUCAUCCUUUUAUAGUUUCGCUCCACCAACUCUAUAAAAACAUGAGUUGUUGUAUGUAUUUAGGUGAUUGCAGUACUUCAGCUCCAGAAGCAUUUGUUAUGAAUAGUCUAUUUUACCCAGUGCCGGCCCUGAGGGGGGGCAAACGGGGCGGCCGCUCCAGGCCCCCGAUGCUGCUGGGCCCCUCCCCAUAUACGUAUGUACUACUAGUAUUAGGAAUAAUAGUAUAUUUAUUUACUUGACCCAAACACCAAAAGGUCAAGAAGGCAACAGCAAGUCAGCAACACGUGAAGCAAAUAGGCUCAGAGCCUAGCCCAGGAGGCCUCCUACGAAUCUGCUAUGCCCAGCGACGUUACAGGUUCGCAAGCCGCUGCCGUCGUCGCCGCGUGAUAUACUGAUAUAGGUUUUCGUUCCGAGUUUCGACAAUUCGCCGACUGCGGAGUGCGGACUGCAAACGGCCGAGUUUCGCAGAUCACCAGACGCCAGGCCGGACUACGCCAUCGCCUGAUCGCCGGCUGCCUGGGGCCCGGCUUCUGUCAGAUUGUCACCGUCGCCAUCAGUAGGUUCUCUUCAGUCUUCACUUCCUUUUAAUCUCUCAGUUGAGAAUCAAAUUCAUUCGUUAGGGAUUAGGGCGCACUAAUUUUUUUCUUCUAAUUUCAGCAGUAUGAGAAAGUAUGCUUCUGGAAGUGCAAAAAGGAAAAAGAGACAAUGAGUAAAUGAGUUGAAAGAAUCACAAAGAGGGUCUAUAAAUAAAUUUUUUAAGAGUAACACAAGCACUUCAAGAGAUCCAGAUGAAUUGGCCAUAGUUGCUGUGGAUGAGGCAACUAAUGUUACUCCAGAAGAUGUUACAGAAGACAAUGUUGAGAUCAAUCCAGAAGACGAGGGACCCAUAGAAGACAAUGUUGACAUCAACAUGGAUCAGAACAUCACGAGUGAUCAUGAUGAGGACCUAGUUUGUACUAUGGAUAUUUAUGAUCCAAGGAAUUGGGAUAAACUUGACAAUAAAGCAAGGGACAUAUUAGUUGAGAAGGGGCCCAUAAGAGAAGAGAAUAUUGUCUUUCCUAUGGAUGCUAAUUCAAGACAUUUUUCAUAUGAUCAUUACUUCAGAAAAUUGAGCAAUGGAGAGGUACGUGAUAGAAAAUGGUUAGUUUAUUCAAAACACUUGGACAAAUUAUUUUGCUUUUGUUGUAAGCUUUUCAAUUCAAACAAAUGCAAGAGUUCAUUGGGGAAAGAUGGGUUCAAAGAUUGGAGACAUGUUAGUGAUAGGCUGAAGGAACAUGAAAUUAAUGUUGAACAUAUGAUCAAUAUGAAGUCAUGGAAUGAAUUGAGAACUCGGCUAAAAAAACAAGAGACAGUUGACAAAGAGUUACAACAGCAAAUCUCAAAAGAGAAAGAACGCAUAAGGCAAGUAUUAUUAAGAAUAGUUGCUAUUGUGAAAUUUCUUGGUAGGCGUAAUUUGGCUUUUAGAGGAUCCAAUGAGCAACUUUACAAUAAUCUUAAUGGUAAUUUCUUAGCCUGUGUUGAGAUGAUUGCAGAAUUUGAUUUGGUAAUGCAAGACCAUCUUAGACGUAUUCAAAAUAAAGAGAUUCAUUAUCAUUAUCUCAGCCACAAAAUUCAAAAUGAGUUGAUUUCUCUUAUGGCUUCUGAAAUUAUAAAUUCUAUCAUCAAGAUUGUUAAAGAGACCAAAUAUUUCUCUGUUAUCCUUGAUUGUACCCCAGAUAUUAGUCACCAAGAGCAAAUGAGUUUGUUGGUUUGAUGUGUUAAUAUGACUGAUGGUAAAAUUAAAAUAGAGAAGUAUUUUCUUGGUUUCUUGAAGGUAGAAGACACAUCUGGUUCAGGACUUUUUAGUGUAUUGGUUGAUUCCAUCAAGUCUUUUGGUCUUGAUAUUGAUGACAUUAGGGGACAAGGUUAUGAUAAUGGAUCUAAUAUGAAAGGAAAACACAAGGGGGUUCAAAGGCGGUUGCUUGAUAUAAAUCCAAGAACUUUGUAUAUGCCAUGUGCUUGCCAUAGUCUUAACCUCACUAUUUGUGAUAUGGCUAAAUCUUGUAGCAAAGCUGUCACUUUUUUUGGAAUUGUGCAACGGAUAUAUGUAUUAUUUUCUGGUUCUCCCAAAAGAUGGAAAUUUUUGCUUGAUCAUGUUGAUGGUUUAUCUGUGAAAUCUUUGUGCAACACUUGUUGGGAGAGUCGGAUCAAAAGUGUCACAGCAAUUAGAUAUCAAGCACCACAGUUAAGAUUAGCUCUUCUUAAAUUAAGUGAAAAUAGUGAUAUUGAAGCUAAGGAUAGAAGUGAUGCAAAAAAUUUGUAUGAAGUGCUUGGCAGCUUUGAGUUUAUAUUUGGCAUGACAUUUUAUUUGCUGUGAAUAAAGUGAGCAAGAAUUUGCAAUCACCAUCCAUCUCCAUAGAGUCUACGUUACAGCAUAUUGAAGGCAUGAUAAAUUACUUUAAUACCUAUAGAAAUGAAGGGUUUGCUUCUAGUAUGAUCAUUGCCAAAGAAAUUGCAUCUGAAUUGGGUGUGGAGCCAUCAUUUCCAGUAAAGCGCCGUGCUCUCAGAAAGAAGCACUUUGAUGAAAUUGAUUCUAAUGAAGCUAUCUUGCAAGCUGAGAAAGCCUUUGAAGUUGAAUAUUUUUUUAGUUAUGGUUGAUGUGGCAACAAGUUCAUUGAAAAGUAGAUUUCAAGAACUCGAAGCAUUCAGAGAAAUAUUUGGAUUUUAAAUGAGUUCAGCAAACUUGAAGUCAUUGGAUAGUUCUGAACUAAAAGAGUGUUGCACAAUAUUGGCCGCAACUUUCUCUAUGGACGGUAUAUCAGACAUUGAUUUAAAUGAUUUAAUCUCUGAGUUAAGUAUGUUGCAGAUUACUUUGCCAAAUAAACCAAUGUCGGCUAUGGAGAUUUUUGAGUUUGUCACUGAAGUGGAUUGUUAUCCUAAUACUUCCAUUGCUUAUCGUAUCUUAUUUACUAUGCCUGUAACUGUGGCAUCAGUUGAAAGAACCUUCUCAAAAUUGAAAUUGUUGAAGAACCAUUUGAGAUCUACAAUGUCUCAAGAGAGGUUAAAUGGUUUGGCAACAUUAUGCAUUGAGAAGACACUAUGGGAUGAGAUUGAUACUGAUGCCAUCAUCAACAACUUCGAGAAAUGUUAGAAGAAAUUUUUAAGGUAAAUUAAUAUGUAUAAUUAUUUCGUAUCAAUAUUGCUUUUCAAUACAUGUUGAGUGUCAAAAAAUUUAUAUAUACAUGUUAAGAUUUUUUUUAUCAUAUUUAUAAGGGCCCUGAGCUUGGGUUGGGCUCCAGGUCCAAACAAACUCAGGACCGGUACUGAUUUUACCUUUUAUGAAUGGACCAUAUGUAUCUUCACUUUUCUCCUCUUCUUUUCCUCUCUCUUCUCUUUUCAGUUUUGAACAGUGCUAUAUGUUAUAUGUAUCACAAGAAAUGAACACUGCAGCUCAGCCUCAAACAAAGCUUUGGAAUUAAAAUGAACAGCAAAAUUAAAAUAAUGAUAACCGGACAGAGAUCUAGGGUGACGUUUUUGUGUUUUUAGCCCUUUUUGCAAAAGAUUCUCACAAAUAGGCCCCUGGCGGAACCAAUUCCAAAAAUGGACCCUUAGCUUGGCGCCAUCCACGCUGGCGCCAAGCUACAACGUCUCGGCGCCAGCCAUCCUGGCGCCAAGGUCUAUACANNNNNNNNNNNNNNNNNNNNNNNNNNNNNNNNNNNNNNNNNNNNNNNNNNNNNNNNNNNNNNNNNNNNNNNNNNNNNNNNNNNNNNNNNNNNNNNNNNNNNNNNNNNNNNNNNNNNNNNNNNNNNNNNNNNNNNNNNNNNNNNNNNNNNNNNNNNNNNNNNNNNNNNNNNNNNNNNNNNNNNNNNNNNNNNNNNNNNNNNNNNNNNNNNNNNNNNNNNNNNNNNNNNNNNNNNNNNNNNNNNNNNNNNNNNNNNNNNNNNNNNNNNNNNNNNNNNNNNNNNNNNNNNNNNNNNNNNNNNNNNNNNNNNNNNNNNNNNNNNNNNNNNNNNNNNNNNNNNNNNNNNNNNNNNNNNNNNNNNNNNNNNNNNNNNNNNNNNNNNNNNNNNNNNNNNNNNNNNNNNNNNNNNNNNNNNNNNNNNNNNNNNNNNNNNNNNNNNNNNNNNNNNNNNNNNNNNNNNNNNNNNNNNNNNNNNNNNNNNNNNNNNNNNNNNNNNNNNNNNNNNNNNNNNNNNNNNNNNNNNNNNNNNNNNNNNNNNNNNNNNNNNNNNNNNNNNNNNNNNNNNNNNNNNNNNNNNNNNNNNNNNNNNNNNNNNNNNNNNNNNNNNNNNNNNNNNNNNNNNNNNNNNNNNNNNNNNNNNNNNNNNNNNNNNNNNNNNNNNNNNNNNNNNNNNNNNNNNNNNNNNNNNNNNNNNNNNNNNNNNNNNNNNNNNNNNNNNNNNNNNNNNNNNNNNNNNNNNNNNNNNNNNNNNNNNNNNNNNNNNNNNNNNNNNNNNNNNNNNNNNNNNNNNNNNNNNNNNNNNNNNNNNNNNNNNNNNNNNNNNNNNNNNNNNNNNNNNNNNNNNNNNNNNNNNNNNNNNNNNNNNNNNNNNNNNNNNNNNNNNNNNNNNNNNNNNNNNNNNNNNNNNNNNNNNNNNNNNNNNNNNNNNNNNGAAGGAGCCCCACAGGGGGAGUUUGUUGCAUAUCUCCUUAGAAUAAUUAUACUUGUUUAGUUCGAGAUUUGUAGAGGUGCGGGGCUGAUAGCUCGGCGCCAAGAUCUCCGGCGGCAAGCUGGGCGCCAAGAUCCAUUGCGCCAUCCCCCAUCAGGUUCUCAUCCGCGUCAGCCAGUAUGUAUAGACCUUGGUGCCAGGACGGCUGGCGCCGAGGCGUUGUAGCUUGGCGCCAGCGUGGAUGGCGCCAAGCUAAAUUGGUUCCGCCAGGGGCCUAUUUGUGAGAAUCUUCACAAAAAGGGCUAAAAAACAAAAAAGUCGGAGAUCUGGGUGUUAAGCAAAAUCAACAACAAAAGGAUCGGUUGAUCUUGAUUUUCCAUUGCUGCUGCUGCUGCCAGAGAUUGGCAAAUCGUAAUCUGUUGCUACUUGUUGAAUCUGAUUCUAUCUCUGGGAAAUCAAUUGAAGUCUCUGGGGAAAUCAAUUGAAUUGCAGAAGGAAAAAGAAAACAAAACAAAGGCAGAGAAGAAGCGGGCCGCCCGAGGAGGAUGAUGUGCUGCAGCUGCCAAUGCUGGCUCGCUGCUGGAUGCGCUCGCCACCGGCGGCGACAUGGGAUUGACCGCCCGACAUGGGAUUGAUGGCGAGCACGAGCAGAGGCGGGUGCAGGAUCUGGACUAUGGGUAUUCAAAAUUGGAGAUGGCAAGAAAAAAAAAUUUGAUAGAAUAAAUUAUAAUUUUAUAACACAGAAUUAAGUGGUAGCAUCAUUGAUUAAUAAAAUUGAUCACAAAUUAAAAUUGUCCAGCUACUAAUGAUCAACAUAUAAAAGUGGCAACAUGUGAAAUAAAUAGAGGCUAAAACAGCAAAAUGGUAACAAAGAUUACUACUUACAAGCUAUAGGAUAACUUUCCGUUCUGCCAUGCUUUGAAAAUGAGCGAUGAUGUCCUUAUCCUUAGCUUGCAUGAAGAAUUCCCUUUCAAUCAAUGUGACCAAGCAACCAUUCAAAUAUUUCUGCCCCAUCUUACUUCUUCUCUUGUUCUUUAUCAAAUUCAUUAUUGAAAAGACCCUCUCAACACCCGCAGUUGCAACAGGGAGAACAAGCACCAAUUUGAGAAGUUUAUAAACAAUUUCAUACCGAGAAACCUUUCCUUGUUUAACUAGCAUCAUAGACAACUCUGCUAGACUUCUCAAAUUUUUGAAGUUUUCAUCAUUUCUAACAUCAUUGAUAUAGUGGUGCAACUGAAAAUGAAGCUGGUGUAUUUCUUGAAAUUCAAAGUCAUGUGGAUAGAACCCAGCAAGCUUAACCAAGUUCUCAACAUUAAAAGCAGAAAAGGAAUUUGCUGGACUGAAUGAUGCCAUGCAUCUAAGUAGCUCUGUGUUUACCUCAUCAAACCUAUUAUUGAGCUCUUGAACUUGUCUAUCAAUGACACCCAAAAACAUAUCAGCAUGAAACCGGUGAUAAUUAAUGGCACCUCUGUAGAACUGCCUUGAUCUUUGCAUAGGAAUAUACUUCCCAUUCAUGUCAACAACUUUAACAUUGUGCUUCUCACAAAAAGAAGUGACCUUGGUAAGAAAUUCUUGCCAUCUAGAAUCUUGUCUCAAAACAUCCGGUUCUACCUUUGUGAACUCCAGAAGAUCCAUUGCAUUUACAAUAUCUUGCUCCCUCUUUUGCAAAGUAUUGCACAAGUCAUUUGUGUAUCCAAAUAUUUCAUUCAUCAAGUGUAGCAGGAAAACAAACUCAAAGGAUUUAAAUACUGUGAGCAUAGUUUGAGCUCCAUUAGCCUCAGCCCCUUUACUUUCAUUCCCAAUCCUAAAGAGAACUUUCUUGAUUGAAGGAUACAAGAACAUAACAUGCAUUACAGUUCUGUAGUGAGAUCCCCAUCGUGUAUCACCUGGCCUUGCUAAGCCCAUCACUUGAUUCAAUCCUUGCCCGGUUUCAAUUUCACCCAAAUUCAAUGCUUCAAUCAUGUAUUCAGCUUGAGCAAUGCGAAGCAUGCUGAUCUUUUUACAAGACAUCCCUAGAACAUUCAACAAAUAAGCAAGUUGCCCAAAGAACCAAUCACAAAAAGUAUUCUCCUUAGCAACUGCUACAAGUGUUAGUUGAAGUUGAUGGGCGAAGCAAUGAACAUAAUAAGCAGAAGGGGACUCAUCCAUAAUUAGUUUCUUCAAACCAUUAACAUGACCCUUCAUGUUACUAGCUCCAUCAUACCCUUGACCACGUACCUUUGAUAGGGGCAAUUGAUAUUUGAUAAGCAAGGAUUGAAUUGCUUCUUUAAGAGUCAAUGAUGUAGUAUCUUCAACUUGGACAAGACCUAGAAACCGCUCAACUGGUUCUCCUUUUUUUAUUGACAAAACGCAAACAAAGAGCCAAUUGUUCCAGGAGGUAUGCAUCACUUGACUCAUCAGCAAGAAUUGCAAAACACUCAUCACCAAGUUCCUCAAUGAUAAAUUUAGUUGUUUCAUGAGCACAAGCAUCAAUGAGUUGUUUCUGGAUCUUGUGAUCUAUCAUCUGACAGUUUUGUGGUGCAUUCUCUAGUACCACCAGAUUAACCUCUUCAAAGUUUCCUGCUAGCCAUGCUAAAAGUUCCCGAAAAUUCCCCUUGUUGAGUGAAUCCUUUGUUUCAUCAUGACCCCUAAAAGCCAACCCUUGACGCAACAGAAAUCUUAUGCACUUAAGUGACCAUGUCAAGCGAGCUAGAUACUUAGCCUUGAAUUGUGCAGUGUUUGAUGCAACAGAUUCACGGAUUGAUGCCUUAGGUCUCGUGAACAAUCUAUAUUUCUCUUCAGCUUCACUAUGAGCACUAUCGAUAGCACCAACAUGCCUAUGAAUUCUCUUUUUCAUAUUCCAAUUUCUAAACCCUUCAACAACAAAAGCAUCUCCACCAGGAAAUUUGCAGUUAUCUUUGAACAAAUAGCAAACAAAGCAAAAUGCAGCAUCUUUAUCCACACUGUACUCAAUCCACUUAAAUUCAGCAAACCACUUAUGUUGGAAGCGACGCAUACCUCCACAAUCAUGUUGCGGAAAAGCAUCCCUCUUCAUCUUUGGUUGACAUGGCCCCAAUGCAAUGUAUGCCCUUCUAACUGAAUCUUGGUCAUUGACAUCAUAGCUUGAGAUCGGAGCCCUCAAUCCAGGAUCAUGCUCAAUGCCAUAAUCAUUCUUGUCUUCAUCACUAGAAUCAUUUUCUUCCACAGGUAUGGAUUCACCAUCUUCUGUUGUACCGUUCUCUGGAGGCUGGUUGGAUCUCACUGGUUCAUGUGGUACCGUGCUUGUUUCACUACCACUGCCCUUGGAAUAACACUAGUUGCAUUUAGCUUUCAUUGCAAGAUUGAUUAACAUUCUCCGGUUCAGGUUGUCUCUUCUUUGCAGUAGCCCUUGCCAUGAAAAUCCUCAAAUCAGUAGCGGCACUACCCUUCCUCUUCAUAGUUCAAACCUAAAAGUUACACAAUUUCACAUUGAACUAAAUUCAUGAGCAUCCACAUUUUGCAAGUUGAUGUGCUUCCUAAUUUGACAAACAAUUGAAAAUGGCAAAAUGCUCACCUCAAUUUCACAAACAAUCAGGAAUAGCAAUCAGUAGACUUGAUGAAUCACUGGACUCGCGGAGGAAUAGCAAUCAGUUCUGAUAGCAAUAACUGGCAAUCACUGGCUCGGGCGCUCGGCCACCAGUAAAGCGCAGCGCGCUACACUUGCGCCGCUGCGCGCCCGCCGCCGCCGGGCCGUCGUCGGCAGUCGGCACUCGGCCGUCGCCGGCCGCCGGCGUCGCGGCGCCCAACCGCGCGCGCGGCCGCGCGCAGGCCGCAGGGGGCCGGGGCAGGGCGGCAGCCGGCUGUCGGCAGGGCGCAGCCGCGCAGGCCGCCCGGCGCCCGCUGCCCUCCUGGCUCGGUGGCUCCAGUAACCGUCGGGAGCAUCCUAGCAGGCGCGCCGCGCGCGCCCGCCGCCGCCGGCCCGUCGCAGCCGCGGCCCGCGGCGCCUCCGCUCGGCGCCAAUCGCGCGCCGGCCGCAGGGCCUACCGCCGGGCGCCGCUGUCGCCGGACGCCGCCGCCGCCGCCGCCGCCGCCGCCGGACGCCGCUAGGGACCUAGGGUUCGCGCGCCUGGACGUCCCUGUGCCUGUGCUCACGCCUCACGGUGGCCGGUGGGGGUGGGCCGGUGGGGAACUUGGGGUGUGGGCAGAUGCAGGCCGGAUGGGCCGGAUGGGCCAGUUGGGCCAGUCGAGGGAGAGCGAAGUUGGCCUCCGGUGGGCCUUUUCGAGUGAAAUGUGUAUGCUAGCUUUUGUAUUCUUGUUUUUUUCAUACAUACACCUAAAAUACACUAUAUAUAUGAAAUUUUUUUGCAAAAAUAAUGGGUAUUCAAUUGAAUACCAUUGACUCAAAGUGGGCCCGCCACUGAGCACGAGCCCCCCCCCUUCCCCCCGGGCGGGGCGCGAAGGCCGCGGUGGCGAGCCCCGGUGGGCAGGCUGCGAAGGUGGCGGGGAGCACCGGGUGGGCAGCGACGGCAUCCGGGAGCCUAACAGUUACAGGAUCGCAAGUCAUGGUUCAGCGUUGUGGUUGAAAGGAACACUUGCCUACUCUGUCAGAUUGGAUCAAGAGCAUCUAGGUUAGUGUGGAGUCAUAGAUUACAGAGUAAAGAGGUUCGUUUGGUUUCAGCUUCUGCAGAUAUGGCUUGAUUAUGGCAGCAAUGUUGAGUAGUACAAAAUGUUGCUAUUAAGGCAAAUAGCACUCUUUGUGGUUAUCGUUAAGGUUCGCAAUGCCAUCAUGAUUGUGUGUUGGUCCAGAAUCACCCAUUUCAUUAACCCAACUCACCAAAUGAAUAGUAACCGGAGGCUGGAGCAUUGCUUCCAAUUGGCUAACAUGUGUCAGUUUUCUUGUUGCAGUGUUGAGAAUUGAGAUGCUGAUGAACCUGCAGGUGCCGUGGGUUAUUUUUGGGGCACUCCGAACGCAGAACUCCGAUGGGUGAAUCCAAUAAUGUGAGUGCAUUUUGAAUUCUAUGUCUGCUGUUGAAGAGCACAUAAGGUUCAAGAGGAAAUAUGAUAGCCUGUAAUUGUGUUUUGUGGAUUCCAGCUCAAUCUGACCUUGCAUGCAGUUUCUAAUAAAGUCUAAUCUUUGGCGAAAUUGUUAAACCUAGUUUGUUCCUGCUUCUAGACGAUUUUGAUUUUGGUACAAAGAGAAUGGUGCGCGGGAAAAUGGGCGCCAAAAGCUAAAAUAUGGCCCUCUGUGGCGCAGGGAUGCAUGCAUGCGCCCAGCGUGCAUGAAAAAAAAAAAGGAAAAAUGCCCAGUCUGCAUGCGCCCAGCGUCCGUCAUGCGCGCUCCCUGCCGGUCAUGACUCAUGCAACGCCCCAGCCGUGCGCGCUCCUGAACGGGCUCCUGAACGAGGGGCAAAUGGAUCUUUUUAAUAGACACUUAACGUCGUUAGUUAUUGGAAUGGACUGCGGUGUCAUAUUAAGAAUGAAAGUCCGUCAAUCUGGCGCAUGCAUGCAUGCAUGAAGUUGAUUUUUUUUCUAUCUAUUAAUCUCUAUCGGCUUCCUUGCCUUUCCGCAAUCUUCUAUUAUUUUCUACCUUGAAUUUGAUCUAGCUAUUUUUUUACUGCAAAAGAUGAAUUAAACUCAAAAUCCAGCCAAAUAAAUUACAUAUCAGAUCAGGUUUACGGAAUUGAAGGUGUCAAAUUUUGCUAUCAAUAAUUAGUACUAAUCACUAAGCCACCAAAACAAGGUCGAACUACUCAAAAUUUGCUGCCGACUUUUCUCUUUCCUUCAUCAGGUUCUCCAAUGGUCGCCCCUUCAUCUUCUCAAAACAGUCUUUAUUUUUUCCCUCAAGUAAUCCGCCUUCCAAUUAUGAUGCAACUUAUCAAAUUUUCUUCCUGCACUCUCUUCUAUUACUGUUCCGCUGAUCAGGAUAGCAAGCACCCAAUCAUGAUGCGUUCUUUAAUCAAAUCAAAAUACAUUUCAAUUACCUAUAUUUUUUAAAUAUAGAACCUCAUUUUAUAUUUCGCACCAAGGUCUCUAAAUCUUAGGUACGGCCCUGUUUCAGGACUAAGAAAGCAACUAGUCAUUUUUCCGAUAUCAAAUAGUGAAUUUUCUCCUAUUGUUUUUUUUCAGAAUUCACCUCCUCCGGCCAACUACCCGACCACGGUGGCUGGCUGGCUGGCUCAGUUACCUGCGACGAUGGUGUGGAUGCGCCCGGUCUCCCCGUUGGCAGCCGUGGCGUGCCGACGUUCACCAUGGCCGGCUGGCAGAAGACGAACUUGAGCUUGCCAGGUCCAAAGCACCGCUGCAGCACGGGCUCCACAUCGGCAGGCGCGUGGUGCGCGUCAGCAGGCACUGCUCUACGGGUAUGUUUUUUCUCGCCACUAUCUAUUUUUAAAAUAUUUUUUUUCAAAGAUGAUCAGAUCGAGGGUGAUAAUUAUUUUCACCGUUGAUUUCGAAAUCGGUGGUGAUGUACACCGAUCACCGCGGACUGAAAUCCAACGAUCCAAAAAAACCGGUGAUGACAGGUCCUUACGAACCGGGGGUGGUAGUCAAGGUCCAGCUUUAUCCCUCGUACACAUAAGACUUUCCCCGCCUACAUAUAUUAUUUCUAUCUACGACCAGAUUCGAUCAUCACCGAGCCUCAACUCUACCUCGUCCUCCGUCUCGACCGAUAACCAAGACUACUUCACCGCGCUUUUGUUAUCUCCACUGAGUCACAUCAUCAUCCUCUCUUGAUGAUCAUGAUCAGUUGCUCCUAGCUGCACUCUAUGGCUUUGUUUUCUCAUCAAUGUCACUAGGGGCAGACCACAACAGUGCCAUGCCCCCACUCAGAUUUUGAUUCUAGUGAAUUUGGACAACUAUUUGAUGAAGUUACGCAAGCCCGCAUACUAGCACGCACUCUCGUGUUUUAGGCUAGUCUACCCUCGAAUGUUACCAAGGGUGCAAUUCAUGUGAAAACACCUCAAAUGAUUAAAAAAAAAUGAUAUGCGAAUCCAUUAAAAAAUACUUUCAACUUCAUAUAUAAAAAAUCCAAGAGUGGAACGAAGAGGAUUGAGUUUAAAAUGAACUAAUUUCCCCUCCAAUUCCUCUUAUUCCACUUUAAUCCACUACUACCCAAACAAGCUUGUAGGGUUUUCUUUCCUGAAUCUGCACUAACCCAAACUGACUCACCUAAGUAGUCUUCCUCAUAAAAACCCUUUCGUGUAUAAUACAAUAUAUCAUUUGCACGGUUGCUCCACCCUGGGAAGCAAAUUAUGAGUCUUUCUUUCUUUUUUUUUCUAAUCCCUCCAUUUCAAAUUGUAGAUUGUUUUGUCUUUUCUAUAUUUAUAAAUGUUUGUAUGUCUAGCUACAUACAAAUAUCUAAGAACUUAGGAAAAAAAACUAAAACGACCUACGAGGUAGUAUCUUGCAUCGUUACCGCUACUAUUUGCAAAAUAUCUAAUUAAUUAUAUCAUUGCCCUUGCUUUCACUAUAAACUAGCAGGGGCAUCGCGCAAGCAUUUCAGGAAACGGUAGUAAUAAACGGUGCAAAGUGAAGAAUGGGGAGCAAACUCGUAGCUGGGUGUCGAAGCAUGAACAAACCUUUGGUUACUACAGGCUAAGCACGAACGACGACGUCUCCCCCUGUACCCCACAUUUCUCACGAUCAUAGGAGUACUCUUCUACCGCGCUCGUGCUGUGCCGUGCUGCCUGCCUUGGUGCUUGGCUGCUUGCACGCAGGCUUGCCCGUGCUUGACUGCCUCCAGAACACGCAUGAGACACGACACAUGUCACAAACCUCUGCUGGAAACGAGAGAUGGUACAUGAUGCAUGCGUGUGCUCAACGCAUUAUUCACUUGGCACGCCCGGCCGGACACUUGGCAACCAAGCCAACGACAAACUGCCACACCCACUCACACACUCUUACUCCAACAGUAGCGCGCGCUUAAUUACCUCCUUAAUCUACCUUUAUUACGCACUAAUCAGAGGCAUGGCAGGCCACCUCCUCCGGCCAACUACCCGGCCACCGGCUGCAGGGCUAGCUAGUACUCGCUCUAGUUGUCUGCGACGACGGUGCGGAUGCGCCCGGUCUCGCCGGUGGCGGCGGCGUUCACCAUGGCGGGCUGGCAGAAGACGAUCUUGAGCUCGCCGGGGCCAAAGCACCGCUGCGGCACGGGCUCCACGUCCGUCGGCGUGGUGCGCGUCAGCGGGCACCGCUCCUUGAAGUACGGGUACCCGGCGGGGCCCCUGCACGCCACCACCACAGCGCCGCCGCGUCCGACCACGCGCUGCCCGCGGGGGCACCCGGCGUUGAGGUCCGCCGCGCACCCGAGCGCCGGGCACUGGCCGCCGCCGCCCACCUCCUGCGGGCUCACCACGGCCGGCACGUUGAACCCGUCCACCAGGCUCACGCUGUACGCCGCCAGGUCCUGCCCCCCCUCCGCCGCGUGCACCGCCAGCUGCACCACCGUCGCCGGCGGCGCGCCGCCCGUCUCGCAGCGGGACGCGCGCCCCGAGCAGCCGGUGCGCGCCACCACGCGGCCCGCCCAGAAGCUGGGAGGGAAGCGGAAGGAGACCAGCCCGCGGCCGCCGCCGUCGAGGCUGCCCGUGUUGUCGGAGAUGGACGGGAAGCCGGUGUUGGGGGUCACCAGCGGCCACACCGGGUAUGGGCAGAGGUUGUGGAGCGUCAGCGUGGUGGCCGCCGCCGGCGUCGACGACGAGGCCGCCGCGAGAGCGAGGAGGAAGCCGAGGAAGAGAUGCUUGGCCGUGGCGGGCGCCAUGGUGUGUUACUGGUUUCUUGGCUUUUCCUUGGAGUAAAGGCGUUGGCGGAGACUGAAGAGUGAAGAGUGGGAGCAAUGGACAAGCUUGCUAAUUUUAUAGGCAAAAAGGUGGUAAGAAAAAGUGUGGUGGCUGUAAUAAUGUCCUAGUACCUUGCUCCCAAAGGACAAGAGCAAGCAAAAAGAGUCCACAAGUAAUUACAAAACCAUGGGCUGCAUUUGAUUUUCAAUUUUUUAAUGGAACAUUUGAUUUUUCCUUUGAUUUACAGUAUGUUGCUACGAUGCUACUUGCGAAAAGGUGAGCAACAUCGUAGAUAUGACUAGAGCUACUCAAUUUUUCAGGGUUUGCUAUGCGUCAUCCGGUAUGACCAAGGGGGUGUUUGGGAGGAGGGGGCUAAAUUUUAGCCCCCGUCACAUCGAAUGUUUGGACACUAAUUAGGAGUAUUAAACUUAGAUUAAUUACAAAACUAAUUACACAACCCCUAGGCUAAAUCGCGAGACGAAUCUAUUAAGCCUAAUUAGUGCAUGAUUUGACAAUGUGGUGCUACAGUAACCAUUCACUAAUGAUGGAUUAAUUAGGCUCAAUAGAUUCGUCUCGCGAUUUAGCCUAGGGGUUCUGCAAUUAGUUUUGUAAUUAGCUUAUGUUUAGUCCUCUUAAUUAGUAUCCGAACAUCCGAUGUGACAGGGCUAAAGUUUAGCCUCCUCCUUCCAAACAGCCCCCAAGUAACGAGGAUAAUGGAGUUGGUGGAGGCUUUGACCUGCAACAUGCAGAUAUUAAAAAAAAACUUGCAACAUGCAGAUUAAAGCGCGGGGUUCCACAUUUUUUCUUUGUUUUCUUUUCAUUACAAAAUAUUUGGCACAGGCAAACUGACGUCAGUUGAUAAGGUUCCUUACGAUGGAAUCCGUGUCAACAGUGCUGGUAGUUUUCUAAAUUUAUUUUAAGAUUUAAUCAUUGCUAUUUUCUUAGUGAUAGACAACGUGCCAAACUUCGUCUAUAUUAAAGAUGUGCCGAAUCAGUCUCUCGGAUGUGCUCAUAGGGUAUAUAUAUUCAUAAGUUUGAGUGUGUGCGCUUUAUAUGAGCGUCUGCAUCUGUAGUGUGUUUUGUAAAAUAUUUCACACACGUAUCAAAUAGGAUAGCUCACAGAAUAACAAUAAUUGAUCAGCUUUUUAUGAAAGCAAAAGGCCAAAUAAUGAGGAUAAAUCUCGAAGAUCCCUUAGAAGAGUCUUCUAUCUUUAGGCUGACUUUUUCCAACCAAGCUGUACAUAAACUUGAUCUGUGUGUAGAUAUUCAAAUCUGAAGCACAGGGUUGCACCAUUUCAUCCCAUGGAUCAUUUUGGGUGAUUUAUUGGUUUUCAUGAGAAUAUUACCUAGAGGAAGUUAUAUUUUGAGAGUGUGGUUUGCAUGUAUGCAUUACAUGCCAUGUCAUGGCAAUCUAACAGAAUUAUUUUGUUUAUUUAGCACUCACUACUUGCGCAACUAGCUCACAACCAAACUAUGUGUUUUUAGGGAGGGAGGAGGGGAUUGUUAGAUUUUCUUUUUAUUCUUCUAUCCGUGUAUGCUUUAUCCACGUUCUACCCCUACUUUACCAACCUGCACCAAUUGAGCAAGCUGUCUGCACCUAUUGCCAUCGCUUCGUGCCGUCCAUCUUCAUUACUCAACUAGUGCUUGAUAUGCACCACACCCAUUCACUUCUCAUCUAUAUCCCAUCCACCCUACCCUCUGCUACCAGAGCUGGCUGCUCGCCCCGACGACCACGCACCUUUAUCUUGGAUAUGCAUUUAUCGUUCCAGCCAUCAACCGUUGCUAGCCAUCUGUCUAAACUCCCGACACAUACUCAAGCCAGAACCCUAGUGAGUGGAGGGGAGCAAAAUGGAAGAACAGGACCAAGAUCAUGUAAGGGGGUGGGGGUAAGGGUAUUUUAUACCCGGCAACUUACCGAGGUGUAUCCUGAGGUAGUAGAUUGGUUGGUGGGGAUUGUUGGACUUGGAACUCGAAGGUAAAAGUGAGGACACAAGACGUAUUUAUACAGGUUCAGGCCGACAGAGUAGCAUAAUACCCUACGUCCUAUUUGAGGUGUUGUAUAUUGCACCCUGCGCUUGGGUGUUAUUUGGUGUUGAUGAUUUGAUCCUUUGUUGCGGUUCUAUGAGGUCUUGGCCUACCGAUCUAGGGACCCCUGCACUCCUUUAUAUACUCAGGGGAUGGGAUUACUAGUUGGUUAUAAGGUAGGAGUCCUAGUAGGAUUACAUGGUAUGAGUCCUAAUAGGAUUACAGAGGAAUCCUAGUAGGAGUCCAUCUUCUUCCUUCCUUGCGGGUAUUGGGGUCUAUCCUCGACGAGCCCCUGAGGGCUUCAUAGUCGAAUGCAGCAACCUUGAGUACUUUUCAAAUCCUCGCCGAGUAGUUUUGGUGCUCUUCGAGUACUUUGUCUGGCUGAAUCUUCAAAGUUCCUCAAAGCUGCCAUGAGGCUAUGGUGUGCUCAAACCCUUGAUCGUCUUAAUUUUGUAAUCUUCAUCUUUGGAAUGUGAUAUGCAGGCGGGCAGAAGUUGCACUCCAUAUGAAGUAGCCCCCUGAGCUUUAGGUUGAAUCGAAGAAUUAGGCUGAGGGUCAAUAAAAUUUUGAAUCUUCUUCUUUCAUCUUGAAAAAAUCAACUGUUAGGUGUAGCUUAUUAGCCCCCGAGCAUUGGAAUGAUUAAUUAAUCAAUCCGAGGGUCUUUAGUCUUCACACAAGUCAUCAUCCGAGUAGUUUUGCGGCGUCCAGCCCCUAAGCUUAUGUGCCAGGUGAACCGUAGGAGCCACGUCGAGUAGUUAUUGACGCUUAGCCCCGAGUUUGAGAGCUUGUGGAGCUAUCGAAGGUAUUCCGAGCAGUAAUUAGCGUCUAGCCCCCGAGCCUGAGAGCUAGUGGAGCCAUUGUAGGUAUGCUAAGCGUUCUGGAGAGUCGUUGCCGAAACUUGACCUGAAAAAAGAUAUGCAUACAUUAUGUAGCAUAUUUGUAGAAUUUGGAACUACUAAAAUUUAUUUAGUGAUGAAUAUAAUGUAAAUGUUGUGUGUCAUGCUCUUGUUUCGACCAUAUUUCUCCCAAGUAGCUAGCCUAUUACGUUUAGGCUCUCAGUCCCUGUUUAGCCAUUGCCACUGCGUGUGAAAUUUUUAUCUCGUGUACGCGUACUGGCAUUGCUGCUACGGAGAUCUUUGUCUUGCGUCCUAGUGUUUAGGCAUGACAGAAGAUCCGAGGCUAUCACAAAUUAAAGUGUGUUCUGCUCAAGGAUAUUGGCGACCGCUAAUAGAAGACAUUUAAAAUAAGUAGUCGGCAUUGCGACAAAAAGAGAGCGCGAUUGCGCUUAAGAGUUUUCUGCCCUCCGGCGAGUAGAGCGCAUGUUGUGCGCAUAGGAAUUGUGCCUCCUUAGGGUGUAGCCGUUGUGAGCCUCCAGUAUUCAGUGUAUCAAAUAUGUGGUUAUUGCCUACAAAAUUCAAUGUACCUAACCCGUGGCGGUGCGUCCAAAGCUUAGUGCACCAAACCCGUAGCCGUAGCCUCCGUAAUUCAGUGUACCAAGCGUGUGGCUGUCGAUCAACAUGCCCCAGAAAUAUUUGACAAAGUGUAGCCCUGGAGGGUAAUUACCAUCGAGAGGCGUACACAGAUAAGAGUCGGUGCGUUGCCCUGCAUGCGGAAAACAAGCUAGAAAAUAAUUUAAAAAAGUGACUUAGCUUGAUUCUUGAAUGAUUGUCGACGAAGCUGUGUCGAUUGUUGAUGAAGCCAACUAGUCGGAGUCGAUUCCAACUAGUUGUUGAUCACGUGGAACCCUCUCUCGACUAGUUUUCUAGUCGAGAUGAGUAGUCGAAGUAGACCGUCCUCGACUAGUUUUCUAGUCGAGAUGAGUAGUUGAAGUAGUCCGUCCUCGACUAGUUUUCUAGUCGAGACGAGUAGUCAAAGUAGUGACUUGAUCGAUGAGCCGUAUGCGGCAGCCUGCGGCGGAAAUCGACUCGGUCUUCGAUUGGAACGCGGAGCGCAUCAACUCUGUCUUGGCGUAGAUUUGUCUGCUCAGAACUCCGACUCGGUGACUUGCUUCUUGUCGAGUAGAUUGAUCUUGAUGAUGAGGUCCUUCAAGCUCGCCCAAUGAUCUCGACAAUCACCCCUACCUGGCGCGCCAUAUGUCGGUGUUUAAUACCCAGUAACCUACCAAGGGGUAUCCCGAGGUAGUAGAUUGGUUGAUGUGGGUUCGCCGGACCUGGAACUUGAAGGUAAAAGUGAGGAUACAAGACACGAAUUUAUACAGGUUCAGGCUGCCAGAGUAGCGUAAUACCCUACGUCCUGUUUGGGGUGUUGUAUAUUGCGCCCUGCGCUUGGAUGUUGAGGAUUUGGUCCUCUAUUGUGGUUAUAUGAGGUCUUGACCUACCGAUCUAGGGACCUCUGCCCUUCUUUAUAUACUCUUUUUUUUUUGCAAUGUGAUGAUUAAGGUGGCGUUGGAGAUGACCUUAUUAACAAUUUGAAUGGGUUUGGACCUCGUGGAUAAAUAAUAGUACGAGAGAUCAGAAUUCCAUUGCAUCGCUCACUGCUAGUUGAUAUCAUGGAUGCACCGCUGUUAGUUUUUUCUGCGGUAUUGACGGCUACGGCAAACGUGAGGAGACGAGGUUCGGUUCACGUGGAAUGAUCGAUUACUUCGUCCCCGUUUGUUUCUCCAGGACCUCCUAAAAUUUCUGUCACAUCAAAUAUUUAGAUACUAAAUAUUUAGAUACUAAUUAGGAGUAUUAAACAUAAACUAAUUACAAAACCAAUUGCACAGAUGGAGGCUAAUUUACGAGAUGAAUCUAUUAAACCUAAUUAGUUCAUGAUUUGAUAAUGUGGUGAUACAGUAAACAUGUGCUAAUAAUGGAUUAAUUAGGCUUAAUAGAUUCGUCUCGGGAAUUAGCCUCCGUAUGUGUAAUUAAUUUUUAUAGUUAGCUCAUAUUUAGUCUCCCUAGUUAACCUCGAAUAUUUAAGUGAUAUAAAUUUUAGUCCGAACUAAAGAUACAAACACCCCCUUCAUUUACAAACGUGAGGUUGCUGCUACCAAGGACAUGAGGAGACCUUCGGUCUAUGGAGCCAUUGCCACAUGAACCCAAGCAUAGUUGGUAGUUGCUGUUGCUGUGUGUUUGGUGACUCCAAUCGGCGUGCGGGCGUGCUUCACGUGCAACAUUUUUUAUCAGAGGGACAAGUGUGAGGCAUCAUGGCGACUAGUCUUUGCAGAAAUCAUCAGUGCGCCGCGGCCCGCAGCGCGUGCACACGCGUGCCUGCCCUAAAGGUACCUUCAGCAGUCUCUAGGUACUUGUUGCAGAAAUCUCUAAGGAGGAUGACUUGAUUGUGACAGGAGUGGAUAUGCAUGCCAGGAAUCUUGCGCCAUGUUUAGUUCGCUCCAAAAUCUUAACUUUGACACUAUAUAAAAAGAAGAUUCCCCAUCACAUCAAACUUGCGGUACAUGUAUUGAGUACUGAAUGUAGACGAAAUUAAAAACUAAUUGCACAGUUUUGUUGUACUUUGCGAGACGAAUUUUUUGAGUCUAAUUAGUCAAUAUUUGGACAAUAAUUCACAAAUACAAAUGAAACGCUACAGUGUUACUACAGUAAUUUUGGUUGCCCAAAGUUGGGCAAACAAGGCUUUGAAAUCCUACCAACCCAAGUUUUCAUUGUACACGGGACACGGGCCUAGCAAAAGAACGAGUAGUGAGUGUCGAUCUCUCCUUUGGCAAAGUAAAAAAUUGUGGUUAGGUCGAUAGCUACGUUUUACAACCUCAGUCAAAUUAACCUUCACUUUAGUUGUUGGCGGGGCAGCCAUGUCGCCUAGAACAUGGUUUCUUCGCGUCUUGCAACACUUCCAUCGUGGAGUAAGCAUAGCUUUUAAAAAAUAAAUUAGAGUUGCCGAUUAUAUUAAAAAAAAGAUAGAAGUCUAAUUUAGACAAAUAACAAAUGAAAAAACAACGAAAUAAGCGCAUCUCUAUCUAGACCAGGAAUCAGGCAAUUCAUCUAAGGGAGUGGCCUCAAAUGGAUUCACAACGUCAGCAUGCACCUUGAGGAAGGGACUAUGUUCCCUAAUCAUGCUAACUGUUGACGUCGGAUUUUGACACGUGUAUGAAAUCGGCGUUAAAGAAGGAGAAAAGCGGCUAAUACGGCGGCUAGAAGCUAUAGUUGGGAAUCGGCCGAUUAAGCUACAGUGUUUCGGCCGACUAGCAGAGGGAGUUGAUAAAGACUGGCCGAUUGGGAGUCGGGAUGAUUUGGCCGGUACGGGCCUAAGGUGGGCCAAGAUGAAGAUUAGCUAAAGAUGGAGAUUGGCCCGUGGGAAAAUAAUAACCAACUUGGGUACGAGUUGUGUUUGUAAAUAUUUAUUAUCGUUUUAAAUUAGAGAUAGAUCCUAGUCGGUUAGGAAAUUAGUUGUGGCGGGGUAUAAAUAGCUGCCUCGUGAAGCUUGUAAAACAACACAUCAAUCAAUACAACAAAUCUACUUUUUACUCGUACUUUACUUUUAAGUUGGCGACUUCGCCAAAAUACUUUUUCUUUCAUGAGUUCGUACGGGUUGGCAGGGCUGCAUCGACACGAUCUCCGGCUGAUUUUGUAUGUUCCGCUUAUCGAGUAAUAUCUAAGCUUUAACUUCGGGCGCAUCGCUGUUGUUUCGUUUAGAUUUAUUCACCAGUUACCGAUAUCAACUAGAAUCGUAUGUUCUACCUGUUAUUUUAGUUUUUAUCACCAAUUAUCCAGCUUGAGAUACGAACUGUCGGCUUUUAUCACUUUUAUUCUUUGUUAUCACAUAGCCGAUUAGAUCUAUCCCAAGUGUUGCUUCUCUAGCAUUGUUUAGCUUGCUCUAGUAGUUUUCUUUACAAACGCUACACAGUAUCGACUAUUUUAUAGCUGGUCACCUCUACAGUGAAUCGGCCGAUUCGCCAAUACGCUUUUUAAGACAGAUCGGAACUUUAGCCGAUCGAGGCCCCUGGAAUUUAAUAUUUUGUUUCCUUGUCAAUUAACAGGUCAGAUUGACUGGCACGCUGCGUGAACCGCACCAGGGCGAUAACCCGAACAGGAGUUAAGCAGAUUCUCCCGGAUCGUGUGCCCGACGCUGAGGAUCGUCGGCCGAUUUUCAGCGAACACACUUUUGGCACGCCUGGUGGGACAAAACAACAUCCAACAUGUCGAAGGGUGCUGAGGUCUCCGAAGAUAACGUCAUCGAAAUUACUGAAGCAGAUCUCAAGGACGACCAGAAGGAAGAAGUGGCAAGGGCUCUAGAAGAAUACAGGAAGAUGUGCCUGCAAUCCUUUAGUCGUACCAGAAGCGGGGAGACCGUCAAGAAAUCUCCUCUUCCAACUCCCCGCCAUAUCACCGUCGCCGAGGACUCAGGAAAGAUGUCUGAGAUGAUUCAACAGUCCGUGUAUCAGACUAUGAUUGACCAGUCCACGGUGAUGACCAAUACCAUGUACAACGUUGUCAUCAGUUCCUUGGUCAGCAGCGCAGCUCAAGGGUAUUAGGGACCAGCUUAUGCCCCUCCCAUCGUGGCACCAAUCAGAGGAUUCUCAGCGGUGCCAAACGUGUCUCACUCGGCUCCUCAGCGGAUGCAGAUGCAACAUGGAGGCUGCAACACUUCAAUGCCCCUGGGGUACAACGGUGCAUCAUGCUAUCAAUCGCAAGCGCCGUCUCAUUCUACGCCAAUUCCCUCCAUACAACCGCCACUCUCAAACUCGGCACCAUAGGGGGUAGCAGCAACAACCGCCAGUCUAGAUCCAUCAAACAGUUAUGGAAACUCUCCAGUCCAGGCGUUAUUCCAAUCGGCCACUCGGCCGACAGCCCCACAAUACCAGCCAGCCACUUCAGAGAUCAGCGCGGGGGGGGGGGGGGGGGGCAGGCGCCCCAGAACGACUCAGAGUUGUAGCGCCGAUAAUAUUGUACGAUGAAACGACAGAUGCGCUACGUCAGCAGCCAUCGGCCACUCAGCCAACAGCCCAGCCACAAGGUCUGCAGCAUACUCUAGUCUAUCACCCGAUCGUGGCACCGCAAAUCCAACAACACGUACCGAUUCCUUAGCCGGUCGUGUGUUAGCAGUAGGUGGAUUGGGCUGCAAGGAUAGCGGAAGUAAAUCAAGAUCAGUUUGGUUUGAAACCAAAAGUACAGACCUACGCAUACAAGACGCCAUACCCACCUGCUUAUGACCUGUUACCGUUCCCUCAUCGGUACAAAGUCCCCGACUUCACCAAGUUCUCGGGCCUGGAUGACACAUCAACGGUGGAGCACGUGAAUAGAUUCAUCAUCCAGUGCGGGGAAGCCGCUACGCAAGAUGGUCUAAGGGUGCAACUGUUCUCGUUGUCCCUGUCCGGAUCAGCCUUCCAGUGGUUCACUACACUGCCGCCCAACUCCAUUGUUACCUGGGCCAAUUUGGAAAAGCAAUUCCAUAAAUACUUCUAUGCAGAGGUCCAUGAGAUGAAACUGUCAGACCUAACCAUCCUCAAGCAAAGAAGCGAUGAAUCGGUGGCCAGCUAUAUAUAGCGAUUCAGGGAAGUUAGGAACAAGUGCUACACCUUGGUCUUGACUGACACCCAACUGGCUGAUAUCAUCUUCCAGGGACUCCUACCGCACAUCAAAGAGAAGUACGCCUCCUAGGAGUUCGAAAGCUUGAGCCAAAUCAUUCAUCAGCUCUCCGGACAAGAGAUAUGCCCCUUCGACCAAUGAAGGAACUUUCAGAAAAAGGUGGCGUAUGUAGAAGGGUCCGAAUCAGAGGAAGAGGCGGAAAUCAGUCUAGCAGAGUGGGCAAAAGGAAAAAAGCCGAUGUCGUGCCCGUUUGGAAAAAAGGAACGAAAAACAUUCAGCUUCGACACGUCAAAGGCUGACAAAAUUUUUGACUUGCUGCUUCAAGAGGGGCAAAUCAAACUUUUGCCUUACCACACCAUUCCGAUAGCCGAGCAGCUCAAAAAGAUGAAAUAUUGCAAGUGGCACAAUGCCACAUCCCACGACACAAAUGAGUGCAAGAUCUUCCGGCAAUAGAUACAGUCGGCCAUUGAGCAAUGAAGACUCAAGUUCGAGGUUCCAGCGAAACUAGUGAAGCAGAUGAAAAUCGAUCAACACCCUUUCCCCGCCAACAUGGUCAACGUAGAAAGAAACGCACUCCAAACCAAAGUGCUGACGUCAGAAUCGGCCAGAAGGAGUGGCGCUGUGGAUCCUAGAAAUCAGGCCACGAUCGAGGAUGUCAAAGGAAAAGGACGGAUGGAGGACGAAGGUGAAAAUCAGAAAGUCCACGUCGGCCCGUUACUUCCCGAGACUUACUCAGCAAGUAUCAGCGGCAGCGGGAAGAUUCAUGAUGCCGCGAGGAGAUGAUGCGCCGACACGAGGAUCACUGGAGGUGCCCAUUUUUCGUCCGCUGCUGGGAAAAUAACCUUAGAUUACUAUCGGCGGAUAAUUGCCCUAAGUGCAACGGCCAAUAUCGCAGCAGCCGUCCGUUCAAGAGAUUACGCUCCAGAGAUCGAGGACUAGAGCCGAUCAGCAGAAACAGGCACGAGCAAGAAGAUUGGCGUGUUUAAGUGCAUGAUCGGCUAGGGGGCAGAGUUAACCAGCAUAAUCGGCUCGGGGGCAAAACCAAUGCACACAAUCGGUUGGGAAAAUUGGCCGACACCAGAAUAUCAGAUGAGAACCCCCUAGGGCGUGAGCCAGACUGGGAGCAUGCAAAACCACCAAGCAAACCAGUAAACCCCAGAUGGUGCCCGGAUGGUUUGACUAAGUCCCAAAAACGGAGGGUCCGCCAAUGGGAACAGCAGGAAGAAGAACAAAGGCAGGCGGUGAAUAAGAAAGGGGACGGGUCUCGAGUUUGGCGCCCGAGAAGAAAAAUCGGCGAAGAAGACAAUAGUCACGAUUCGGCAGCUGACGUCAGUAUGGUGUUCAUUUUGCCGAUGGAGUUCAUGGCUCCCGCCGAUCGGGACGACGCAACAGAAAUAGAGGAGCAAAUGGCAUAAUUGGCUUUGGAGCCAAUGACAGCCACUUUUGAGAAACCCGAGGAUGAAAAACGCCAGCAUCUCAAGGCUCUGUUCCUCAAAGGACACAUCAAUGGACGACCAGUCGCCAAACUACUAGUGGUUGGAGGCGCUGCGGUCAACAUCAUGCCGUAUGCUAUGUUCCGAAAAUUGGGCAAAGGUGAUGAAGAUCUGACCAAGAGGGACAUGAUGCUCAAGGAUUUCGAAGGCAACGUGUCCUUGGCCCGAGGAGCACUCUGCAUUGACCUCACCAUCAGCAGUAAGACCCUACCCACUACUUUCUUUGUUAUUAAUGGCAAAGGGUCCUAUAACAUGUUGCUCGGGCGAGAUUGGAUCCACGUGAACUGCUGCAUCCCGUCUACAAUGCACUAGUGCCUCGUCCAGUGGGUCGGCGACAACAUCGAGAUAGUCACCGCCGAUUCCGCCUACAGCGUUGUCGCGGCCGACACACAACAGUGGAGCUACGAGCACGUCAGAUGCAUAUCUAGCAGGACUUGGGACACUGAUUUCCUGAAAGUGUCCGAUUUCGGUCUACAGUCGAUCCAAGUAGUCGGCUCUGAAGGAUCAAACUAAAUGGAUCAGUUCGUCCGAGAAGACGGGAAGCUUGGGCACGGAUUUACGUCGGCCGAUUCAUUGGAGAUGGCAGCAAGCCAAGGCCGACGUAUAUUAGUGCUACUCUAGACCCGAGUAUAAGCAUGAAUUAACGAGUUUGUUAAAAUAAUUUAAACAUUGUUUUGCUUGGGAGUACCAUGUGAUGCCUGGUUUAGACCAGUCCAUUGUUGAACACCGGUUUCCUAUAAAACUAGGGUAUCGGCCAUAUCAGCAGCCUGCACGACGGUGUAACCCUAAAAUUCUACCUGAUAUAAAGGCCGAGAUUAUAAGAUUGAUUGAAGUAGGAUUUAUUCAGCAGUGCUGUUAUGCCGAGUGGAUUUCCAAUAUUGUGCCCGUAUACAAGAGAAAUGGGAAACUGUGUGUGUGCAUUGAUUUCAGGAAUCUUAAUCAGGCUACGCCGAUGGAUGGAUACCCAAUGCCGAUGGCCGAUGUUUUAAUAGACGCUGCCACAGGACAUAAAAUCAUCAGCUUCAUGGACGAUAAUGCUGGGUAUAAUCAAAUAUUGAUGGCAGAAGAAGAUAUUUCGAAGACAACCUUCAGAUGUCCGGGCCAUCUUGGUUUGUUUGAGUGGGUGGUGAUGACUUUUGGUUUGAUGAACGCUGGAGCUACAUAUCCGCGGGCUAUGAAUUAUAUAUUCCAUAAGCUUAUUGGUGUCCUGGUGGAGAUCUACAUCGAUGAUGUCGUGGUCAAGUCAAAGGGGCAUCGAGAGCAUCUGGCCGAUUUGCGAAAAGUUUUGGAAUGCAUGAGGAAGCAUGGGUUGAAAAUGAAUCCUAACAAGUGUGCCUUUGGCGUUUCGGCCGGCUAAUUUCUGGGUUUCAUGGUCCACAAGCGCGGCAUCGAAAUCAAGCAGAAGAUUAUAGCUACCAUCAACAAAGUUGUAGCCCCACAAGAAAAAACCGAGCUACAGUCCUUAAUCAGCAAGGUCAACUUCAUCCGAUGGUUCAUAUCUAAUUUGUCCGGGCGUAUUCAAGCUUUCACCCCUUUGUUGAAAUUAAAACCCGAUUAAGAAUUUGCAUGGGGUGAGGAACAACAGAGAGCAUUGGACGACAUUAAACAGUACCUAGUCUCGCCACUAGUAUUAGUUCCGCCAAAGGCCGAUAAGCUAUUCAAAUUAUACCUAUCGGCCGAUGAAUGAGCUAUUGGGUCAGCGCUGGUCUAGAAAUUUGAAAGAAAAGAAAGAGUAAUUUAUUAUGUCAGCAGAAGACUCCUGGACGCUGAAACUAGAUAUCCCCUGGUGGAACGGCUGUGCCUUUAUCUAUAUUUUUCAUGCACUAAACUCAGGCACUACCUGUUAUCAGCAGAGUGCAUAGUCGUAUGCAAAGAUGACGUGGUCAAGUACAUGUUGUCAUUGCCGAUUUUGAAAGGAAGGAUUGGAAAGUGGAUUCUAGCUCUAUCAGAGUUCGACUUGAGGUACGAAUCGGCCAAAGCUGUCAAGGGCCAAGUAAUGGCCGAUUUCAUGGCCUAGCACUAUGGACCAGAAAUUACUGUUGUCGAACCAGCUUCGUGGACACUAUACUUUGAUGGGUCUUCGUGUGGGGCUGGAUCAGGAAUCUGCAUCGUCCUCAUAUCGCCUCGGAGGGCAAGUUAUGAUUUCUCUCUGCCGAUUGAGGCGUCCGCUACUAAUAACCAAGCGGAAUAUCGGGCUGUUCUAAAAGGUAUCCAAUUAUUGAGAGAGGUCAAAACUGACGCAGUGGAAAUUUUUGGGGAUUCCAUGCUCAUUGUAGAUCAAGUAACCGGAAAGUCUGAAUGCAAGGAUGAUAUUUUGAGGAUUUACUAUGAAGAUUGCCUUCAGUUAUUGAAGGAGUUCAAGUUUGCGAUUAUUGAGCAUAUUCCCAGGGAUUACAGCAAAGAAGCUAAUAAGCUUGCCCAACAUGCUUUCGGGUAUCGGCCGAUUCAAGGUGCCAUGACCCUGGAGCUCGCGACUGACGAUUGGAGAAGGGGGAUCGCCGAUUAUUUAAAAGACCCAUCCAAGAAAGUGGACCGACGAGUACAUUUUCAGGCCCCAAACUUGAGGAUGACUUGUUUUACUGGAUGAUUGAUGGAGUGCUACUCAAAUGCCUUGGGAUGGAAGAAGCAAAGGUUCUCAUGGGAGAAAUCCAUGAAGGUGUGUGCGGGGCUCAUCAGUCGUCUCACAAACUGAAGUGGAUGAUCAGGAAUAAUGGUUAUUACUGGCCAACGAUACUUGAGGAUUGCUUCAAGUAUUAUAAGGGAUGCCAGGAUUGUUAGAAAUUCGGCAACGUACAACGUGCACCGGCAUCGGCUAUGAACCCAAUAAUUAAGCCGUGGCCGUUUAGGGGUUGGGGAAUCGACCUCAUCGGACAGAUUUAUCCUCCAUCAAGCAAGGGCCAUAAGUUGAUAUUAGUAGCCACUGACUACUUUACUAAAUGGGUGGAGGCAGUCCCCCUGAAAACCAUGACAUCGGCCGUCAUGGUCGAAUUCUUAAGGGAGCACAUUAUCUAUCGGUUUGGUGUUUCUCAGACCAUUACGACCGAUCAAGGGACGAUGUUUACUUCAGGAGAGUUUGAGGAGUUCACCGCCGAUAUGGGAAUUAAGUUGCUGAAUUCUUCUUCGUAUUACGCUCAAGCUAAUGGUGAGGCCGAAUCAUCCAAUAAAGGGAUAAUCAAGUUGAUCAAGAGGAAGAUAGAGGAGCAAACAAAGAGAUGGCAUGCGACUUAUGAUUAUUCUCUCCUCAUGAAAGGGGAACUCGAUGAUUUGGUGGGUCAGCGACUGAGGGCCUUGAUCAGUAUCGAAGAAAAUAAGAAAAGAGUUGCCAGGUGGUAUGAUAAGAAGGUCAAGGUCAAGCAGUUCUCCCAGGGAGACUUGGUAUGGAAGCUAGUACUACCGAUAGGGUCUAAAGAUCCUAAAUACGGCAAGUCGUCGCCUACUUAGGAAGGGCCGUAUAAAAUCGGCCGAUGUGCGCCGGGAAAUGCGUACAUAUUAGAGACCCUAGAAGGAGAGGAAUUUACAAGAGCUUUAAAUGUAAGAUAUUUGAAGAGAUACUAUCCCAGCAUAUGGGUAGACGCGUAGCCAACAAUAUAUCAUAUCGAGUCAUUACGGCCGAUUCCUAUUGACUCGUGUUUAUAUAGCCGAUGUAGGAAGACAUCGCCUUGAGGACGAAACCUCUGACCAAAUAACUCGAUUUAUUAUUCGGUACAACAAGGGGAUACAUGGCCGACAUGGUACAAGUCGCCCUUAGACCAAAAAGUACCAAUACAUCUAUCAGGUUACAAUAUGAUCAACCGCGUUUCAGUUGGGCUUUGUUUUUAUUGAUUUCUCUUUGGACCUGACCUAUUCCUCUAGAUCCUCCAUGGCAUCUUCAAGAGCCACCUGGCGAGGUAACUGAUGACUCCCUUCGUUUGGCGGCGGAGGUGGUUUCCUUGAGCUGUUGGCUUCAAUGUGGUCCAUGAUCUUCUUAACAUGGGUUGGGAGAUAGUCUUUGAGUUCCUCACGGUGGGCUGCGAUCAAGUCUCUAUCUGCCUGCGUCAGUGGUUCCUCAGAAUGCAUAAUCUCGAUAGCUCGUUCCAAGCCAGGACUGAGCCGAGUCGGCUGGAAAGACCACAGGCAUUCAGUCGUCGAGAGGAAUUGGUUGAGGAACGUGAGAAGGAUCCCAUACCUGAUUGACGGAGGAGGAAGAAGACAUCUUUGCGCCUGGUCGCAGAUCUGAAAAUGGUCGAGCAGAGUAUAGGAGGUUGGAUGAGAUGUGGAUGACCCUGGGGGAAACGUAGAGACCUCAUAUUUAUAGGGGGAAAGAGGUAAGGGGCAAUGCUUAGUAAAGGCAUCUAUUCAAGGCAAACGACCGUUGGGCUAAAAACUGUGAAGGAGAAAUGUUCAAAUUCAUAUUCACACAACGACGGCAAGAGGGGUAUUAAAUGUUUGUGCAGAGGCGUUCGAAGGAUAAUUCAAUGGUCGAUACAUUCAUUCAAGAAGAGUAUUAAUGGCCGCGAUCGCCCGCUGACGGAUGUGAUCUGCUGAGUCCAGAACCUGUUGGUCGUCUUCGGCCGAUCCGGGGACCUCUGGCAUAUUGCGAUGAAGCCGGAUGGCCUCAUGGGCAAGAUUUUGCCUUUCCUAUUUCAAAUCGGCGAUGACGGCUGGAAGAUCAUGAAGCUUCUUCUCUUCAGUGGCAAUGGCUUUCGUCACCUGUUCCAUCUCCUUGGCAAGUUCUUCCCUACGUCGUUUGAGGCGGUCUAUGGUGCCGACAAUAUGUGGAUGAGAGUUUUCAAGUAUGCUGAUUCGGUGAUGUACCUCUUGAGCUCGGUGUUUGUAGGAAUCCUCUUCUUCGCGUGCCUUUGCCAGCUUGGCACGGUCGGCCAUGCGUCGCAGGGCUCUAAACACCGAGAUUUGCAUUGAUUCGAUGUAUGCUGCGGGUGCAAGCGCUUCUUCUGCGUCCUCCGGGACUCAGCCUCUUAUUUCCCUGAAGAUCUACCGAAUCGGCGAGGCGUCUUCCACCAAUCGGCCGAUGUCAUCCUGAAGGAGGACUCGGAUGCUCUGGAGCUUUGCACGUACUUCAUCAGGAAUUGAGCCCAGAGCCACCUGUCGAGAGGCUACCUCUUCAUCAUCAGAGACAGCGACCGCGAACGAAAAGAGGCUGAUUGGGCGUAUCUUGCUCCUGUAAAAGUAAAAGAGGAAGGAAUGGGUUAGCCAAUGAUGGUGAAGAUUGGUUAAAAUUAGAUGCCAAAGGCCCUUACCUGUUGAAAAUGAAUUUCUUCUGAUUGUGUUGGUAGGAUUGCUACCCUUGAUUCAGAAAUUGGCACGGUUGGCUCAUCAGAAGAAGAGGACUCGACGAUUAUCGGCGUUGUACUUGGACCAGCUUCCUGGAGAGUAACAAGAGGAGAGUCUCUGUAAGUUGAAGCAAUAGUUCAAUCUGAUGAUGAAUAUCAGUUACUCUACCUCUACGAGUCAUCCGGCCGAUGACCGUUGGAAAGGUACGAUUGACGCACCCAGAGUGGCCUGCAUCAGAAAUCGGUCAGUUUUCGGUUAAGGAUUAAGAGACUUGAGUAAAAUAAAUAUUCUCUACCUCAGUUGAAAGGACUGCUGGUGGUUCAGUUUUUGCUUGGGGUAUGGCUGAUUGUCGCAAAGUUUGCUGUGGAAUGAUUUGCGCGGCCUGAUAGAAAGUGGAAAUUAAUACUAUAGUAUACUUGGAAAAAUAUGAGGCGUAUAGAGUUACCUGAACAGCUUCUACCAAUAAGGAUGCGGCUGCUGAUCCGGCUUCCGUAGUGGCUUGGGGGUCGACCUCCUGAGCAAUCGGCAGGGUUGGUGCGGUUAAAGACUCGGCUGGUAAUACCGCCGAUUAAUCGGCCGGUUCUAUGUGGGCGCGCACCCGGCGGCUUGUCUUCUUUGAAGAAGAUAUCUUUAGUUUUUGCUUCAAUCGGCCAGUGAUGAUUUCUUCGAUUGACGGGGCCUGAAAGCCGAUGAUUGGAAAUGAAGUAUAUGGGUGGCGAUUUUCUAUUGGCCUGCCACUACGGCUGCGUGUUGGAGGGAUUUGGUUUUCAGACUGUGAGGAAAAGAGGAAAGUUAGUAGUAAUCUUGCAGCGUGAAGGGUACAGUGUCAAAUCAGCCAGAAGCGUUGGUACCUCUGCAUUUGGAUCAAUAUUGGUGAGGUCCAGAUUGUUGCAAUAUGUUGCAGGAGAUGUGCAGAAGAGGUGUUGUUUCCACUCACCCCACCAUAGCUUAAAUUGUUGGACAGCAAAGGGGGCCACCGCCCAGCCGGCUCAGUCAACGGUACUAGAAUGUGGUGUUAAGCUGCACAGCCGAUUGUAUUCAAGUCCUCUAGUGAGUUCCUCCCGAAACUUCAUGCGGCCAGCAAAAUAAAUCUUAAUCGGCAGCUGUCCGAGGCCGAGUUGCCGUGCUGCCACUGAUGGGUUGUUAAAUUCAUAGGUUGGGGAGUCUUUUCCUGAGAAGAAGUUUGCUGGUAGGAUCCCAGGCUUGAUCAAAACAUCCAUAAGCUCAUUGUCGAAGGAAUUGGUGGUUGAAUUAAAGCAGACGGGAUUUUCAAAAAGUGUCUCAGUUCUCUGGUAUGGAUACCAGCUUGUGGUUUCUUUGCUAAAGCCGAUAUAGAAAUAUUUGAAAUACUCGGCUAUCUUGGUGGGGGUAAACUUUCUGCCAGGAAAGGCUGACACCGCCUCACCAAAAGAAUUGCAGCGCCGUCUUACUGUUGGGUUUUCCUCUGAUUCAAUGUUGGGGAACGUCUUGGUUUCAACUCGUUCCCUGGAGACCUUGGUCAUGUAUAAGUUAAGCUAGAGGGUGAUAAACCACCAGGGACCACCAGGGUUCCCAAUUGGCUCUUCGGAUGACAGCUUGACGGCGAUUUGGUGCAUCAUAUGAUAAGCCGAUCCUAGCAGGUGUUUUCCUAAGGGAAUAGUAGAACCUUUUGCUAGGGCCUCGGACAGAGCCUGUGUAUUGGAGGAAGGGCCGAGUGCUUUGCCAUAGAAGAAGUGUUUCUCUAGCCACAUCAUUAGAAAGGCUGUGUACUCUCUGUCGUCGAUAGGUCCGGUCUUCAUAUUUUUAUCAAUAUAGCCUUUCCACCUACCGAUUCCCUUUGUUUCCAGGUGAUGGGUUGGUUUGAUUAGAAAAUCGAAGGGCUUAUCAGGCGAAGAGAUAUCGAGGCCGGUCAACAUCAGAACAUCGGCCAAGGUAAGAGUCAUGGGCCCAUGUCCAAAGAGGAAUGCAUUAAGGGCGUCAGACCAGAAAUAAGAAGCUGCCAUGACCAAGGGUUCAUUCUUCUCCAUUUGAGAUAGAGAUAAGUUUAUGCAUUGGCCGAUUUUUAGUUCAUCCCAGAGAACCCUCUUGGAAUUGGACAUCCUUUGAAACUAUUCCUUCCAGCCAAGGGUUUCGUUGGGCUAUGAUCUGAAAGCGUUUGUCCACUGGCUUAAAUCCAUGGGUGAUUUCUUGAAAGGGAUCCUGUGGGUUUCCAGGUUGAUCAAUUCAGUGGGAUCUAGAUUCCCCAUGGGGCUGAGACCAAUGAGGCCGGGUGCAUCAGAAAAAGUGAUGGUGAUUCGCUGCCUAAGUUCCUAAGGAGAAUACAAAGGGAGAACUAAGAACAGAUCUAAAAAUACAUGAAACGGUGAAAAGGAAAAGUUUCGGGAUAUUUACCUCUGGAAUGAAAGCCAUGGUUGCCGAUGGAGCCGCCAUUGGAGUGGACGGAAUGGGAUGGUCGGAAGAUGAAAGAAAAAUCACCGGAGGGAUGCAGCUGGAAGAUGAAAGGGCGCCGUAAUGCGAUGGGAGAUGAUUCGCCAGGGAGAGAAGGUUUCAGAGUUUGAGAAGAAGAAGCGGCGGAGGAUGCAGGUAUCUAAAGGCGGUUCGAGAUAAGGGUAAAGGCGGGAUUUUUACCGCGCCAUCUACACGAAUUUUGGGAAGAGUGGUUGCCUGUGGGCGCUUGGUUCAAAAAAUUGCAAUCGUCAGAGAGGAGACUACGGAGCGAAAAGGAGUUUUAGCCGCGCUUACUGUUGCAUUUUCUUCGGGGAAGGAGUUAAAAGUUGAAAAGUUUCGGAGCAAAAGUUAUGUUUCACUCCAAAACUGGGGGCCAUGUGUUGAAGCUGGAUUUUGACACGUGUAUGAAAUUGGCAUCAAAGAAGGAGAAAAGCGGCUAGUGCGGCAGCUAGAAGCUACAGUUGGGAAUCGGCCGAUUAUGCUACAGUGUUUCGGCCGACUGGUAGAGGGAGUUGAUAAAGGCUGGCCGAUUGGGAGUCGGGAUGAUUUGGCCGGUAUGGGCCUAAGGUGGGCCAAGAUGAAGAUUAGCUGAAGAUGGAGAUUGGCCCGUGGGAAAAUAAUAACCAACUUGGGUACGAGUUGUGUUUGUAAAUAUUUAUUAUCGUUUUAAAUUAGAGAUAGAUCCUAGUCGGUUAGGAAAUCAGUUGUGGCGGGGUAUAAAUAGCUGCCUCGUGAAGCUUGUAAAACAACACAUCAAUCAAUACAACAAAUCUACUUUUUACUCGUACUUUACUUUUAAGUUGGCGACUUCGCCAAAAUACUUUUUCUUUCAUGAGUUCGUACGGGUUGGCAGGGCUGCAUCGACACGAUCUCCGGCUGAUUCUGUAAGUUCCGCUUACUGAGUAAUAUCUAAGCUUUAACUUCGGGCGCAUCGCUAUUGUUUCGUUUAGAUUUAUUCACCAGUUAUCGAUAUCAACUAGAAUCGUAGGUUCUACCUGUUAUUUUAGUUUUUAUCACCAGUUAUCUAGCUUGAGAUACGAACUAUCGACUUUUAUCACUUUUAUUCUUUGUUAUCACAUAGCCGAUUAGAUCCAUCCCAAGUGUUGCUUCUCUAGCGUUGUUUAGCUUGCUCUAGUAGUUUUCUUUACAAUCGCUACACGGUAUCGGCUGUUUUAUAGCUGGUCACCUCUACAGUGAAUCGGCCGAUUCGCCGAUACGCUUUUUAAGACAGAUCGGAACUUUAGCCGAUCGAGGCUCCUGGAAUUUAAUAUUUUUAUUUCCUUGUCAAUCAACAGGUCAGAUUGACUUGCACGCCGCAAGAACCGCACCAGGGUGAUAACCCGAACAGGAGUUAAGAAGAUUCUCCCGGGUCGUGUGUCCGACGCUGAGGAUCGUUGGUCGAUUUUCAGCGUCAACACUAACCAUCAAGGAAAUUUGGAAAGAUCGCAAUGCACAAGUUUUUGAUCAUAAGGAAUCAACGAACACCCUGAGUUCUAGCAAGAAUUUAGGAGGAAUCAUCACAAUGGAUUAUGGCUGGAGCUAAGCAUCUUGUUACUCUGCUAAGCAGAGCUUUAGUUUUUUUUCCUUUUUCUUUCUUUUUUUCUUUCUAUUCUUGUACAUAUAUUUUUUCCUCAUCUAAAAUUUCCUUCUUUUUAAUAUAAUUAUCAGCUCUCCUACCAGUUCAAUUUAAAGAAAUUAAGUAUAAUGAGUUUCAAUACAAGCACCGGCACACGUUUAUUCCUUUGAGUUUGAUUCCUUAUUAUGCAUAAGUGAAAUGUCAUGACUCAUGAGUGUUAUACCUUGCAAGAAAGGCCAUUCGAGGAAGUUCUUUUCUUUAUUAGUUUUUUAUAUGUUCUUUCUAUGUUACUGAUUAUUAUUAUUUUGGAAUGGAGGCAAUUGCAUUCUAUAUUUGUUUCUUUCAGGUAGAUGGGCCUCUAUGGGCUAGGCUUUCAUCAUGGGCCACAACGCGAACUUAUUGGCACAACAACAUUUCUUGUGGGGCCUGUAGUUUGACCGGUAAAAUCGAUCAUCGGUAUUCUAAAGGUGCAUUUAGUAGAGCUUCCCGAGCUAAUUCUCUAUUGAUUCCAGCAGGAGUUCUGCCAAAUACUUUUUAAGAGAGAAGUAAUUCUCUACUGAAUCUGUGAAGUGAUUCUUUGAAAUGAACUAAGAGGCUGGGAGCUGGAAAAAGUAGCUUCUCCUGAUUCUGUGAAUUGAUUCUCCAUCCUAAUUUUAAGAGUUUAUACUAGAGAAUCAAAGAGAAUCACUUUCAGCCACAGAAUCACUUCUCUUAGAGAAUCAGCUCCCAUAGAGAAUUAGAAUCAGAUGGAACUCUACCAAAUAGACUCUAAACACCAUAUUCCGCUGUGUAUGCAUGUGAAAUAAAUUCAUGGUCAUUACCCAAAAAAAAGAAUCCAUGGAUACUGCGUUUGAUUGUUUCAGAAAACAUAGUAGUUACGUGAGAAGAGUUCCAAAUCGGAUGGUGUCCCUUUCGUCUCCCUCGUCCCUUUCCCUCCCCUCCACCAACCUUGACGCCAUAGCCAACCCCACCAGCCCCACGUCGUUGCUCACCCUGAGACCGGCGGCCACCUCUCCCUCCUCUCUACCAGAGUCAAGAUCUCUCUCCGCGACAGUAGCUGGGCGCAGCAAAGUUCAGCAUUGGUGCCAUGACUCUCCCCCUUUUGGGAAGUCUGGCGGCGGCGCCUCUCCUCUAUCUUUCAAGGAAGUGCUCCUAGCGGCGAUCACCGUGCCACCGAUGGGUUCUUCCUCUCCUCCUUCGGCGAGCCCCCCUUGCGACGCCUCCCCUAGGAUCGUGUUGCGUCCGGCUGACGCCCGUCCGCUGCCCCCGCUGUCUGGCCUGGAUGCGGAUGGCUGGAACACGGUGGUGAGCCGACGGGCGCGCAAAGAGGCCCGCCGCCUUGCGAGCCAUCCUCGUCGCCCUAUCCCGGUUGACCUUCGCGGAAAGUGCUUCAACUGCUUCUCCCCAUGGCACCGCGCAACGUCAUGCAAAUCUAGUCCACGGUGCUUCCGGUGUUGGAAUACUGGUCAUCGCUCCUACAUUUGUCCUGGAUGGCAAUCGUCUUCUCUCACCAGCCCUCAUUCCAGGCUGGUGUGGCGGCAAGUUUCCUCGUCUUCAACACCACCGCCGCCCUCCCAGGUUCCCAUGGCCCCACCGGCUACUACUGCUCCGCUGACUGCUACUGUUGAGGGCGCUGACGCUAGAAGAUGGCGCCGGCGUGCUCGCAAGUGUGGGAGGGGUCGUGGCCGGCCUAGCCAGCACACUGCUGCUAGCCCUAGUGGAACGGAUGGCUCUCCCUCCUUCGCCUCGAGUGAUGAUGAUCGCCUGAUCACCGACGCCGGCCACCUCAAUUGGCCAUGUCGUGUGAUCAGUCGCUCGGUCACCAUGACUCGGAAGGUCGAGGAGCUCGCCGGCCGCGCCCUCGUCAUCUCAGGGAUCGCGGACAAUCUGGGUGAACUUACUGGGGCAAUUGUGCUGGCGGUGGCUCAGAGGUUUUAGAUCGAGGAAAUUCUGCUGUCCUUGCUUUCCUUGGGGCACGCUAGUUUUCUCUCACGGCUUCAAGAAUCCUUAGCGAUGGAAGACCUAUCCCAAUUCCCCCUGGUCGUACGCACGUUACAUGAUGGUCGCGACUCAUGAAGUCCUCGGCGGCAUUAUUACCUGCAGUCGUGGAGGUGGAGCUCAAAGGAAUACCAGCGCACGCAUGGGACGUGGAGAUGGCGACGCAGCUUCUCAAUGACUGCUGCCUUCUCCACAACGUCCAUCCGGUGACGGCCACUCAACGCGAGACUUUCCGUCUCACGACCUGGUGUUCCAAUCCAGACCGCAUUCCCCCAUUGAUUAACAUGGAAAUCCCUAAGGUUGCUAUGCCAGGCUUGGGAGAUCAGUACGUCCAACAUUCUCUCUCUCUUACCCCAUGCAAAUCUCGGUGAGAAUUCUCGAUGGCUCCCCAUCGGUGGACCUACCCAACCCACCCCCUUCUGCAGCUGACAAAGGUCACCGUCAUCAUCACCGCCGUUGGCGAAGACAAUCUGCGGCUUCUCCUACGGCGUCAGCGGUGGAAGGCGGAUUGAUCAUGAUGGCAGGGGUCCACCGUGUCUCCGUGCACACAUGGCUGGGCCCAGCCACCUCGGGGUGCAAUGACAACACCAAACGAGGAGUUGGCAUGGACACCGCGCCGGGUGUGAUGGCCCCUGUGCUUGAUGUCGCUGCGGCGGCGAGCGCCUCGGGUUCCUACCAGCGCAUGAACUCCACAACGGCUGGCGCUGAUCCUGUUCGCCUACCGCUUAAUCAAGAGAUGGAGCAAGCCAAUGAUCGAGAUUUGCCUCAGGGCCACCUUGCCGAUACAGCAAUUCAACCUGACUGCCUAGCUGCAUCUCACGAUGGACAAUGUUUCAGCGCCACUGAAGAUACACCGGGGGGCGACGGGUCCGACUCGGUCCUGGUUCAUAAUCCAACUCAUGUUUGUGUCUCCAGCUCCGGCGACCCCUACGCGACUAGCCAUCCUCGCAGAUCCCUGUGACGGCGACCUUCACCUUCGGCUUGGCGUCACCCGAUCACCUGUGCGUCAAGUCCGUGCCAGCCUUUCCUGUGCGCUUGACUUCGCCUGGUGACCAGGGCAUUGCCCAUCCAUGCAGCCAAGGCUUCAUUCCACCCUCGAGUCCGCUGAGCCUGGUAUCGCAAGAGCUGUCCUAGAGGGUUCUCCCUGACAAUCUCAUCAUCUACUCAAGGACGCCAAGAAGGAAGCAAGAUCCAUCAACACCAUCUCUGGCUACAGAGUUCAUUGAUCAGGUCACUAAGAAAGUGGAUUCGCUUGUACAUGUCCCGACCAUCGCGAAAAGAAGGAAGAAGACCGUCUACCCAAUGAGCUUGCCGUGACGCAGCCGUCGCAUUGCCAAACUUCCCCCCUGAAAUAGAUAAAGCAUCGACAUCAACUGCUUGCAGGAAACUUGGUCUUACUGAUGAUGAGGGCAGGAUUUCUGAUGAGGACCUUGAUUGGUAUGCCAAACUGUAUGAUCACCUCCUAUGUUGUGACCAUGUGGUAGCACUUUCGACCUUGUUUGGUUGGGAUGCACCUCCUGAGGGACAUGUUCGUGCUACUGAUGUCACUAUCACAUUGUACUGAUGGACCAUGCUUUCGGUCAUGAUUAAACUUUCUAUUUUUAUGGAUAGAUCAACCAUCUUGAUUUGGAACGUUCGUGGUCUUAAUGACAAGUCUAGGCGUGAUAAUCUCCGAAAGGUCAUGGAUGAUUCAAAGCUAGUGGUUGUCUGUAUCCAGGAGACCAAGUUAGCACAUAUAUCUGAGAGAGACGUCCUAUCCUUUUUGGGUCAAGACUUCAAUCAGUUUGUAUACCUGCCUGCACAACAGACAAGGGGAGGGAUAUUGGUUGCUUAGCGAGAGGGAUCAUUUGUGGUCGACCAUCACCAUGUUCACCGCCAUUAUGUAUCUGUCUUACUCAGUGGGGGAGGGGGGUGAUGAUCCUCCUUGGUGGCUUACUGGAGUUUAUGGCCCCCAAAGUGAUGCUGACAAGGUUGCCUUCCUUGAUGAACUUCGGGAAGUCCGGGCGAGCUGCCCCAGACCUUGGAUGUUGGUCGGUGAUUUCAACAUGAUAUAUUGCUCUGAAGAUAAGAAUAAUGAGAAUGUCAACCGUGCUAUGAUGGGUAGAUUGCGUCGAUUUGUGAAUGAUUUAGAGUUAAAAGAGAUCCCACUUCUUGGAAGAAGGUACACUUGGUCCAAUGAAAGAGAGUCGCCUACUCUGGUCAAGUUAGAUCGUGUGCUCUGUAACAAAGAUUGGGAGGAUAUUUUUCCCGAGACCCUGCUACAAAGCCAUGCUACAGAGAUGUCAGAUCAUUGCCCCUUGGUGCUAGGCCUUAGAGAAGGAGUUUUGGGGAAGAAACGGUUCCACUUUGAGAGUUUCUGGAACCAACUUCCGGAUUUCCAUGAAACGGUACAACAGUCAUGGGAGGGGCAUGUGAAUUGCUGCUGUCCCCUUGAGAGAAUAUCGAUCAAGCUAAAGCGGCUCACUAGAGCUUUGCAGUCAUGGAACCAAAAAUAGGUUGGCAACAUAAAAGUGCAGCUUGCUCUUGCCCGAGACAUCCUACACCACCUUGAGAUGGCCCAAGAUCACCGAACUCUUUCUUCUGAUGAAAACUGGUUAAGAGGAGAACUUAAACAUCACUGUUUGGUCCAUUCCUCCCUUGAAAGGACAAUCGCCCACCUUAGGUCAUGAGUUAGAUAUUUGAACGAGGGUGAUGCGAACACCUCCUUUUUUCACAAACAAGCCAGUUUCAGAAAACGGAAGAACUUUAUCUCUAAAUUGGUACAGGGGGAUCAUGUGUCCAUAGUCCAGGAGGAUAAACACAAGUGCUAUUCGACUAUUUUGAUGGACUGAUUGGUACAGCUGUGCCCAGAGAAUCCACCUUGGACCUGGCAAUCUUUCAUAGAAUUGGGGUUGAUCUUUCAGUUCUUGACGCGCCAUUUUCUGAGGAGGAUGUUUGGUCGACAAUUAGAUCCCUCUCGGCUGACAGAGCCCCUGGCCCAGACGGCCUUACAGCGAGAUUUUAUAAGUCUUGUUGGCCAAUCAUCAAAGCGGACUUCAUGGAAGCCAUUAUCACUUUACAGUAGGGUGACUCACGAAAAUUAGAACUGCUGAACUCAACAUUUAUAACUCUCAUCCCAAAAAAGGCAGAGGCAUUGGAGGCUAAAGAUUAUAGGCCAAUCAGUCUUUUGCAUAGUUUUGCCAAACUUAUUACCAAAAUGAUGGCGAAUCGUAUUGCUCCUCACCUUGACUCCCUUGUUGCUACAAAUCAGAGUGCUUUUAUUAGGGGCAGGUGUAUACAUGAUAAUUUCAUGUUGGUUCAACAGACUAUCAAUGUACUGCAUCGUCGUAAAGUCUCAAGCCUCUUUUUAAAGCUUGAUAUUUCUAAAGCCUUUAACUCAGUAGCUUGGACAUUUUUUAUGGAGAUUCUCUCAUACUUGGGUUUUGGUCCCAUCUGGUGCAACCUCAUUGCCAAUCUCCUUCACUCAGCUUCUACUCAAGUUAUUCUUAAUGGAGAGCUGGGUGAGUACAUCUUUCACCAGCGAGGUCUUCAGCAGGGAGAUCCUCUAUCCCCUAUGCUCUUUAUCUUGGUUAUGGAUGUCCUAAAUGGUCUCUUCUUGAAAGCUGAAACUGAGGGCCUGUUACAGCCCCUCCACUCCUCUGGACAGCACAUGUCUUUAUAUGCUGAUGAUGUAGCACUCUUUAUUCGGGUGGAAGAAGAUGAUCUGCAGCUCACUAAGAAUUUGCUACAUGUUUUUGGUGUGGCUUCGGGCUUGCAAACCAACUUACAUAAGAGUUGCGUAAUCCCAAUCGAGUGUGAUGGUGAUGUAAUAGAAACUGUUAACAUCACCUUGCAAUGUACAACCUCUUCUUUCCCUACCACAUAUUUGGGCCUACCUAUCUCUGACAGGAAAUUGAGAAGGUGUGACUUAAUGACUUGGUCAAGAAGAUAGCUGACAAGCUCCCAAGGUGGAAAGCUUCUCUCAUGAAUCUAUCUGGUCGAGCGGUGCUAGUCCGGUUCAUCCUCACUGCAAUUCCUAUUUAUUUGCUGAUCGCCAUCAAGGUCCCUAAAUGGUUCAUUAAGGCCAUAGAUAAAAUUAGAAGGGGUUUCUUGUGGAAGGGAAGAAAGGAUGUGAAUGGAGGAUGUUGCUUGGUGGCUUGGGAAAAGGUCAUGAGACCCAUGGAUCUGGGAAGUUUGGGCAUUCAGAAUCUUGAAUCCAUGAGUUGGGCUUUACAAAUGCAAUGGCUAUGGAUUGAGAAGAUCAAACCUGACUGACCAUGGGUUGGUCUUGAAAUACCAGUUCAUUCCAACAGUCGGGCCAUGUUUGCCAUUUCAAUUGCAACUUCUAUUGGUAAUGGGGAGAAUACCUUGUUUUGGACAGAUCGUUGGCUACAUGGCUGCUGCCUGGAAGAGUUAGCACUAGAUGUUUAUAAAUGUGUUCCCUUGAGGGUGCGAAAAAUUAGAACUGUGGCACAAGCGCAAUCUUGGGUAUCAGACAUUAGAGGAGCUCUUAGCUGGCAUAGAGUUCAUGAUUAUCUUCAGCUUUGGGAUGCUUUGUCAAAUGUUAUGCUAAACACUCUGGAAGAUCAACACCAAUGGAGGUUUGAAGCUUCGGGCCAUUUCACUACAAAAGCAGCCUAUAGACCUUUCCUAGUUGGGUCUGUUACCUUUGAACCUUGGAAGAGGCUUUGGAAAGCAUGGGCGCCUGGUAAAUGCAAAACUUUUGUUUGGCUGGCAAUCAGGAACCGAUGUUGGACAUCUAAUCGGCUGCAGAAAAGAAGCUUGCCUCACCCUGACCAAUGCCCCUUUUGUGAUCAGGAGGAGGAGACGGUUCAACACAUCCUCACCACCUGUGUAUUCGCACGACAGUUUUAUUUCUAUAUUCUGAAUCCCUUAAACUUGUCUGAUUUGGUGCCUAGCCGCAGUGCUAAAUCCUUGGCAGAUUGGUGGAGAAGGUCAUGGAAGAAAGUUCAUAAACAGUAUCGAAAGAGCUUUAAUUCCCUUGUCAUUCUGGGAUUAUGGACCCUCUAGAAACAUCGCAAUGCUUGUGUCUUUGAUGGUUCUGCUCCAAAUCUACAUGGAGCUCUUCAGGCCUUCAUAGAUGAAGCACAUUUGUGGUAGGUAGCUGGAGCCAAGGGGCUCACUGCCCUGCACCUAGAAAGGGUGGUGAUCUAGAGUUUAAAACAGGGAUUUAGUCUAGUCAGGUCCUUGUGUGCGUUUUUCUUAAUACGUAAGAGUAGUGCCAAUGGUUUGCAUCCCUCAUCCUGGUCCAAGGUGGGGUGAUGUCCUGUAAUUUGGACCUUAUUCUCUCUUAACCAAAGAUACGCAGCUCUCUUGCGUGUUCGAGAAAAUAGUAGUUACGUUCACAAAAGCAAACACGUGUGGCAACAGACAGAAACACUGAAACACUUGACGCGAUAUACAUUUUACGAUGCAUGGCUCGCAAAGUCACAAGUCACAUCAAUUUCAGCCAUGUAUGACCAAAUCACAAUAGCAUGCAGACAUGAUGAUGACGACACUGACGUCACGGGCAACACCUGCACCGAUGCCUAGGCAGCUCAGCGACAGCUCCCCUUGCUCGCACGCCCGCGUUCCACGCGAAAAAGCGGAUGCGUGGUGUUCAGCCACGGCUCCAGCUAUUUUAAAAAACAUCUUCCUACGGGGAUCACAAUCCUAUUCAACGCAUCCAACCCAUAACCACGUGCAUAUAUUUUACAAAUAGACCAUUGUACUAAAAUUUAUUUCGACACAAAGAAGAGAAAAUUCGAUGGUGCUCGUGGUUUGACAUCAUGGGCACGCAUGGGCGGCUAUGCGAAACAACAACACAUGCACUGAUCGAUCAAAGCUGACAAAGGACACUAAUCAGCUUGAUUAAAGACAGCUCCGUUUUGCUCGCACGCCCGCAUUCCACGCGAAAAAGUGGACGUGUGGCGUUCAGCCACGGCUUCAGCUAUUUUGCAAAAACAUCCUCCGGUUUUAUAGGGAUCGCAACCCAAUUCAACACGUCCAGUCCAACUCAUACAAUAAUCAUGUGCAUAUAUUUUACAAAUAGGUCCUUGUACUAAAAUUUAUUUCAACACGAAGAAGAAAAAUUUCGAUAGUGCUGUCAUUUUUACAGAAACCACCCAAGGCGGUUUUCCGAACACCCCUCCCAUCACCCAAUCGGCCAACACCCCCGUCCCCGCGUGCAGCCCGAACCCUAACCCUCCACUCUCCUCCCCGCUGCCCUCUCUCCCCUUUCUCCUCCUCCCUGCCGGCGCCCUCUCUCGGGCACGUCUAUACGUUGCAAGAAGCGACAAAAAAUAAAUCAUCACCUUAAGCAUUUGAACGGGUGCGCCUGAGGGAUAGUUAAAUCAAUAUCAUGGACCAAUAGGGGAGUAGUAUGGUUAACUAGCACAGCAAAUAGAAUACGGUGCAUGCAUGCAAAACAUGACAAAAUUGAUGAUAGCACUCACAUGCAAAGCAGUUUACAAACAAAAAAAAUCUAUAAAUCUUAAACUGUAUAUCCAAAUUAAAUUCUGAUUACACUUACGAUAAAAUCUUUAAAAUAAGAUCCCACUUGACUAUGUUUUGACAAUAUUUGAAAAAAUUAAUACAUAAUAAUUAGUUACAGUUAUUGCGAACAAAUGAUUAAAUGUGGCAAACAAAUAAUUAUUUUAUGCGAACAAAUAAUUAAACAUGACAACAAAAUAAUAGCACACUGCGAACUAAAAUAAUUAGAAUCACAAACAAUUUAUUGUACAGAACAUCAUAAAAAAUGGAUACCAUGCAACAAAUAAGUACGCAUUGCAGAACAAAGAUAUAUAAAUUUAGAAUAAAUUAUGCGAGUUUACAAAAUAAGAUGUGUACAUUUCGAACAAAUUAUAAGAAUCUAUAGAACAAAUCAACUAUACACGUCGAAUAAAUUAUAUGAACUUACAAAAUAAAAAUGUAUAAAUAAAUUAUACAAACUCAUAGAACAAAAAUUUAUAAAUCUAGAACAAUUUAUAUAAACUUACAUAACAAAAGAGUUGUGCACAUCGAACAAAUUGCAUGAACUCAUAGAAUAAACAAAACAAUUUAGUAUCCAUAGGAAAAUUAAAAUAUAAAAUAAUAUGAAAUAGAUAUAUUGUAAUCACUAAUAAUAAAUUAAAAAAUAAAACUAAAAAGAAGAGAAAAUAAUAUAAUUAUCAAUAGUAAUAAAUAAAACAAAAGAAUAAUGCAAGAUAGGAAUUAGACUAAUAAAUAGGAAAAUGAAAUAUAAGAGACAAAAAAGAAAUAAAAAGGAAUGAGAAAAAAGGGUGUAACCAUAAAAUGGUAAAGAAAAUAAAAGAAGGAGAGAAAGGAAAAGAGAACAUGAAAAAAGGAGAAGGGAUGAAAAUAAAUAAAUAAGAGAGAAGAAAAAAAAUAAAAGAAUAGAUAAAGGAAAAUAAAAAAAUGAGACAAGAAAAAAAAUGAAAACAAAGAAAAAACAAAAAGGAGAAAGGAGAAAAGAGAAAAAGAAAACUUCGUAUUAACAUGGUCUGUAGUUCAACUAAUCACAAAGCAUUGAGCAGUGGAGUGGGUCAUGAUUGUUGUACCAAGCACGUUGCUAGUGCAGUGGUGGUUGAGGAAUCAGUCGGGCUGGGAAAAAAAAGACAGGCCGAACUUCUGGGCCGAAUCUCCCUCCCUGCCGCCCCUCCCGCACUCUCUCUCUCUUAGAUUCGAUACUCAUCUUAACUUUUCUCUUAAAGAUUCGGUGUGGGCCGAGGUGAUGGCGGACCAGGAGAGCUCGCUGGGGCUCCAGUGCCAUGGCUCGCCUGCUGCUCUGCUGCCAACCUAGCGCAAGCGGUGGCCGACCCGCAGGGCCGUCCCGGCAUAAACCGAGGCCCUGUACCGAACUACAAAAGGAGGCCUACGGGGAAGUAAAGUAAUAAAAUAAUAUAUAGUAUAAUAUAUUACAUAGAAAUAUGAUACAUUAAGACCAUACCUAUUUAAUCUUGGUUGCAUAAUCUUUAUCUGAAGAGCAUCAUUCUUUUGGUGUUCCUUGAAAUGAAAUUUUCAAUAAUAAACUUAUAUUCAAUCUUCUCCAAUAUGUCACUCUCAAGUGCUAUCAUGGCCAAAUCAUUUAGUCUUUCUUGUGUCAUUGUAGAACGCAAGUAAGACUUCAGUAGCUUCAAUUUAGAAAAGCUACGUUCUGCUGAUGCAACAGUCACAGAAAUGGUCAAGAAAAUUCUAUAUGCAAUAAUAGCAUUGGGAAAAUAAUCAUGUCGUUUCAGAAACUUUAGAAUCUCAACAGGAUCCAUAUUUUCUUCUGGAAUGAAAUCUUGAAGAAACAUUAACUCCACAUACAGUUCAUUAGCAUCAAUAUCAGAUUUACCAUCUCUUGUAAGGCCCCGCUCAAGACUUUCACAAGAAGAUUUCAAGCUAUUCUUAUCCAAUGGCUUCAAUGUGUUGGAAGUAAAUAAGAAACCAAAAAUAUUCUGGUAACCUUGAUACUGUUCAAAUCUCAUUGUAAGCGAGAAAAUAGCUUGAUCAACGAUAUUUAGAAAAUGUUGAUUCUAAAUGAUUCCUCUGCAGACUGUGUGGAAGCAUUUGUGUCAUCUGGGUUCUCAUCAAAAUGUCUCUUUCUUUUAAUCUCUCGUUUCUUAUGAAACUCUAUACCAAUAUCCAUCUCAAGUGCAAUUCCUUUUGCUAUCUCCAAUGCCUCUAAGAAACCAGUUUCCCUGUACCCUUUGAAGAACGCAAUCAAUCCCUACACUUCCUAAAUAGCAACAUCAAUAAGCAUAUCCUUUGAUUGCAACUGUUUGCUUACUAAAUUAAUGGCAUAUAAUAAUUCAUACCAAAUUACUAUUGCCACUAUAAAUUCAUACUCUCCAAGUUCAUUAUUUGCUAGACCUUAGCCUCACUCCUUGUUUUUAAAUCAUUUUCAAUAUCAGAUACCUGAGAUUAAAAGAAACAACAUAUCAUUAGAUUUAGACAUGGUCAAAUGAAUUACGACAUUAUUAGUAUAGUAUGAAGAUAUUGAAUACCUGAAGUAGAGCCUCCUAGAUAUUUGCACAUUGAAAUCUAAUAGCUUUAACACUUUCAACAUGACUCUCCCAACGUGUAGCUGACAGUGACUUGACAGUCCAUCCUGUUAUGUUAUCUUUCAGAAUAUGCCAUUUCUUAGUGGAAUUAGCAAAUGUUGUGUAGAUGCGCUGGAUAAUCCCAAAAAAUCUUUAGCUCUACCACAAUUCUUGGCCAUGUCACAAAGUGUCAGAUUAAGGCUAUGACAACCACAAGCAGAAUAGAAAGCUCUAGGAUUUACAUCCAAAAUUUUUGUCUUUACCCCUUUGUUGCAUCCUUUCAUAUUUGCCCCAUUAUUAUAGCCUUAUCCUCUCAUGUCAUCAAUAUUAAGAUCAAGUUGCUUUAGCUCAUUCUGUAGCACAUUAAAGAGUCCUUGUCUAGUCGUAUUGUUUACAUCUAAAAAUCCUAGAAAGGAUUCUUCGAUCGAAACAUGACCGGAAGAUGUAUCCACAUAUCUUAUAAUUAAAGACAUUUGUUCUUGGUGACUUGCAUUAGGGGUACAAUCAAGAAUGAUAGAGAAAUACUUUGCACUCUUUAUUUUCAUAAUAAUUUUAGACUUAAUAGCAGAAGCAAGUAUGUGUAUCAACUCAUUCUGAAUCCUAGGACCAAGAUAAUGAACAUGUGUUUCAUCAUGUGUAAUACGAUGAACAUGCUCUUGAAUAACUGGAUCAAAUUCAGCCAACAUCUCUACCAAACCCAAAAAGUUCCCAUUGCUAUCAUCAUAUAGUUUGCUGUUACUACCACGGAAUGCUAGAUUAUGCUUGGCAAGAAAUUUUACAAUGGCAACAAUUCUGAACAGAACUUUUCUCCAGUGGUCCUUUUCUUUCUCAAGUUGUCAUUGAGCAGUUUUAUCAAUAGUUUGAUCCUUUUGUAGUCUACUACGCAGCUCAUACCAAGCGGUCAUAUUUAAAACAUGAUCAACACUUGUCUCAUGCUCUUUAAGUCUAGUACCAAGAUGUGCCCAAUCACUAUACCCCUCAUUUGCCAGAUAACCUUUCUAGUUCCCUUUUGUGAAUAAUUUACAACUGAAGCAAAAUACUCUAUUGAGCUCUUUAGAAUAAACAAGCCAAUCCCUAUUGCAAUGCUCUCCAUUUGAUAGUACUCUAGUAUAGAAUAGUGCAGAAAACCUUCUAGAAUAUCUAUCCCUAGGACCUUUCUGAAUUGAUAAGUCUCUUUUAGGUCCCUUUUCUGCUAAAAUGUCAAUUUGUUUAGAAUCAAGCGAAUCCUAAUACCUAGGAUCAAAUAUAUCAGGUUGAAAAGAAUCAUCAACAUUCUCAACGGGAUUAGUAUCCAAAUUAUUACCAUUAUUAUCCAUUUGCUCAUUUGUUUUGUCAUUAAGAGCUUCCUGUAUCUCAAAAUUAUUUUCAGUCUCUGUUUGCCUAUCUAUAGGAUCACUAUCAGCAUUAUUAUCAAUUGGAUAACUCUGAUCAAUUGUCUAAUUACACUCACGAUUCUUUUCUAAUAAAUCUAUCCAUAGCUCCUUUUUGAGAUUGAGUUAAUUCUUCCAUCCUUUGUUUUUUCUUACGCUUUUGGUGACCUGAUUCAAAUUUUCUAGAUCAGUUUGCAGAAGACAUGGCUUUGAUCUUGGUUCUUGGAACACUAAUCUAGACCAAUUCAUGCACAUGUAUACAAAACAUAAGAAAAUUUUGAUUCACUAAUCCACGUGAAGCAAGAAGUAGAAUAGAUCAAGUAAAUAAAAUUAAUAUUACCUUGUGAGCUUGUCUCGUAGCACUCCCGUCUAGGAACCAGAAGGCCUCACGGAGUCAAGCUCUACAGCUCCACGCCUCCUGCUUCAUCAAGCCUCUAGCGGACGUGCACUUCAUCGAUCGAUGAUGACAAUUACCAAUUAGCAGUAGUAGCGGCUGGGCGGCCAGCACAACUUUGCCCUAGACUAAAGAGACGACGAGAUGCACGAUUGGAAGUCGCGGAGUUGGGGAGACGAGCGAACAAUUAGACAAAUAGACACUACAGUCGCGCGACGGGAAAAGGAGCCUUUGGGCUUCAGCCUUCCUUCUGUGAGUCGGAUGACUAUGAAAAAUAAGUUUAGGCCCAGAAAUUUGGUGGGCAUGAUGGGCUGUAGACCUGGAAAAUGGAGGCCCCUAAAAAAUGGAGGCCCUGUACAGUCGCAUGGAUCGCACACCCCUAGGGAUGGGCCUGGCAUGAUGGGUUGUAGACUUGGAAAAUGGAGGCUCCUAAAAAAUGGAGGCCAUGUACAGUCGCACGGAUCGCACACCCCCAGGGAUGGGCCUGCCGACCCGACGCGGUGGGCGAGCCAAGCUAGCGGGGGCGCAUCGCGGCAUGCCGAUCCUGACUGGUGGUGGCAGAGCAGCGCGGCGAGGCGCUCCUGGCCAGUCACUACGCAAUGGCUCCAGCACGGGGAGUAGCCCCAGCCGGCGUCGAGGCACUCCCAGCCGGCCGUGGCAUGGAGGUCGUGCCCAUGGUGGAGCCACUGCGAUGAGGGACAGGGCGAGCAGAGCUUUGGAGACAGUGUGCUGCGUCGUACAGAGAAGCACACGCCACUGCAAUGAACGGCGUGCUCCACGUGGUGGCUAGAGAUCUCACGGGUGCGGCAAAUUUUGGGCGCCGAUGUAUGUGUAUCUAGGUGAUUCCCUUUCCCCUUCCCUUUCAUCUUUUGUAUUGGACUCCAUUAAUGCGCGACCAGUCGCACACAAGGCAAUCGCACGACUUGUUGUGCAGCAGAGCAAACUAGUAGAUUGCCAGGAGGAGCAAGUCAGGCAUUUUGUCAUCAUGCGGAUCAAUUCACGCAGGAGACACGAAAGGAGUAGGACUGGAAAUAUAGAAGGUGAAAAUGACAUGAAUUUACCUUUUCCGUUUUCUUUGAAUAGUGAUAACUUUCUCACUGAGCGUCCGUUUUCAGAUCCGUUUUCACCCUUAUAUUCCUUACCAUUCUAUCUACAAAACGAGACCCACUUUCCAUAGGUUCUGAAGUAAUUUUGUUUUUAUUGUCAACUUAUGUACAAUGGUAGUAGCAACUUAUGUAGAUCUUUAUCAAUUUGUAUAGAUGUUAUAUGACAACUAUUUAUAUCAUCAUGUUCCAGAGACUAUGUGUCAACUUACUUGUAGUAUUACUUGUAACUUACAUUGAUUACUUUUCUAAUGGUGGAACAUAUCGACUAAAGGUAGAAGGUUUUGUAUGAAAGACACCAACCUAUUAUAAUCAAAUUGUGUUUCGAUUAAAAACAAAGCGUACAAGACCAAGUUGUUGUGUCUCGACAUACAUAUUUUUAGAUACAAUAUAACAGCUUAUGUGUAGGCAAGUGUAUCAAACUUAUAUAGAGAUUAUGUAACAUAUGUCUACUUUUGGUGAGAUAAAUGUGUCACGUUGUGCAAAGAAUUGUAACAACUUGUAUAAAGAAAAUGUGGCAUCUUAUGUAGACACUUCGGUAACUAAGCAAUAUGAGUCUAAUUUUUUUAGCAAUUUAUAUACACAAUUUUCUAAGAGCUUUAUACAUAGGUCGCUACAUACUUAGUACAUAAGUAAUUGCAGUACAUUCAAAUAAGUUGCUAGUACACAAAAAUACUUCAAAACAUAUGCAUCAUAGAUCUUGUUUUGUAGAUCUCGUCGCAGUGGUGAAAAUGGAAUUAAAAAGGGACACUCUAUUAGAAAGUUAUCGUAUUUUUUAAAUGUGACACAUAAAGAAAAAUGCAUAUGGGCCAUAGCAGCCCACCUCCAUGCCGCCAGGCCACAUGGGUCGCGUGCUUAUGCACUGUUGUGACCCCGCGCGUAAUAGCUUUUUUCUUUUUAUUUCCUAUUGUUCAUUCCCAAAAAUCUCAGAUAUCAUGGCGGCUUCCUCUCUUCUGAUUUGACGGCUCCUGCUUCCUGCUGGUCCCGAUGGCCUCUACGCCUCCUCCAUUGCUCUAGGUCGCUGCGGCCGUUGAUGUGGGUGGGGAGAGGAUGGACAAACUCCUAUGCGGAAGGAGGGAGGACUGCUCAUGCCCGUGAGCGUGGCUGCUAGAGGAUCUUGACGCUGGUAACGAAAAGAUCGUUGCUUGAUGUGGGCCUUCAUUGGUAAUGCCUCCUCAUUCCUCGCUCUUCUCACUUAAUUAAGGUAGUGCUCCCCUUCCCCUUCCUCAAGUAUAGCUUCCUGAUCUGGUUUUUUGCCUGAGAUUUGUACGUCCUUGGCUGUGAUUGUGAGCAUAUAAAUCGUAGCUGCUUGCUUUGUAAUGCAUCUACUGCUACCUCAGCUGAUAGCUUGUGUAUAUAUGAGGGUGAUGACAUCGUUAUUAGCUUAAUUGUGAAUAAGCUCUGUGUUACAACUGAUGGUUACUUAUUAACUGCUGAGGAUUUCAGUGUGGUUGAUGAUGAACUCAACGUAAGCUUCAUAGUUCAUAGUUAAUAGCUUGAGUAUUUUAGAAACCUUGACAUAGUUAAUUUGUCGUGGGUACUACAUGGAAAUCUGUACUUUGACCAGGAACAAAAAGGUCUGGUUGUUGGUGCUCUUGUAUUUUGGUUAUUUCUUCAAUCUGAAAUAGCUUACUGAGUAAUGAUUCUGUUUGAUUAUGUUUUUAUGUCCUUUCUAUUUAUGCAGUGACUUGUGCUUCCAUGGGCAACAAUUUGUUGAACCAAAAGGUUAUUGUACAGGCCAAUAUCUUUAAAAGGUAAAUUUGUACCCCUUUGUUUCUUAUUGCAUUACUUUCCAAACCUUUUGGCCACCUGUAGUGACUUUGGAGCUUGCAGUACACCAUCAAUUGAAUGGCCAGCUAAGGUUAUCUUUAAGUGGCAAAUAGAUAGGUCAGUGUUUGAGGAUUCUUUCAAUUGAGCCUGUUUGUCCAAACACCACCUUAGACGUUCAGUGGAAGAAUGGUGAAAGCCUACAAACCGCAGCAUCAUAUCCUAUUUGCAUCGUGGUCCUAUGCUUGUAAAAGUAACCAUCACUACUAUUGCUAUUCCUUUGCUCAAUUGUUUUACAGACUGCAGCAAAUCUGUGUGCUCCUCAGGUGGUGUUUGUAUAUGUUCAAUUGGUGAUUUUUUAAUUUUGCCAUUCGUAAGUGAGCAAGAAAAAUUAGUACACUGGAAAGAGGUUGGCCUCACUGACAUGAUAAUUUUAAUGUUAAUUUAUCAAAUAGACAGUGCACUAAACAAUUUUUACUCUACCAGAUGAGCAUUGUUAAUGUAUAGACUCUUGAGUUUUAUGCAGUCUAAAACUAAACAGUUUUUUGUACCUCUUUAUAUUGAUGACAAAUUUACUUUCAUCAAUUUAUUGGUAUGCAGUAGAAGAAGGUGAUCAUUUUCUGUCCAUUUGAUUUUGGUCUUCGGAAGCUCAUUACAUAUGCCUACAGUGGUGGAGCUGCUGCUUGAAUCGAUGGGAGAUGGAGGAGUUGGCGUGUUGCUGCUUGUGAUUUGUGUGCUCGAGAGGAGCUGCUGCUUGCUUGCAGUGGAGAAAAGAAGCAAUCCUUAGGCGAGGUAUGUAUGUGUACGUUUCUGACUAAAUUGCAAUCCGUAUGUGAUACUUACGCAGGAAGAAUUCCAAAUACUGACUGCAUAGGGUGAUCACUAUGAUUGUUCUAUAUCAGGUUAUGAUAUGGAAUGUGGGGGACAGGAACUGCAUUGGCGUCUUGAUAAGACACACUAUAAGCAUGAAGUCCCUUUCAUGCCAUUCUUCAGAUCCUGGUAAGUGGAGUACUGUGCAGUCUUAAUGACUGAAUCAAUUCAAUUCUGUUUUAACAUUUGUUCAUCAACAAAUCAGAUAUUCGCUUGACUCUCCCAACAGGCUGGAGGUGAGAUAGCUGACUUCAUCAUUGUUCUGAGGAAUACUGAUGCCAUCAGGAUAUUCAGUGGAAAGGCACAUCCAUCUGUUGGUGCUGGUGUUAGUGCUUCUGCUGGCCAUGUCGGACGAGUAGCUGAGGCUGACUUCCGUGCUGGUGAUGGCUAUGCUAGAAAAUGAAAUGAGAUCAGAGAUAGACAACGAAUUCAGAGAUACAUAUUCAGAUUUAAUUUGAUGAAUAGCAAAUUCAUGUUUGUAAAAAAAAUAAUAUUUAGAUCCUGUUCGGCAUGGCUCUAACUCAGGGUGGAGUGGCUCCACUCCAGAACUCCAUGUGGAACCAGAGCGUGCUCCACUCCAAAACUCCAGGUGGAACCAGCUCUGGGUGGAGUUGGAGUGGUCUAGAUGGGAUGUUUGGCUAGAAGAGUGCUCUCAGCUCCAAAAAAGAUCAAUUUUAGUAUGGCUUGCCAUUGUUGCCCCCCAAUUUAGACCCCACUUGUCAUCCUCUCUAUCCCCAUCUUCUUCUUCCUCAGAAGGCGCGGGUAGGGGUGCGGACGGCGAGACCGCGGGGUUCGGGCGGCUGGCGGCAAGGAAGGGGUGUGGACGCACGGGAGGCGUGUCUCAAGGCGGCGGCCUGGUCCAGCGGUGGAGGAGCCCCGCCCAGGCAAGAUGGGGGCGGCGGGCUAGCGGGGCGUGCGCUCGUACCGGCGGGGUGGGCGGACGGUGGGAUGGCGGGCUCCGUAGCGGGGAGAAAAGAAGGCGGGGCAGCGGCGGACGGUGGACGGCGGCGAGGGCAGGCGGCCGGCGGCGGUCGGGAGGGGUAGCAGGAGGGGCCGCUCAGCGGUGCAUUGACAGGCGGCGGGGGAGGAAGACAGGCGCGCGGGAGGGAGUUAUCGGGAGGGGGAGGGGCUCGGGAGAAAAGAAAUGAACCGUUUUUUAACCAGUGGCAUUGGUAGGUAAUGACCCACCAUUCCACGAGGAGGUUCAUAUUCGGUGGUUUUGGAGCUGCAAAAGAGGUGCUCUAAAACUCCAGCCCCAUUUGCACUACAGCUCCGUAGAGUUGGCAGCUCCAUGGAGUUUUGGAGCUAAGGUGUUUUGCUGAAAAAUUGGUUGGAGUUGCUGAAGUUCAGCUCCACAGUAAUGCCAAAUACGUCCUGAGAGUGUUGACUGAUGCACCAUGUCCAAUCCUGAGGGGCAUGUAGUUUGUCGUCUUUCGUUCCUUUCUAUUUAUUUGCAUUUGAUUGUUGAAACGGUAGGACGCGCAUUGGGCGCCAAAUGUUCCAGUGCUUAUAAUAGAUGAUCUUGAGCUCGUCGACAUUGCGGCAGUCGCGGCUCGCCUCGUCUUUCCGGGAGCACCGCCCGUGUCCAGCGCCGCAGCCGACGGUGGGGCAAUGUCCCUCAGCCGGCCACCGUGUGCCGGGUCCGCGUGCGGGGUGACCUCGACGUGGACGGGCUCCAGCUGGGUGAAGCCUGCCUCCUACCACGCGCCGUCAUCGGCGCCGAGGUGGCCUCCAGCCGGCCACCGUGUGCCGGGUCCGCGUGCGGGGUGACCUCGACGUGGAUGGGCUCCAGCUGGGUGAAGCCCGCUUCGUACCACGCGCCGACGUCGGCGCCGAGGUGGAGCUCCGGCGGCGGAGAGCCGCCCCGUCCACGAGCACACCGGGAAGGACUCGUGCGUGCCGUGGCGGGGUCCGCCGACACCGACGAAUUUGUAGAAAACAGUGGCAAAUCACUGUUUGUAGUUCAAAAUGACCCCAUCCUCUUCUACAUAAGACCCCAGUGAUCUUCUAAUCUGGCUUCGCCCCUGGUUCUGCACCGUGAUCUUACGGACCCGCCCGCACGCCGGGACGCCGCCGCGCGCCGUGGCCGGCGAUGCGGCCGCCGCGGCGAGCACGGCCAGGAGCAGUGCCAAGGACAGCUGGCACGAUGCCAUGUAUAGGGUACUCGCUCUUCCUCCUUAGCUUGGGGUUUAGGGUGUGUGGGGUGGGUAUUUGUAGGCUUAAUCAGUGGUGGGUUAAGCUUAGGCAACGUGCUUUAGGAAUGUUGGGUCAUUGGGCGUGGUUAAAAGUUAAAAACCGCCACUAUGGCCUGACCUGAAUGCCUGAUCGAGGAGGGAGUUUGUAAUGUAGCCGGCCUGUUGCAAAUUGGCAAUAAAAGUAAACAAAAAGAAAAAAAAAGAGAGAAAUCAUUACACAUCACUCCGCAUGCUAGCUUAGUAUAAUUUUACGGAGAUCCGAGCAGUGCUGAGAUUCGAGCAGCACGGGCGCCCCUAGGAUACUGUAGCAACGGAUGACAGGUUAAUUAGUUUAAUUACUCCAAAUUGGUGAGCAGUACUUAGACCAAUCUCAGUGGAAGUUUUAUGGAGAGUUUUAUAAGCAUUAAAUUAUAUACCAUAUCAGCAAUUUUACGUCUUUACGAGGAAAAAGAAGGAAGAGUUUCAUCAUAUAUGACAGGAGUUUCAUCCCAUGAAACUUAAUAGGCACAUUUACUUGGUUUCCAGUCUUACUAACUGUGUAAUAAAAUUGUGUACCGAGACUAGGUCUAUGUUAACCUGUUGUUUCCUGCUUGGGGAAUUAAUAUAUAUGUAAUGUUUGCUCGUCGUAAUUGUAUAUACUUACUGCUUGUUCCAAAAACAAUUGGUUUAGUUCUUUUGCUCCAAAGGAUAAAUAUUCUCUUUGGUCUUAAAUUGGUGAUGUGCUGUGUUGUUUUUAUCAUUUCAAUACUUUUUUUAUGUGCUUUAUUAUAUCGCCAAAAGGGCCAUGGUUGUAGGUAGGCCUGGAUGGGCUAUGACGGUUAGCUUAUUCUUAACGGCCCCAUGACAUCAACGACAGAAAUUCCGCGAAAAGCAUCCCGAAGUCUCACUCUCCUUAUUAUGUGGGAAAUAUGAAACGAGCGGAACUCGCGCAUCUUCCGCCAUCAGGGCUCCCCGACGACAUCGCUAAUUGCAAAAAUCAAACUCUCUGCCAACAUGUGGAUAACAGCAGGGGCGAAAACCUUAGCGACGAUCCUUUCUUAGAUGUCUCACGCGGGGGGACCCCUCUGCCUUUUUUCCUGUAUCCUUUUUCCCUAACCGGCUAGCCGGCUGUAACACAUCUUUAUCAAUAAAAAAGGCACAAUCUCGUGCCCUUUUUCCUUUCAAAAUUCUUAACGGCCCCAGAGGCCGUAACCAAACUUUGCCUCUUUCUCUGGGCCUCUGCCGCUGCCUACGCAAUACGCAUGCGAAUCGAUGAAUAUUCUGAGCUUCUUUUGCGAACAUUUUCUGAAAUUUUAUUAACGGAAGAUGCGCCAAGAAAAAAAAAAGGCAUACAUGGACAGACGCAACUAGAACUAAAUUAACGAAAGCAUUGUAAUCGUGGUUAGCUCACAUGGAAAUGGUUUGGACUUUGAUGUUGUCGUGUAGCCGGGCUUUGGUAUGUGGACAGGCUACACGCACAACGUCAGUCGCGUAUACACGCUGCCAAAUUUCAAAGUUUUAAUUUGACUCCAAAAUAUUUGUAUACCAGCUUACGGAGAUCCGAGCAGCAGUGCUGCUGAGCUUGAGCUGCACGGGCACACGGACGCCCCUAGGGUACUGUAUAGCUAGGGUACUGUAGCAGGGGACGAGAAGUUAAUUAGUUUAUGUUAGCUUACAUCUCGUUACUAAUACAUGUGCUUUAUGUUGGCUUAUACUCCCUCCGUCCCGCCAAGAGUGUUCUUUUAGUUUGUUAUAAAUCAAAUUAUCUUAUAUUUGACCAAGUUUAUAUAAAACUAUAUAAAUAUUUUUAUAUCUAACAAGUUUCAUUAGAUGCAUUAUGAGAUAUAUUUUCAUAGCAUACCCAUUUAGUGUUAUAAAUAUUGAUACUUUUCAUUGUAAACUUGAUCAAACUUAAGAUAGUUUGACUUAGGACAAACUUAAAUGGACACUCUUUGUGGGACAGAGGGAGUACAUCUCGUUAUUGGGGAAGUUUUGUUUGUACUUCGUAGUAAUUGCAUAUACACAGUGCUAGAUUAAUUUGUUGGAGUUGUUCCAAAUUCACUCCAGGAUAUAGGCCGGGCUUCGGACACUCCCGACCUCAGGACUCAGGGUCGGGCGAAGCGGAGGCCCGUCGCCGGAGGCUUGGGCCGGAGCGUUCCGCUCAGGAGUCGGACACUCCCGACCCCAGUACUCAGGGUCGGCCGAGGCGGAGCUUCACUCGGGGUCGGGCGAGGCGGAGUUCCACCCUCAAGGGGUCGGGCGCAUCCGACCCCAGGACCCAGGACUCAGGGUCGGUCGAGGCGGAGUUCCACCCUCAAGGGGUCGGGCGCAUCCGACCCCGGGACCAAGGACUCAGGGUCGGGCGAGGCGGAGUUCCACCCUCGCCCGGGACCAAGGGUCGAUACAACAUAUAUAUACCCUUGUUAGGGUUUCGUGGAGACUUGAUUCUCUUGUAAGCCGUCAUAGGCGUGUAACCCUAAACUCUUGAGAUAGUGAGAUUGUUCCUGACUGGUGCCUGUGGUUUUUCCCCUACACAUCGAAGGGGUUUUCCACGUUAAAUCGUGUGUCUCCUCUGUGGUUUGAUUCUUUACUUCAUAUUCCCAUACGUCGUUCGUAACAUAAUUAAACAAGAUGCAAUGUCACUCUAAAGUGCAAGCCAAAUUUGGACCCGUCUUUCGAAUACAGAAUGACCAAAUUGUUAAGCGAUGAUCAAAUAGCAUUUUGUAGAACACUAAGUUGUUCUGGAUGUCUAUUUUUUAAGUUUUGAGAGAUACUCACGACAUGUGCAUUGCAGUACCAAAACUUUCGCAACUAAUUUUAUAAGGAAAAGAAAUUGAUAAAAGGAAAAAAUUCCAUUGUAGACAUCUUAAGGUGCAUAGUAGUUCUAUUCGCGUAUUAAAAUUUUCGUUCAGAUUCUUUGACUCAUGUUAUAAUAAUAACGUCGUAGUCCGACUUGUAAUAAGUUUUGCUUAGCUCAUGUCGCGACAGGCUAGCAUGGUCUCACUAACCUGGUCACCAGAGUUGACAACAAUGCUCGUGAUAGCAAGUGAACUGUAUUUUAAUCUUCAUGAAGCGGAGGGUGAGGACUAAGGAGGGGCAUAUGUUCCCUACUUAACUAUGUCUAGUUUUUUCCUAUGUUUGUAUUCCGUACUCAUAUGAGUAGGGUUGUGUGUGUAUUUGUAGGGACUAGUGUGCGUGCGUGUAUGUGAAUACUUGCGCUUGUACUGUCUAUUUUGCAAAAGAAUCUUACCAUAUGGCUCUUCAUUAAUCUAGAGAGAGUAGUUCUCGAGCUUCCAUCACAACUUUUCUCUACAGAGCAUACAAGAAAAGAAACUAACUAUAAAUAAAUGUACACACAAGUUACAACCCAUAUAAAUUAGGAAAACACAACAAAGUUAGCACUUAACCUUGUCCACUCUAUUGAUAAAAAAAACUUGUUUUCAGCAGUCGCACCAUUGAAGCCGCCUGUUGCAUGUACCGAAACUCAAUAGCAUGGUCUGAAUAUGUGCAUUAUAUCUCUAUAUAAAUGAUUUGGCAACGCUCCUGCAGGUAUUUUUUUGAAAAAAUCUCUAUAGAUUACAACUACAUUUAGCUUAACUUUCCAAAUGAUUUGAUUGGCACUGGAUGAUCCUAAUGUGGUGAUCAUUGUAUUCAUCACAGACUCCCACCGUAUUAAACCAACGAAAUAACCUGGAGUGAUAAUAGUACCGAAUACAAACAAGGAAAUAACCUAGACAAAGUUGAGCAGGGACAUAUGCCCUUCCUCAAUCCUCACCCUUUGCUUCAUCAGGCUAAACAUAUGAAAUUAUAGGGGGUGCCAUCUAGUACUUUGGUAUUUUUUUUCAAAAACCGAGUCAUCUCAUGAACCAAACCAUACGUCCAUACGUCGUAGCGUGCACUGUGGUUUUUAAAAGCCCUUGCUAGACCUACAAAGGGUGAAAACGGUAGCGUUGUCUCAUGCCGAUAUGCCUUAUGGUCGUUUGGGGGAGAAAACAGUACGAAUAGGGGAUUGUAGCGAGGAUUGAGUGAGGCAAAUCGGACUUUUCUUUUUCUGAUGAACUAUUUUCCACUUGGGUGUGCCUCUCUUCUCUUUGAUGAAGAUGGGCCGUGGCCCGUGGGGUUAUAGGGCAAUAGAGGCAUGGCGUGUGGGGCCUCUUGGAGCUUCGUUUGACAAGCCAGACGGAGCCAUCAUGUUUGUGCAGUUCUCUGCGGCUCUGCCUGUAUGCAUGUGUGUGUCGGAACUUUUUCCAUAAAGACACUGACCGAUUUCAGCAGCAGAGCAAAAGCCCACAUGCAUGGAAAGACACUAAAAUUAUUGAUGACUCGACAAACACAAAGGCAGGCACGCAUCGCUGCCUGCGAACACGUGACAUGACACGACACACCUGACACGCACGCGUGGCUCACAUCGACCUGAGCUAUCAGCGACAACUCCUAAUCAAGACUAAAGCAAACGGCCGGCUAAUCCGAUCCGAACGAACACGACGACGAAGACACCGGCGACAACAGCACUCGAUCGGCCAUGGCCGGACGACAUCUUCUUCUUCCAGCUCGGUCACACGCUCAUCACACGUGCGGGCUGCAGUAGAUGACCUUGAUCUCCUGGACGUGGCUGCACCUUCCGCUAGGCACCUGGGACACGGAGCACCGGCCGGAGACGGGGCACCCGACGGCGGGGCACUCGCCGACGAGCGGCGCGCCAUGCGGGGAGAUGAUGACCGGAACCCCCUGCCCGGGGCUGCGGGUGUUGGCGGCGAGGUAGAACGACCCGCCAUCGGGGCCGACGUGGAACUCGGCGGUGGGGGCCCCCGUCGCGUGGAGCCGCCCCGUCCACCAGCACACCGGGCACUCGGCGUGGCUGUGCGGGUGCAGCGUGUAGUUCGCCGCCCCGUUGAAGAGGUGCGGGCUGUUGGCGAGCGGCUCCAGGGUCAGCACCACGUCGUGCGCGCACAGGUUCUGCACCGUGAUCUUCUUGUCCUUGUCGCAGUUUUUGUGGUUCGUCUGCGCCGUCGCCGCCGGCGAGGCGGCGGCGAGCACGGCCACCGCCAGGAGCAGGGCCACUGCGAGCUUGGACGACGGCGCCAUGGGUACGGUGGAUCUUCGAAGCGAGUGACUGAGAAGUGGCUAGGAGUGACUUGGAGGGAGUUUCGUGCUUGAGUCGGGUUGUUGGUUUUGGGGUAUAGUAUAGCCCUUUUUAUAGGCGCGUACGUGCCAGGGGCAACAACAAAGGUGACGGUAAACAUGUGAAACUGAGGGACGGUGGAAAGGUAAAAAGGAGGAGCGUUGAUGCUCUAGACAGAUCGAGGAGGGCGUGUCAGAGGAGAGGAUGGCAUUGUGAGAUGGGUUCGUGGUGUCGUGUAGCCUGUGGGGCGGCCAUGCUGCUCGUCUAGUGGCCUGCAUGAGUGCAUGGAUGCGUCGCGUGCGGAGCUGCGACGACGAGGUGGCAGCGCUACAGUUGCAGCCUGUUCCGGAUAGGGCGGUAAAGAUGAUGGCCAAGGCGCCGCGUAGGACUUUUUCACUUUUCACAUAGUUAUCGGAGACGUCCCAAAGUUUGGAUGAUAAAGGAAAAGGUGGUCGAAAGUGAAGCAUUCCUUUUGCAAAGUGGAAUUAGUGAUAAAGGAAAAACUACACUGGAAUUAGUGCUAAAUGGCUUAUCUGUAGCUUUGCUAGACAACAGCACGAUGCAUCACGGCAAGAAUGCUGAAGUCUGAACCAUGCAAAUUUUCCAUCAAACCACACUCUAAUCACUUCUCCUUUUUUUGGUACUAGCUAGCUAGAAUCCCGUCAUUGCUUCACUGGACAAACUAAUUAGCUGAAGAGCGAAGAGGACAACACAACACUAGUCUCUAUGGGGGCGAUUGGCAGCCUGUACCUAGCCAGCGUUGCAUCUGUGGAUGCAGCAUCUUUGGUUCAUCGGAUGAAAAAAAGCUGCACCGCGUGGAACGGAAAAUUUGGUCGUUCCACGCGAGCCUGGUUCGCUCGAGCGGCGGGUAAGAAGCUGCCGUCACCACUCACCACCCGUGAACCUGUGAACAAGUAUUCUUUCCCAAAUCUCUCUUCCCUAUGCUGCUGCUUCUUCCUAGCCGGCGUGUGCCGUUCGCCCCUUCCCAUCGCUGCCCCUCGUCGCAGCCACCUCGCCGAUCAUCGCUGACCUCCGGUCCCGCGAGGUGCCCCAGUGCUACCCGCAUCCACGGGGGCCUCGACCGUCGGCGGCCGGCAGCCCGCCGCCAGGUUUAUCAUGCUACUGCCGUGUCAGAGGACGAGAAGUUGGUCGAGGCGGUCACCGUGCAGUCGGCGGACGAGCUGCGGAGGCUGCUGCCGAGUGGUUGCGGCGGCUCCUGUUGCACAUGACAUCGCCACCGCACUCUGUUACCUGCAUCAAGGCUCAAAUCCAAUCCCCACAAAUUAAAUCAGAAUUCACCAAGCCACCAAUCGAGUUGCUCACCGCCAAAACCAAGCUCACACGCACAUCGAAUCAAAGCCUUCAGCCAUUCAAUUCGAGAUUGUCACUAAAAGAAUCAAAGGGCCGCGAGAUGAGGCGCGAUGGUGUCAGGUGUGGGCGGCGUGGUUCUUGACGGCUGACCGCGGGCAAGGAGCCGGGGAGGCCCUCUUCACCUUGCCGCGUUGCACCUCGCUUGCUCCUGCGGCGGCGAGGCUAGUCCAUCUCGCCUUCACCACCACCGUCUCGGGCUGUGGCCUCUGGAUCACUUCACCGGCAACAUCGUCAUGUUCAACGUAAGCAGCAUCGCCGCUUGUGUUCGCCCCGUUGAUUCGCUAGUCUAACCUGGUAGCAACGACAUCAAGCAAUGUGUUUAUGUGUGCAUGUCCUGGUUACUCGAGCAAUGGCUGGGAGGGAAGUUAGAGGAAAGCUAUCACUAGUGCCUGAUUCUAGAACAGAGGAGAUAGAGAGAUUGGAGAAAUGGAGAUGGUGGAUGGUGUACCGUGUCCUGUAUACAAGGUAAGCAUACCAAUUUGUGUAGCUUACCAAUCAGCGUUUAAGAGAGGAACCUGUUUACACUGAUUCAACUUACCCAACAUCGUCAAAAAAAAAAAAAAAAGAUCAGGGCUCGUCGAAGAUGGUAAAAAGACAGGCUGCCAAACGGACCCUUAUCUCCUGGCCGCCCUGACUUGUCGCGCUCGCGUGAGAAACGCGGCUAGCUUCUAGCAGCUACCCUACGGCCGAGUCAGUGACAACGUGCAUGGGGACUUUCUUGGGCAGGCUACAGACAUCGAAACAGUGGCAGCGAAUCUACAGUAGUUUACUGUUUACCCCACGUAAAAAAACCUGAGAAAUUGAAUUACCAAUGCAUAGUGCAGUACUCAUCCUUGUGUCUGCGUGCAGUGCAGCUCAGUGCACAGUUGCAGCGUCUGCAUUCGAGCAGGAUGAUGGCAAUGGCCUAUGGAUCGAGACCCGAGCAGCUCGUACUGACCGAUGGGGUUUGGAGCAGCAGCAUGGAGGGCCACGGGCGCCCCUAGGGGCACUGCAGCGAUAGCAGGAGCAGGAGAGGUUAAUUUAAUCCUGUUUCAGUGAAAAGAUAACAGGAUGGGUUAAUUACUAACUAGUUUACGUAACCUAAGUUGCUGCCCCUCAGGGACUAGUUUAAGCUAAGCUUCGCUUCGUGCUUGACGAAUGUCUGUUGGUCCGGUCAUGAUGACAUUAAACGCUCAUUGCAUGGGCCGGUGGGUGGGCGGGUGGGUCAUGGGUNNNNNNNNNNNNNNNNNNNNNNNNNNNNNNNNNNNNNNNNNNNNNNNNNNNNNNNNNNNNNNNNNNNNNNNNNNNNNNNNNNNNNNNNNNNNNNNNNNNNCGGAGAUGAAUGGUCCACAGCCGUAGGAUUGGAGGCCAACGAUCAGGAUGUACAAUCGCGGCAGCCGCAUGUUCUUUUCUUUCAUAUGGCUUGGCCGGUAAUGUAUAAACAAACAAAUAGACUAGGAGGGAACGAAAUCUACGAUGGGCACGUACACUGCUUCCCGAAGAACAACACACAUGUACAGGACUACUUUGUAAGCUCUCGCAUGUAUCAUCAUGACCCAGGACUGGUGUGUAUCAUCAUCUUUCUUAAAAGCCACAUCCGCAUCAUGACAUGGGUGCACAAUCAUAUGCCCCAUUUCCUCUUUAUUUCGUGACGGACUCUCCUGACAGGCCUCGGGAGGUGCUGACUAGGCUCUUGCUGUUCUCUGCCGAGUUGCGCCGGAUUUCCUGCCCUUUGGGUGGUUGUUGCCAAUGGACCUUGGUUCUUUGUUAAUAUUAGCUAUGCAAAAGCAACCUGGUCGAGCGCGGCCUGCUGCUUCUCCCUCCCUCCCUCCCUCCCGACUAGGACACUCAGAACACCAUUGACACGGGAGUAAAGCUCACUGCACGGCACACGACGCCGCAGCCCCAGCAGGCACGAGCUAGGCCAGAGGAGCAUAUCGGCGUCACUGAUUGUUGGUCCACCGCCGUGAUUGGAUACCAGCCAGCGCUACUUGUUCUUUUCUUGGCAUCCUCGCGACAGCAGAAAGUGAUGUUCGACUUGUUCUUUCUUAUGGCCUGGUACGUAUCUGAAAAAAAGCUAUGGCAUUCAGUAAUCUCAAGGUCUACGACAAACACACGUACGCAGCGGAACGCGCACGUCAUUACCAUCUUCCUUAAUCGUAUUAAAGCUGGCUCUUAUUUUUCAUCCGUCCUGACAAGUGGAUCCCACUUGCCCACUUGUUAGAGGGCUUUAGUCGUAAGGUGCCCCAGCCUCAGCCUCGGCCCUGACUGCCUGCCCGGCCGCACCGCCCGACCUGCGCCUGCAGCCUGCCUCGGCGGGGGGAGAGGGAGUGGGGCCGGCUGGAUCUGGCGGAGGAGAAGGAGAGGGAGGAGAGAAGGUGGUGACCGGAGGAAGGAGGAGAGGAGGCCUGUGGGCGUUGGAAUUAAGGACAGGAGAACUCGGCGUUGGAAUUAAGGAGAGGGAGGAGAGAAAAUGGGACGCGCGCAUUGCGUGUGGGGGGGAGGCGUUUUGUCCAUGUUAAAAACACCAAUCGGGACUAAAGGUCCCCUUUAGUGCCGGUUAAUAGUUGCAACCGGGACAAACGCCCCACUAGAUUCCCGAGGGCCACUAGCCUUUACAAUCAGGACUAAAGGGUUUUUUAGUCCCGGUUGAUAUUACCCACCGAGACUAAAGAACCCUCCGUCGGUGACCAUCGGAGGUUGAUUUAACUCUCUCGCUUGAAUAAAAAAAUAUUUUAAUUUAAUGGUAUUUGAGUUGAAGGAAAUAAUUAAGUCAAAAUUCUUUUGAUUUUCUAUUAAAUGUGUAGAGAUCCAAUAAGUAGAAAAAAAUUUAGUGUGAAAAUAAAAAUAUUAUUAAUUUAAAAAAUACAAUUAAUUUUUUACCAUAGCAACGCAGGAUCAUUUUACAAGUUACAGUAAAUCCAUAUCCAUGUCAUGACAAUCCGGCCGAGCAGACCUCCUCAACGGGCCAGGUUCGGCUGAUUCCAUUUGUCGUGCUGGGCCAAGUUGGACCGGGUUUCUAAGGUCCCUUUUACUUGGUUGCCAGAAGUUUCAACGCACACUCAUGGGCCUCGGUUCUUUGUUAUUUCCUCCGUACCAAAUUAAUAUUUAUUUUAACUUUUCUAGAUUAUAUCUAGUUAUGCAGUAAAGCUAAAAUGAAUAUUAAUUUGGGAGGGAAGGAGGGAGUAGCUUACAAGCGGCCUGCCCAGGAUAGGUAAAGCGCACGUGAGUUGUAUAUGAGUGUAUAAGAGUAACUCCAAAAGAAUCUGUAUUCUUAGGGAGAGAAAAAAAAGAACUCCAAUAGCUCCCCAAAACUUCCCCAAGCUAUUCGCGAUGCUAAAACAGAGCCCAUCACCGUGCAUAUUUGCGCGACGUCCUUCCUCCCCCUAUCGGCCCCUUCCCGCGCGCGAGAGAGGCUUCCGGACCCCACCCUCUUCCUAGUUCUUCCUUUCCUCUGACGCUUGCCAGCCGCUGCGAGAGCUUCCUUCGGGGGCUCGAGGAUGGUUGCACUGGAGCCCGCGUGAGGUGGUGGCCGCAGCCGUGGCCGUGCUGCCCCGACCCCAGCUGGAGCUCCACGCGGCGGCUGCUGGUCCCUACCGUCGUCGCCCCGCCCGUGGGGCCUAGCCACUGGGCCCCUGCACUUGCCCACAUGCCGCUGUCCCACGCCCUCGGGCUGCCGUGCAGCUACCCCGCGCCCUAGGGCUGCCGCCAAAAGCGCUCGUGCCGCGUGUCCCCGACCGCCGCGCUCUCUUCCCUGGGCCGCCGCCGGAGUGCACCGUUGCCCCGCGCCCUAGGGCUGCCGCCAUGGGCGCCUGUGCCCCGCGUCCUUGGCCGUCAGCGUGUCGAACGCAGAUGGAUGUGACGACAGGCGGUGGAGGAAGGAAAAACGGGGAGCUCACCGGCGAGCGCCUUGCCUAUAGGAUGAGCACGGCCGGUGAGAAGUAAAAUGGGUUGAAAGGAUCUUGUGAUGCCUGGAGGGGGGGUGAAUAGGCUCACUUCAAAUUUUUCCUGAAAAACUUUGCAGAUGUAUUAGAUAUGUCGGAACUUCCGACACUGUGCCGGAACUUCGGACCAAAAACUUCUGAUUGGUCGGAACUUCCGGUACAGGGUCGGAACUUCCGACAGUAGAAAGUGAGCUGAAUGAAAUUCAAAAUAAAAUCUGAAUCUGCCAAUUCUGUUUGAAUCAAAAGAUUACAAAAGAAGUGUAGAGACUACUACAAUUGAUAGAUAUGCAAGGAACUACACAAAUUUAUAGAUCGGCUUAAAUCAAGCUUCUAGGUCAAUAUGAACACGAAGAACACAAUAAGCACAAGAGACAAGGAUUUGUUUACCGAAGUUCACUUCCACAUAGGAAGCUACGUCUCCGCUGAGGAGCUCACAAAGAGCCGGGUCCUUACUAACCCUUUACCUCCCUCAAUCGACCACAAAGGAGGAUUGAGUCACUUACUAUGAAUCCAUGAAGGAUGGGUAAUACAAACGUUCCCAGGCGCACCACACAAAGAGGACGCUCAAACGGACAACGCCUAGCCAUCUAGAAGCAAGCUUCAAGAGUAACAAACACGAAUCGAUGGUCGAAGAUGCUUGGAGUGCUCUUGAGAUGAAUUUGUUGGACCUCACACUCAAAUCCUCAAGAUUCACACCUUUAACCUUGCUCUCACCCAAUCCCUAGCUCAAACUCUCAAGGAUUUAGCUCAAAGGGGAGUAGGUGAGGAGUAUUCAACGCUUGGAGGCUGUUUUAGCUCGAGUUGUUCAGCAGCAAUGAAUGGGGGGGGGGGCUGAGGGGGUAUUUAUGCCCGAGCCCCAAAAACUAGCCAUUACGGUACAUUUAUGUGCUUGUCGGAACUUCCGACAUAGGGUCAAAACUUUCGACGAAGUUAAAUUAAAACAGCUGAGAGUUUCUCCUUGAAAGUUUCAAGAAACUUCCGAUAUAGUGUCGGAACUUCCAAUACUGCCAGAUAAAAACGGCUGAGCACCCCCGGUCGGAAGUUUCCAGUCAGUGUCGGAACUUCUGACCCCUGUUGGAACUUCCAACAGUUAUAGAAAAUGUGAGAAAACAAAGUAUGCAAGUGAGUGAGUUGUGUCUCUGAAUGGGUGGUUAGCAUCUCAAUUGAGUACUUUAGCAUCUUCAAGUUAUCCGUCCGCGUCCCCCUUAAUAGUACAGCGUUUCUACACUCAAAUUCAAAAUUAGAAAUUAUAGAAAAGUCUUCUUUUGAGCUCAACACCAUUACUCUUGAAGCAGAUUCCUUUCAUAACAUUUGCACUUCUUUAGAAUUAAAACCUGCUAAUCACUUCAUAAAAUUAUUAGUUCCCUAACCAUACAUGCCAUAAACACCAAAACCCACUUAGGGGGCCAAAUGCACUUUCACGGGUACGCGAGCUCGAGGGGGGUGCUGUGGCUGCGAGGAAUCGAGAUGAGCUUCACCACGGUGGCGAAUUUCACCGGCAACGAUGGGGAGCUCGGAGGUGGUGGCGGCGGCUAGGGUGGAGGGGGGAUCAGGGUUAUUGGAACUCGGUGGGAGGAGGUCAGAGCGUGGUGGAUGGCGCCGGCAAGUGGAGCUCAGUUGGUCUAGCAAUUGAGGGGAGGGAGUGUGGAGGAGGAAGAAAAGGGGUUGGUCUAGCUGGGGGCGCGGAGCAGAGAGGGGUGAGGUGCGGGGCUGCAGGUGAUGCGAAUGCUGGUUGGUGCGUGCAGGGUGAGGCCAUACGCUGGUGGUGACAUGAGCGUGCACUCUAGCGCCGAUCGGCCACGACCAACGGCUCAAGUCAUUCAUCCAAUUUUCGGUUCUUCUUCGGCUGGAGGAAGAAGAAGAAAGAAUGAGACGGGGAGAGAGCAGGUGUCAUUGUCACGAUUAGCGGAUCAAGACUACGACUAGUAAAUUUCCUUUAUGCGCGUAAGGCCUCGGAUGGUGGCGUGAGAGGACACAGGGUUAGACUGGUUUGGGCAAGGAAAGCCCUACGUCCAGUAUGAGGAGCUGCUCAUGUUACUCACACAAGGUCUGUAGUAGGGGUUACAAACAGGCAAGAGAGGGAGCCGGUCCCAAGUCUCUUGGGUGUGCACUGAUGCUCGUGAGGUGAGUGUGUGGGUAAUGUUGGCUUGAGAGUCCUCCUGGUCUCGGGGCCCCUGGUUCUCCUUUUAUAGCGCAAGGAGGGCUCAGGGUUACAGGUGAGCCGGGUCUGUGGAGAAGUAAAAGAGAUAAGCUAAGUAAAGUAAAAUACAAGGAGAAGGACCAAGUCCCCGGAUCGCCGCCUCCUGCUCCGGCCUUCGGCUCCUGUCAGCGCGGCCUCCGGAGGAAGGCGGCUGUCGUCGGAUCCUGUUGCCGAUCCUUUGGGUGAUCGCUGCCGCCGAGCAUGAUGAUGAUGUCCGGCCGCCAUAACCGUGCGUGUUGGGGGAGACGGCUGACCCCUGUAGUCUUGCUUACCGCCCGUGGAACACGGACGUCGCGUCCCUGUCGCCGGAUAGGCCGAGCACGAGAACGGGCGGCGCUCCUUCCCGUGCCGGGCGACGCAUGCAAUGAGUGCCUUAUGGCGAAUUAGGGGGAGCCGCGGCCACUGUAGCCUGUGCGGUCGUGGCUAUGGUGUUUCGCCCAGGUACUUGUGGUGGGUCACGUCGAGGGGCGCAGGCGCCUUUCUGCGUGCCAGAGCCGUGGCGUAUUUAUGGCAAGAUUGGUGGGGGGCCCAUGAGACCCGUGCCCUCGUCUGCCGGUCUGCGCCCGAGGCGGACCCUUGUCUUGUGGGCCCGGAUGAGUUCGACCCCCUACGCCCAAGGUCGGGCGAGGCGGAGCCUUGCGACGAGGGGUCGAGCGUACCCGACCCUGGGACCGUGGGUCGGGCGAGGCGGAGUUUUGCCAGCGAGGGGUCGGGCAUGUCCAACCCCGGGGCCUUGGGUCGGGUGAGACGGAGUGGGAUGCUCCUUGCCCAUGCCGAGUCGGCGGUAAUCAUCAUUACCGCAGGUGGACCUAGACCUUCAUGAUUGUUAUUUUAAGGGGCAUAAGGAGGUCGUUAAUAUUUCCCCCCAACAGCAGGAGGUGCCGGAUUAGGCCCAAUUACGAUGACGUGGUCUGUUUUGAAAUAUUGUGGGCUAGUUAUUAGCGAUCUGCUGAUAUAUUUUUUGGGAAAAAACUUUUUGGAAGAGCCUCCAAUACAUAGUUUUGGGGAGGAAUUCUUUUGAAAACUCUUGGAGUUGCUCUAAGUACGCGAUUGGUCAUGUAGUCAUCUCAAUAUGUGGUAGCCACGUGUUCUUUCUAAUAUACUCCCCCCAUCCCAAAUUGUAAGUCAUUCCAAAAAUCUUGGAGAGUCAAAGCAUCUAAAGUUUGACCAAAAUUAUAGAGAAAAUUAUAAAGAUUUAUGACAUCAAAUAGGUAUACUAUGAAAAUAUAAUUGAUGAAGAAUCUAAUGAUACUUAGAUGACAUCAUAAAUAUUAUUAUAUUAUCAUAAAUUUGGUCAAACCUGAGAUAUUUUGACUCUCCAAGAUUCUUGGAAUGACUUAUAAUUUGGGAUGGAUGAGUAGUAGACAAAUCUCUUUCAUGUUGGUUUACAUUUUUUUUGAAAGCCAGAGGUUCAACAAAUGAAUUAUACUGUAUCUCAGAUAAUACAAAUUACGCGGUCCGGUCCGUACCUCUUGAUGUAAGGCUAAUAUUUGAUUCAUCAUGUUGAUCAUAGGACCGAACGCUUGCUUGGUUGGUUUGUAGGGGCUAGACUUGUGCAAAAUUCAGAUGAGUCAAACUGAAACUGGGGCAUCCAAAAUCUACUGUGCACAGGCUAUAUAGGCAUGAGGAGGUGCAUGGAUCUCAAUGUGCUUGAGGACAGUGAAAAGCGCUUAUGCCGUAUAACCUUUAGGCAGGCAUAUGCUUUGCUUCUGGCGGGAAAAAAGCGUUAAAGCAAAAGUCGUAGAAAUUACAGAACUGAUGUGUCGUCAUCAUUAGCUUGUCAACUUUUGACAAAGCUGGAAAUUGUGCCAAAGGCCAAAGACACUCUAGGGCUUGAAGUCGGUAGAGACACGAUCAUGAUAUAAGAGUAUAAGAGGCCGCCCAUUGUACUACUAGCCAAACUACUCGGCAAACUCGACCAUGGAAUAUUAUUCUCUGAGGUCCAUAUUUUCCAGUCAAACAUUAUGUUUCUAAAGCAAUGAUAAUAAAUUCGAUUUUUUGAACAUUAACAAUUACGUUUGUUCAUAAUUCACGCGAUCGUUUGUGCUAUUGAUCUUGCGGUUAAAAGAUAAAGAAUAUAUUAUCUGAUACAUUAGGAUAAGAGCUGCCAAAGUGAGAGAAUGGCCAAUAAUUGUUCUCUUUCUAUGACCUUGUUAGCCCGAAUGUAAAAAAACAGGCUUGAGAUGUAGCAUGCAUAACAUAAUGUAGUUCACCUAAAUAAUGUGAAAAAUUAUGCAUGUAAAGACAAAAGACUGAUAUUUAGAUUUAGAACUUGCAUUAUUAUUUUGCUUCAGGGCAGAUUUCUACAGACACCGGAAAGAGCACACGCGUCGAAGCCAAAGCUAAAGCCCUCCACUAAACACAUGAACAAAAGGAUUCGUUCAUGACAGCAACAAAUCCACGAAGCGAUCUAGGCCAAUCGAGCGGGACCCCCGCCAGAUCUAGCUGUCGGCGACGACGGAGCGGAUGACCAUCGCCUCGGCGUCUGCGGCGGCGGCGCCGCCAGUGACGAUGGUCGUCUGGCAGAAGACGAUCUUGAUCUCCCCAGGCGCGCGGCAGCUCUGCGGGACGGGCUCGACGUCGGUGGGCGUGGUCCUGGUGAGCGGGCACCGGCUCUUGAAGUACCCCGGCGGGCCGCGGCACGCGACGCCGUCGGCGGCGCGCUGGGCGGGCGGGCAGUCGCAGUUGAGGUCGACGGCGCAGCCGAGGGCCGGGCACUGCCCGCCGGCAGCGGCGUGCGGGGUGACCACCGUGGGGACGUUGAAGCCGUCCACGAGGCUGACGCUGUAGGCGGCCCGGUCCUGGCUGCUGCCGCCGUCGUGGACGGUGACCUGCACGACGGUGGCGGGGGGCGCGGCGCCCGUCCAGCACCCCGACGCCGCUGCGUCGCAGCCCGUGCGCGCGGCGACGCGGCCGGCCCAGAAGGUGGCCGGGAAGGAGAGGGAGAGGAGCGCGUUGGUGUCCAGGCGCGCCGUGUUGUCGGAGAUGGAGGGGAGGCCCGAGUUCGGGGUCACCAGCGGCCACACCGGGUGCGGGCAGAGGUUGUGGAUGGUCAGCGUCGUCGCCGUCGAGGCGCAGGUGCUGGCGGCGAGGACAAUAACGAAGGCGAGGGCGCUGGCCAUGGUCUUUGCCAAAGCUGGGUCGCUAGCUGAUCGUGUUGUGAUCAGUGACGAUACACGAGACGGGUUUGGGUGGUUUUUAUAGGCGAGCUUAGUGAUGUCACGACGUCCUUGCUAAUUGGAGAGAUCUUUAAUACUAAGGCUUUAAUGUUCUAAAAUAAAAUGUAUAAAAGCCGCGGUGCUACGUUUGCGUUAAAGAUGUGCUGCAAUUAUACACGUGGCUGUGUCGAUGUGCAGGAGUGAUGAGUGAGGACUGAGUGUUGGUCAAAAGGAGAGAAAAAAAGCGAAGAGGUGCAUAGCAGGAGGCAACUUGGCGACAUGGCAAAGAUAAAGCGAAGAGGAGCAAAGCGUCAACUUAUACCCCACCACAAAACUCUAUGUUCCACAAACUUAGCAUUUACACAAACAGUACAAGUAUUUAGAAUGGUAUAGGCUGAACCAAAGGAAUUUUCGUUGGUUUUAAGCUUUGUUAAUGCCGAACGUGCACUACGCAGACUUGCAGAGGAGAACGCCCUAGAUAGUAGAUACCAUCGUGUCUACAUAACUCAGGCAUCGCCAGUCGCCAGUCAUCAGGUGAUAACAGGCACUCCUUGGCAGUAAGGAGAGCCUUGUCUACAUAACUCAGGAAUCGUUCAUGUCGGCACGUGUACACGCACAUGCUGGCAAGGUGCCCAAGGUAAAUCGAAAGACCAUAUCACAUUGCAUCAUGAUAUUCUCAUAUGCUCAACAAAUUGAUAUGACACGUUGUUGGGUAGCAGGAAGCAGAGCCCCACACCAUCAUAGUAUACAAUUCAUAAACCAAAUCCAACUCCGACCAACUGCCUCUGCCCCCCGCAAAAACCACUCUAGUAUAACUAUGUUUCUUCACCAGCCUGGCUUCAGAUAAACCCAAAUGGAGCAGCAUGUAGAUAACCAAAAACAAAACUGAAAAAAGCUGCUCCCAUGACCUGGAAAUAAACUGAUAUGCACGCAGGGACUGCACUUGUACAAACAGCGUGCGGUUCCAGACCGGACAGGACACAAGUUUUGCCCAGAAAAAAAGAACUCUUACAAAACAGGACCAAGAAUGAAAUGCAAGACAAUGCAAGUGGACAAAGGGGAAAAGAAUGCUAGGAGAAAAAAACAAGCUAAUAGCAACCAGCAGGGAGGGUAUGUCUUGACAUAAUGGACUUGACCGCCCUGAACAAUACAAAAUAAUCCUGUGACAAUUCGCUCGUGCCUGCUGCUCUGCUUACUGGAGCAGCAGCAAGCAACUGGGCCUUUUGUCCCGAGUGACCAUCCGACCAGAGUUCGAUGCAUGAGAUGAAUGCAGGGGAAAAUGAUAGGCCACAGACCAUAGGCGUGCCAUGCCGAGGAGACUGUCAGCAUGUCAGGCGACACUCAUCUCACCUCCAAUAAGAAAUGAAGGCGGCAGAUGCCCUUUGAAAAAGUUAGCAGGCGGCCAACUUGAACCCUCUUUUCUCGUGGGGGCGAAAAGGACGGGCUGACACAUGUACUGAUGCAUGAGUUAGUGAGGACCCUCUGACUCUGCUGCAAGGAUGUUGGACUUCUCCAAAGAGCAGGUCUGGACAUGAUGCAACCGACGACCCAGACAUGAUGACAUGUGGAUGGAUGCAAGUGCAGACUCGAGACUCCUUGUGACAUCAACCGGAAACUGCACGGGUGAUUGCUAUACUUGCCCAAUCAGCUGAUUCUUUCACCUGAGGAUCAUCUGAUGCCAAGCAUUCCUCCAAAAACGCCUUGCUCGAGGAGGAUUGAUUGAUCAAAGGGCCAGCAUGAACGCCCAAUGUGUCGGCCAGAUCUCCCAAGACACCAAUUGCAGUUUUCAUCACAGUAUCAUCCCUGGUAAGAAUACAAUUAUCAUAAUGAAUUAGGUCAACAAACUUAUUUUACUCAAAUAAUGAAUUAGAAAAACAUAAUGUAGUUUCAAGGACUUACAUAUCCUUGCCAUUGUACAGAGCGUCAAGGAACUGAAGAAUAUGUGGGGCAUACGGCAUCAGAAGUUGUGUCUUAGGUGAGCUCUUGAAUCCCUGAAGAAUACCAGAGUAGGCUUCCAAGAUGCCAUUCCUAAGCUGGUUGGUGUAGUCAAGCAUUUCGUCAUCAGUAGCAGUAGUAUGUGCUGAUAGAUCAGCUGCGCUUUGCAGCAUUGGCAUGGCAUAGAUCAGAUACUUCUCGAAGUUUUCCCCAAUUGCCAGUGCAAUAUCCCCAAAGCAUGAAAAUAUCGGUGGCUUUACAGAUCUGUGCAACUGGUUACUGGAUAGGUCCUUCAAGAGCUGGGUCAUGAUACCGUCGCAGAAGGGCAAAAUUUUGUCUUCAAGUGCCCUACACAAGUCACCCACAACACCCACGGUAAUGGCACAUACCUGGUACUCCUCGAAGUUUUGAAGUCCCAUCUCCAAAUACUGAUAAAACUGUGGCAUGUACUUUGCAAAGUUUGCGCCAGCUGCAUAUGCCAAUGCACCAAUAGCAAGCAUAGCCUCCUCAUGCACUGUGGCGUUCCUACAAGCGAAAACUCUCAAAAAUAGAUCCAUCAUCUGAUCUGCAUACUGCAAGAAAGAGUACUUGGUUGACUCCAUCCCUCCCAACUUUUGGAUAAUGACCUGCAGGCAGCCACAAAGGAGGCCCUGCAGUUCGCUCCUCUUCUCCCUCUCAUCAGUUGACAACUUUUCGGCUUCAAGAGUCUGAUGCAGUUCCAUCAUGAUGACAGGUACCAACUGCAUAACAAUAGGGGCUGUCUCCUCAGUGGAGCACCUGACAACUUCAUUUAGAGUCUCAUAAGCUGCCGUGCGCAGCCUGGACUCUCCAGCAUCCUCCCUGUGAGUAACCAUAAGAAGGUUCUGAACAAUAUCUUGAAAGAAAGGGGAUAAUGGCGACGCAGAUCCAGCAUCAACAUAGCCUUGAGCAAGGAAAUAGAGGGCUCCACAUGCCUUCUCAGCCACAUUUGGCACAUCCUUCAUGCUGUGAAGCAGCACAGUAAGUAUUUGCUGACAGUUCUCGGCCGUAAUGAUUGGAGGAGUUUCAAGCGCUGAGCCAUGAAGAAACUCGAAGAUCCUUCCAAGAGUCCAAGCAGUUGUGUCCUUAACAUGGUUACUUGGAUCCUUCAUCAAUGCGGACAGCAUGAAGUUCAAUGCAACAUUUACAAGAGGAGCCAGUUUAUCAGCUGAUGGGCCUUCCAAGAUAGAGCCAAAAGCAUAUGUUGCAGCCUCUCUUUGCCUCCACUCAGCCUUGGUUAUGUUCUCCUCCACAAAAGGCAUCACUAGAGGAACAAUAUCAUCUCCAACAGUCCUUGCCACCAGGCCCAAACAAGUUCCCCCAGCCAUUGCAAGAUUCCAAGCACCUUCAUCCAAGUCCUGGUCUUCCUCCUGCUUCAGAAGAGUCUCCAACAACAUCGGUACCAAGGCAGGAAGAGCCUGCUUGAUAAAAUAGUAGCAAGGAACAUCAGAAUCAGCUGUAAAUUCACUACUGUACUCAUCCAGAAUGUCAAUUUCCUCAUCACAUAUGGAACUCCAAAACUCAAUAGCCUGAAGUGCAACUGACUCCUCAUCUCCCCUCACAGCCUUUGCAGUGAUAUUAAAUAUGUCCUGCAUAUAGGUGGCCAGCUUAUCAUAAUAAGUAGAUGAGAUAGCCACCAAACACUCAAAGGCAGCCUGCCUUAUCUUCACUUCCGGAGACUGAGUUGCUUCACAAACAACUCUCAUAAUGUAGUCACGCUCCAUGUCGUUCGAGAAGUUAACCUGAGCAAAGCCCAAUGCAUUAUACAAUGCCCGUGUAGCUGCAAGCCUCACAUCAGAGUUCGCCUCAGAAGCAUUCAUACCCUGAACAACAGCUGUAAGGAUCUUGUUGACUUGGUCUUGGUCGACAGCCUCUGGGGAAACUUCCUCACAUAAAUAGCCAAGCGUCUCAAGCGUUGCUUGCUUGACGUUUGGCUGGACCUGAUGUAUGUUUGAGAGCAAUGAUCCUAUAAGCUCAGGCCAUUGCUUCUGCGGAAUCUCAAUACCAGCAACCUUGGCGAUAACUUGAGAAGCAGUAGAUCUGGCACUAGCAACAGGAGAUGUAAGAGUUUGCAGCAACAAUCCUUUAAUUUGCGCCUUGGCACCAGCAUCCAGUGCCAGCCAUCUCUGGAAAAGCUCACUCUUCCUGUGUUGCUCCUUUGCAUCCAGUGCAUUCUUAAGAAUCAACCCAGCCAACCUUCGGCUCUCCUCAGGUUUCUCUUCAUUGGCCAACUCAGUUGAGAGGGAGAGCAAGAAUCCUGGAAGAUUUUGCUCCUGGAACUGCUUGAGGCUUUCUUCAGCAUGCUUCCUAAUGGCGCCAUCAGCAGAUUGCGCGCUUAAGAGAACUUGCGUAACAUCGAGUGACAUAUUGACUCUGUGAAUAACAAAACAGUGAGGAAUCAGAUAUAUGCAUGAGCAAAGAAAAAUUGCUCCCUUCAAUAAAAAUUAGACUAUAAUAAAUUGAUCCUUAUUGUAAAGCCUAGCAAGGCAAACCAAACUGCUCUUUGAACAGCCAAACAAGACACUCUAAAUUGCUAUACAAUGUAAAGUUAGAAAAAAAAAAGCAAAUGGAGAGAGUUAUCAGUACCAGAUGUAUUAGUGUUAAACAGUUAAAAAGAGGAACAAAAAUGGUAUGCUUGUAUAAUACCAAUCACGAAAAUGAUAGUUCAUCAGUACGAAAAUCCACAAGAUGGAGAGAUAAAUCAUGUCGAGACAAUAUACAAGGGUCUAACUAGGAACCAAGAUGCCAUAUGAACAAGAAUGACCCAGUCAUCAGUGGACAUGUAACCCCUACUUGUGCACAAGGUCAUAUGUAAAGUAGCAGCAUAACAUUUACAAAAAUUAUAAGAGCAUGAAUCAUAUUCAGUUCGCCCCAGCAUAUAAUAGCUGACACUCCAAUUGCUACCAAGCAUCAACUUCCUAGCCUCCUAUCUAAAACAGUAACUGUGAAAAGUAGAAAUCAUUGAAGCUAAAGUUAUCCAGCAAGCAAGGAAAAACAUGUGUAACUAACUGGUUGCACUAAAAUUGACCUACAACAGAUUAGCAGCAAACUCAGGUCAAUAUAGGAGGCAGGACAUAACUGGUCCCUGCUCAAUUUUUUAGUAGUGUGCUUCGACUUUCACAUAAGAAGGCAACACUAGAAUCCAAACUAGAAGUCACUGAAGCUAGAGUUACCCAGCAAGCAAGUAAGAACGCCUUGUGUAACUAAUUGGUUGCAGUAAAAUUGGCCCACAACAGAUUAGCAGUUGCAGUUACAGCUUACCAGGAACUACCAAAACUAAAAUUGAUCUACGAGGCAGGACAUAACUGGUCCCUGUUCAAUUUUUAGUAGCACGCUUUAGCUUUCACCAAGAAGGCAACACUAACAGGAGCUAAAUUAGAAGCUACACGUUAUAGCUAGUUCACAGAACGGCAACGCAACACUAGAGAUAGCAUGCUCAUGAGUCGUUUACACUAGAAACAACAAACCUACGCGAAGACAACACGUGCGCACCAGAUUCAUCGACGCCCAGCACAGCCCACUCCUCGCCAGGAAUAAAAACCCCCAAAUAAAAGAUGGACUCCCAAACAGAGAGGGGCCACCAACUCAAAUAAAACUGACCUUAGGACUUCUCGGGGAAAGAACCCCCGGGCGUAUCGCAUGCGAAGCGAGCCCUCUACCCCUUUCCCCACCUCCCCAUCAUGUUUGUUCAGAUGCCAGGACCCCCCCGCGAGUUAAGACCCGGGACGGGGGGGGAGUUCCGGUAGGGUGGAUCAGCGGCCCGCAGGUUCCGACGGGGGGGGGGGGGGGGGGGCCUAGGGUUUUGACCCGGGCACUUACGUCGCUGGGCGCGCGGAGACGACCCCGAGGCGUGCGGGCGGGCCGGAGCGGGAGGAGCCUUCGGUUCCCCGCGGCGGGAGCGGGGAGGGGACGCGCGGCCGCGGACCCGAUCGGCGGCGCGUGGAGGGAGGGAGGUGGAGGCGGCGGCGGCGGCGGCGGAGAGGGAGAGGAGGGAGAGGGUAGAGGAGGGGAGGAAAUCAAAUAAUGCGGGAAAAGAAAANNNNNNNNNNNNNNNNNNNNNNNNNNNNNNNNNNNNNNNNNNNNNNNNNNNNNNNNNNNNNNNNNNNNNNNNNNNNNNNNNNNNNNNNNNNNNNNNNNNNNNNNNNNNNNNNNNNNNNNNNNNNNNNNNNNNNNNNNNNNNNNNNNNNNNNNNNNNNNNNNNNNNNNNNNNNNNNNNNNNNNNNNNNNNNNNNNNNNNNNNNNNNNNNNNNNNNNNNNNNNNNNNNNNNNNNNNNNNNNNNNNNNNNNNNNNNNNNNNNNNNNNNNNNNNNNNNNNNNNNNNNNNNNNNNNNNNNNNNNNNNNNNNNNNNNNNNNNNNNNNNNNNNNNNNNNNNNNNNNNNNNNNNNNNNNNNNNNNNNNNNNNNNNNNNNNNNNNNNNNNNNNNNNNNNNNNNNNNNNNNNNNNNNNNNNNNNNNNNNNNNNNNNNNNNNNNNNNNNNNNNNNNNNNNNNNNNNNNNNNNNNNNNNNNNNNNNNNNNNNNNNNNNNNNNNNNNNNNNNNNNNNNNNNNNNNNNNNNNNNNNNNNNNNNNNNNNNNNNNNNNNNNNNNNNNNNNNNNNNNNNNNNNNNNNNNNNNNNNNNNNNNNNNNNNNNNNNNNNNNNNNNNNNNNNNNNNNNNNNNNNNNNNNNNNNNNNNNNNNNNNNNNNNNNNNNNNNNNNNNNNNNNNNNNNNNNNNNNNNNNNNNNNNNNNNNNNNNNNNNNNCCCUUUUAUUAUACUCAAAGAGUACAAGCGCAGCAGAAAACAUAGAAAACGUGCGUUUACUUUUUUUCUCGACAGACGUGUGCUUUACUCGACAGCAACACCUCAAUAAGCCAUUAUAUGGCUUAUCAAAAGAGAGGGAGGAAGUGGGGGGGUGUGGGGAGGGGGGAAGAGCGCCAUUUUUAAUGAUGUAAUUAUUUUACAGAACUUAAGAAACGCAUUGCUUUGUUGGAGUCUCCAAUAUUUCACGUUUUCAUUAAAUUUCGUAUGUAUGUCAAGUUUAUAUAUAGACUCACUAGAGAGAAAAAGAAAACUAGCCAUCCACGUCCAAUUCUAAAGUAGUUAGCGGCAACCUUGAAAUGGUAAAUCGAAACUCAGAUUUUGAGAGUCCAGCUUGUUGCUUCCCGAACCGCAGUUGAUCGAGCUUCCCGUGCACUUGCUAACUCUUCUUUGUCAGUUCAAAACACAACGUAUAUGAACUGAUGCGAAGAGGUGUGCUUUGACCUGAGUUUCAGAUGGACCUUUGGAGAGAGUGAGCUAAUAGUGGGUGGAGCUCCUAGAAAUGAUGGGAGGAGUAACUCUGACACAAAACCACAAUACUGAAAUAUGGACCCUAGAAAAAUCAGGAGACUUUACGAACUUACUUUUCGAGGUGUUGUUAAUAGAUGAUGAUGGAUAUUUGGAAAGCCAAACUUCUUCUCAAUUAAAAUCCGAGUCUUCGCUUGGCAGGUAUACAAUGGUAUGAUACAAUCAGCGGAGAAACUGGUAAAGAGAGAUUACCAUGGAAACAUAGAAUGCAAAAUACUUGUAGAUGUCUGGGGGCAAAAAGAAUCUAGUGAUCACAUCAUAUGUUUAGAUGUUUGUUGUCCCAUUUCACAUGGUGUGUGUUCAGACUUCAGAGAUACUUUUGGGUGGCAACAAACGGUGUGAAUGAUUUCCAAGACCGGCAACUUUGGCUCAUUAGAAAUGAUUUUGUUUUUAAUAAUGUUGUAGUAUCCUCACCUGAUGUAGCGCUAUACCGUGUAAUUUCAUUCAUGUAGAGAUGGGUGAUCCUGAACAUAAGAAAGAAGGGAAGCGACGGGUGGAUCUGCUCGAUGAACGCAAGGAGAUAGGGGCAUGAGCAUCAGUGAGUUGAGGGGAUUUGAUUUUUGUAUACCUAGGUUGGAUGAAGAGGGCUGGAGAUGGGGUGCCGAUGUUGAGGUAGAGCUGGUCGAGUGCCGGUGGCAAUGGCGGCCCAAAGAUCUUCAAUCACUGGUGCUAGGGGCCAUGGCCGGUGGUUAGGAGUGGAUGAAGGGAUAGCUGGUGAAGUGAUUGAGGUUUGGGUGGUGUUGAUUUGAAUUUGGUGGAGGGAGCCAAGAGGAUUUGACUGGCAGAGCUACCUUGCUCGGCCCGGUUUGUUCGGCCUGGAUAAAGAAGAAACAACAAAGAGAGAAGGAUGAGGCGAGGUCCAUAAUUUUUUUUUGGGGGGGGGUUAAGCUCGGGAUGGUGGGCUGGUGGCGGCCGAGCGCUAGAGAGGAGAAACCAGCUGGGGAGGGGCUGAGCGCGCACGUCGGGCGCGUGGCCCUGACAGUGCCGACGGGACACCGAGGGUAUGGCAGCGGCAUGGGCGUGGCAGUGCAGGUAGCACUGGAGUUGGUGAAAUCACGUAUAGGCCUUGUUUAGUUGCUAAAAUUUGAAGGUGUCAAAUUACUGUUACAGCACUGUAGCACACUGUAGUGUUUCGUUUGUAUUUGUGAAUUAUUGUCCAAACAUUGAUUAAUUAGGCUCAAAAGAUUCGUCUCGCAAAGUACAACAAAACUGUACAAUUAGUUUUUAAUUUUGUCUACAUUUAGUACUCCAUGCAUGUAUCGUAAGUUUGAUGUGAUGGGAAAUCUUCUUUUUCAUAGUGAUAAAGUUGAAAGUUGGGGGUGAACUAAACAGGCCCAUAGUGUUUGCGUGUGUGUUGAGAUGAUGUGGGGCUGGAUGCAGGUGCCGCCGUGUGACGGCAUGACAGCUCGCCAACGUCUGAUGCCCGACACGCGUUGGUCAUCCUAGACACGACCUGCGAUAACAAGAGCAAAACCAACCGGCGAGGAACAACACCUUUGAGUCGAUUUAUCUCGCGAAUUCAAAUAGUACAUACAGAUUGGCGAAACUACAAUAUGUAGAUGAAUGAUAGGGGUACAAAUUUUAUAAAGGAUCGAGAUAAUUUGACUCUUGGUUUGAGAGAUCAAAGGCUCCAAAAAAAUAGAGAAAACAUCCUUUCUAUGGACUUGCGCAAAAAUUAGCUAAGGCUGGAAUUUCAGAGUUUUGACCGCUUUUUGACCAUGAUUUUGAAUGUUGAAAACUUGUUUUAACUAAUUCAUAACAUGCCUAGAUGAGAUGCUAUACCUUGUACUGGUCAAAAGUUAAGGUUUAGGAAAAAUAAUUUUAAUUAUAUGGCUAAAAUUAAAUACCUCCAUACUUAGGGUUUUUCCAACCUGCAUAUGUUUAAACAUAUGAUUUGAUUUUGUUCUAUUUAAACAUGUCGAUGAGUAAACAAUGAUUAUUUUACAUUUCUACUUAUAUUUGAGUAUGUUUGACUUAUUUUUCAUAAUUAUGCCUUUUAUCAUUAUUUAAUUACAAAAAUGACAUAAGCCCUUUAUAAAAUGCAUAUUAAUUGGUAAAUCUAUAUCACAUGUCAAAGGCUACCAAAACCCAUUAAAUUCAAAAGUUCAUAUAUGAAAAAUGUUAGUGCUCAUGUUAUGCAAAUGAUUAAGCCUAAUUACAUGUGCUAAACACUCGACGUGUUACAAUAACGUCCGCAAAGCAAAGGUUUAGAGACUAAUAAAGAAUCUUCUGGAGAUAAAGCUGUAGAGUUCAUAUAUGUAAGGAAGAACAGAUUGAUCAGUACUGAGAAGUGAAAAGCAUGCACCAAGAAUGGAAGUUUCAGUCGCAAGAGAAGGUAGAGGCCCCAAGAACCGAAGAAUGUAGACCAAGAACUUAAGAACAACAUUCGGUCACAAAAGUACUGAAAAUCUUGCCCGGCAGUGGUGUGCCGAAUGUCGGAGAGAGGUGGCGGCGCCAUUGAGCAUCCGGGGCACUGGCGUACACACAUGCAGUCUAAGUGAUAUUGUAAUUGAAGUUUCCCCUCGUGGAAUGGUUGAUUGGAUUGCUGGUCGUCAAACAGAUUGGGUAGAUACCGUGAAGAAUCAUUCAAUUUAGAAUAUACAGUUAAGCAUGAAAAGAUGAUUUCAGAAAAUGCAGAAUGCAUCAUUCAGAACAGCACAAGUUCAGAAACGAUCAUUGGCAAAAAGAUUAGAACUAAUGAAAUGUAUCCUGCAUUCCCACUUCAGUUGAUAUGAAGUCGACUAGGAAUUAACCUGGCACGUUGCACAUUAUAACUAACCGAUUCGCGGAAUUUUCAAUGCAGAAAACUCGAUUCAGAGGCAAGAAUAAAGGAAAUCGUGAGAUGAGUAUUUCUCUCGUGCUUGACUGGAUGCUUGGCUUGCUUCGGUAGCAGUGGGGGUUGCUUUGGUGAGUGGUCUCUCUCUUAAGUGAUGUAAAAGUCCUUGUAAAACUAGUUAUAUAACAUAUUCAAUCCAUCCAUCCCGAGUUGCAGUUGACUUUAGUUGUAUUAAAUAUCUAUCUUUAAACAAAUUUAUACAAAAGAAUUGGCAUCCGUAACACUAAAUUAUUUUUAAAAAAAAUCACCAUGAAAUGUGUUUUAAUUAUUCAUUAAUCGGUAUUGUAGAUAUUAUUAUAUUUUUUAGUAGCACCAAAGAUGAACAAUUUAGAUGCAAAUUUGGAGAGCUACUUGAGAUUCUUUUUUGUAGUGAUAUGGGUGUAGAAUUUAGACAAAUAUAAGUGGUUAAUUUGAUUUAUUUUUUAAAAUGGUAGAGGUGUCCAAUUUAAAUAUAGAUAGGGGUUACCUUAGACUAGUUUCACAAGGGAGUGGUGGAUAAUUUGUAAGAAAAGAUAAAAGAUUGAAGAGCUAUUAGUAUCAAUGAUUUAUAGCCCGCCUGCGGUCGCCAUGAGCUCCGCCUGCGGACCUAAACACGACAUUGUCGAGUUGGCAGAUGGUUUGCCCUGACGCCUCCGCCAUCACGUCGCGCCUUGAUGUGGGGCUUGGAUCUUUAGCUGCCUUGAAUCCGAACAGUGUUUAAUGACUUGGUGUCUUGGAAUUAUUUAGCCUGUUCGGUUGGACUUAUAAGCCGGUUGAAAAGCUGAAACGGCUGAUUUAUUGUAAGAGGAAAAUACUGUUCGAUGACUGAUAAGCCGGCUGAUAAAGCUGAAACGAACAAGCUGAUUUAUAUUCUUGAUUGCCUUGUGAUGCUGUGGUUGCAUCCGUGUCUCUGUCCAGUUCUUGCCCGACCUCAACAGGGGAGUAGUGUUGAUAGUAUUGAUAGUAGAUCAGUCAUCACCCAUCAUCAGAUUUAACCAUUGCUUCAUACUUAUGGAGAUCUAUUUUUUGUAACUUUCCAGGAGGCUGGCCCGAGUACAGCGUCGAUAAUCGUCGAAUCUUCUUCUUCCGACGAGCCAGCUGCGCCGAUUCCUGAAAUAAGGGUAGCACUCCCACCAACACAAGCAGAAGAAAUCCGUUUUAAAGAGGUAAGAAACUUAACACCCAAAUCGGUCGAUUUUUUGCUGCCGUCGACUAAUCCGUCUUUUUAUUUUACUAGGAGCAGGAUACUCCCAACAACAGCCUUAUUUCUUUUGCGGUCGCGAUUUCUGAUGACGAGGAGGUCGCCUCACGCCAGGUCGCUCUGAGUUCACUUCCCGAUGAAGUCCGCGCCAAGCUCCAGAGUAUAUGGGUCCUUCUUCAGGAUGAUGUCGACUGAUUGGUGGAAGACGCCUUGCCGAUUCGGCAACUCUUCAGUGAAAUCAGAGGCCGAGUUCUAGAAGAAGCAGAAGAAGCUCUAGCACCCGUAGCAUAUAUCGAGCCAAUGCAAAUCCCGGUGUUCAGAGCUUUACGGCAUAUGGCCGACCGUGCUAAACUAGCAAAGGCACGUGAAGAGGAGGACUCCUACAAACAACGAGCUCAAGAAGUGCACCAGUGGAUCGACGUUCUUGAAAACUCCCGCUCGGACAUUGUUGGUGCCAUAGACCGCCUCAAGCGGCGAAGGGCAGAGGUCGCCAAGGAAAUGGAGCAGGUAACCAAAGCCAUAGCCGCUGAAGAGAAGAGGCUUCAUGAUCUCCCAUCUGUUAUCGCCGAUCUAAAGCAGGAGAGGCAGGCCCUUGCCCAUGAAGCUAUCCGACUUCACCGCAAUAUACCAGAAGUCCCUGGGUUGGCCGAUGAUGACCAAAGGAUUUUAGAUUCGGCCGAUCAGAUUUGGCAGUGAGCGAUUGCGGCCAUUAAUGCUCUCCUCGGGUGAAUUGUAGAAAACUCUGAAUGCUUUUGUACAAACAUUUAAUUUUCUUUUGCCGUUGUCGUGCGAAUUCAAACUUGGACCGUCCUCUAUCGCAGCUUUUCAUUUAAUAGUCCUUUACUCCGAUGGGACACGUUUUACCAAUCGUUACCCUUCAUCCUUUUCCUUCUAUAAGUAUGAGACCCUCGUAUCGCUUCUAAGGGCAUUCGCACCUGGCCCAGCCUCCUUUCCUCAAGUUGUCUUAGUUCCAUACUCUUAGACAAGGCUUCGAGAUGUCUUCCCCUUCCUCCGUCAAUCAGGUACGAGAUCUCCCUUCGUUCCUUCGCCCAGCAUUCAUCAAUCUAACGAUGGGUGAUUGUUUGUUACAUCCCAGCCGAGACGCCUUAGCCUUGGCCUGGAACGAGCCAUUGAGAUCAUGCACUCCGAGGAACCGCUGACGCAGGCGGACAGAGAUCUGAUCGAGGCCCAUCGCGAAGAACUCAAAGAUCAUAUCCCUGCUCAUAUCCAGAAGAUCUUGGAUCAUAUGGAAGCCAAUUGCUCCAGGCGGCCGCCAACCGAGAAGAGCCACCAACUACCUCAUCAGAUCGUUCUUGAGGACGCCAUGGCAGGAACAUCCCAACCGCCUCUCGACAGAAGCCACCAACUUCCUCGUCAAGUUGCUGUUGAAGCUGCCAUGGAUGAUUUGGAGGAAAAGAGCAUCCGCCUCUUAAUAGAACUAGGCCAGGUCGAGAAAGAGAGAAAGCCCAGCUAAAACGUGGUUAAUGAAUGUAUUGGUACUUUUGGUCUAAGGGCGACUUGUACCGUGUCAGCCAUGUAUCCUAUUGCUGUACCGAAUAAUAAAUCGGCCAGACUAGUCAAAGGUUCCGUCCUCAAGGCGAUGUCAUCUUUGCAUCGGCUAUAUGAACACAAGUCAAUAGGAGUCGGCCACGGCGUCUCAAAAUGCCAUGUCAUCGGUUACGCGUCCACCCAUAUGCUAGGGUAAUAUUUCUUCAAAUACCUUCCAUUUAAAGCUCUUGUGAAUUCCUCUCCUUCGAUAGUCUCUAAUAUGUACGCAUUUCCCGGAGCGCAUCGGCCGAUUCUAUACGGCCCUUCCCAAGUAGACGACCAUUUACCGAAUUUGGGAUCUUUAGAUCCUAUCGGCAGCACCAACUUCCAUACCAAAUCUCCCUAGGAGAAUUGCUUGACCUUAACCUUCUUGUUGUAUCACCUAGCCACCCUUUUCUUAUUUUCUUCGAUGUUGAUCAGGGCCCUUAAUCGCUGACCCGCCGAAUCGUCGAGCUCCCCCUUCAUGAGGAGGGAAUAGUCAUCGGCUUUCAAUUGAUCUUGAAGUGAUGUGCGUCUGGACCCCAUCCUUAAUUCCCAAGGCAAUAGUGCCUCGUGGCCGUACACCAACUGAUAAGGUGAUAUUUUAGUAGCCCCAUGGCAGGCCAUCCUAUAGGCCCAUAGAGAUUCAGUCAAGGAUGCGUGCCACUUCUUGGGCUGCUCCUCUAUCUUCCUAUUGAUCAACUUGAUUAUACCCUUAUUGGAUGAUUCGGCCUGACCGUUAGCUUGAGCAUAAUACGGAGAAGAAUUCAACAAUUUAAUUCCCAUAUCGGCGGUGAACUCUUCAAACUCUCCGAGGUGAACAUCGUCCCUUGAUCAGUUGUGAUAGUUUGAGGCAUACCGAACCGAUAAACAAUGUGGUCUCUCACAAAAUCGAUCGUGGCGGCCAAAGUCACGGUUUUCAGGGGGACUGCCUCCACCCAGUUGGUAAAGUAAUCAGUGGCUACUAAUAUGAACUUGUGUCCCUUGCUUGAUGGAGGAUAAAUCUGUCCGAUGAGAUCUAUUCCCCAACCCCUAAACGGCCAUGGCUUAACUAUUGGGUUUAUAGUCGAGGCUGGUGCACGCUGCACGUUGCCAAACUUCUGGCAAUCCUGACAUCCAUUAAAAUAUUUAAAGCAAUCCUCGAGUAUAGUCAGCCAAUAAUAACCAUUGUUCCUGAUCAUCCACUUCAUUUUGUGAGCUGUUUGAUGAGCCCCGCAUACGCCUUCGUGAAUUUCUCCCAUCAGAACCUUCGCCUCUUCCGUUCCAAGGCACUUGAGCAGAACCCCAUCAAUCAUCCGGUAAAACAAAUCAUCCUCAAGUAACACAUAUUUCAUGGUCUGAAAACAUAUUCGCCGAUCCACUUUCUUGGAUGGAUUUUUUAAGUAGUCGGCGAUCUCCUUUCGCCAAUUGUCGGCCAUAAGCUCCAGAGUCAUGGCGCCUUGAAUCGGCCGAUAUCCGAAAGCAUGUUGGGCAAGCCUGUUAGCCUCUUCAUUGUAAUUUCUAGGAAUAUGCUCAAUAACCGCAGACUUGAAAUCUUUUAACAACCGAAGGAAAUGUUCGUAGUAAAUCCUUAAGACAUCAUCUUUGCACUCAGACUUCCUCGUCAAUUGAUUGACAAUGAGCAUGGAAUCCCUGAAAAUCUCCACUGCAUCGGCUUUGAUCUCCCUCAAUAAUUGGAUACCUUUUAGGAUAGCCCGGUACUCUGCUUGAUUAUUGGUAGCGGACGCCUCUAUCGAUAGAGAGAAAUCAUAACUUGCCCCCCGAGGUGAUAUGAGGAUGAUGCUGAUUCCUGAUCCGGCCCCACACGAAGAACCGUCGAAGUACAGUGUCCAUGGAGCUGGCUCGACGAUGGCGAUUUCCGGUCCACAGUGCUGGGCUACGAAAUCAGCCAUAACUUGACCCUUGACCGCUUUGACCGAUUCGUACCUCAGGUCGAACUCUGAUAGAGCUAGAAUCCAUUUUCCAAUUCUUCCUUUCAAAAUCGGCAAUGAUAGCAUGUACUUUACUACAUCAUCUUUGCACAUGACUAUGCACUCUGCCGAUAACAGGUAGUGCCUGAGUUUGGUAUAUGAAAAAUACAGACAAAGGCACAACCGUUCCAUUGGGGAAUAUCUAGUCUCAGCGUCUAGGAGCCUUCUGCUGACAUAAUAGAUUACCCUUUCUUUACCUUCAAAUUCUUGUACCAGCGCCGAUCUGAUAGCUUGUUCUUCGGCCGACAAGUAUAGUCUGAACGGCUUGUCAGCCUGUGGCGGGACCAACACCGGUGGUGAGAUCAGGUACUGCUUGAUGUCUUCCAACACUUUUCGUUGUUCUUCUCCCCACACGAAUGCCUGGUCAGGUUUCAAUUUCAACAAAGGGGUGAAGGCUGGAAUACGCCCGGACAAGUUGGAUAUGAACCUUCUGAUAAAGUUAACUUUGCCGAUUAGGGACUGCAGCUCAGUUUUGUUCUGUGGGGCCACAACUUUAUUGAUGGCAGCCAUAAUUUUCUGGUUGACUUCUAUCCCGCGCUCAUGGACCAUGAAUCAUAGAAAUUGUCCAGCUGAAAUGCUGAAGGCACAUUUGUUUGGGUUCAUUUUCAAUCCAUGCUUCCUCGUGCACUCCAACACUUCUCGCAAUACCAUGAGAUGCGUGGUCUAGACCGGUCCAUCGUCGAGCACCAGUUGCCUAUAAAACUAGGAUACCGGCCGUAUCAGCAACCCGCACGACGGUGCAACCCUAAAAUCCUACCUGAUAUAAAGGCCAAGAUUACAAGAUUGAUUGAAGCAGGAUUUAUUCGGCAGUGCCGUUAUGCUGAGUGGAUUUCCAAUAUUGUACCCGUAUACAAGAAAAAUGGAAAGCUGCGCGUGUGCAUUGACUUCAGGAAUCUUAAUCAGGCUACGCCGAUGGAUGGGUAUCCAAUGCCAAUAGCCGAUGUUUUGAUAGACGCCGCCGUAGGACAUAAAGUCAUCAGUUUCAUGGACGGUAAUGCUGGGUACAAUCAAAUAUUAAUGGCCAAAGAAGACAUUUCAAAGACGGCUUUCAGGUGUCCAGGCCACCUCGGUUUGUUCGUGUGGGUGGUGAUGACCUUCGGUUUAAAAAAUGCCGGAGCUACAUAUCAACGGGCUAUGAAUUAUAUUUUCCACAAGCUUAUUGGUGUCCUGGUGGAAAUUUACAUCGACGACGUCGUGGUCAAGUCGAAAGGACAUCAGGAGCAUCUGGCCGAUUUGCGAGAUGUAUUGGAGUGCACAAGGAAGCAUGGAUUGAAAAUGAACCCAAACAAAUGUGCCUUCGGUAUUUCGGCUGGAUAAUUUCUAGGAUUCAUGGUCCAUGAGCGCGGGAUAGAAGUCAACCGAAAGAUUAUAGCUGCCAUCAAUAAAGUUGUGGCCCCGCAGAACAAAACUAAGCUGCAGUCCCUAAUCGGCAAAGUUAACUUUAUUAGAAGGUUCAUAUCCAACUUGUCCGGGCGUAUUCAAGCCUUCACUACUUUUUUGAAAUUGAAACCCGAUCAGGAAUUCGUGUGGGGAGAAGAAUAACAAAAAGUGUUGGAAGACAUCAAGCAGUACCUGAUCUCACCACCGGUGUUGGUCCUGCGACAUGUUGACAAGCCGUUCAGACUAUACUUGUCGGCUGAAGAACAAGCUAUUGGAUCGGCGCUAGUACAAGAAUUUGAAGGAAAAGAAAGGGUAAUCUAUUGUGUCAGCAGAAGGCUGCUAGACGCUGAGACUAGAUAUUCCCCAGUGGAACGGCUGUGCCUUUGUCUGUAUUUUUCAUGUACCAAACUCAGGCACUACCUUGUUGGGAUAUGAGGUAGGCUACACUAGCGCAAUUCAAAAUUUCUACCGCGUAUAACCAGGAAGAACUGCCGUAUAAGGAUCACGGGAUUACCACUCCACGCACUACUGGUGCGGAAGAUGUAGAUAUGCGUCGAUGCAGUGAAGACGAUCACGUAGUCGUACGUAGUCGAUCAACGUAGUCGUACGUAGUCGAUCACGUCCAGCAGCUCCUCAGCAGCUCGUCCACGUGCAGCAAGAUCGCCUCCGGUACCGCGGCUCGUCGUCGGCUCGUCGUGGCUCGUCGGCGGCUCGUCCAAGUGCUGCAGGCGCAACACCUCCAAGGUAUCCACACGUGCAGGGAGGAAGCGUCGCAAGCCGGAUUGCUAGAUCCGCGAGUUGCAACAGGCGAGGGCGUGGGAGGCGCGGCAGGUGUGUUUCGCCAAAAAGGUGUAAACCCUAGGGCGCCCCCACCCCUCUAUUUAUAGAGGUUCCUGAUGGGCCUCUGGAUCCGAGGCCCAUUAGUACCUCUAAACCUAAUCCAACUCGGAUCAGAUCCGAAUUGGGCUUCCAGCCCCUUAAGUGUGUGACCCUAUGGGUUCGGAUACGUAUAGACAUGGCCCGAGUACUUCUACUCGGCCCAAUAGUCGGUAGCGGCCUCUAGCAAGACGUGCCAACUCCUAUACGCACACGAAGAUCAUAUCAGACAAACCAUCACAACAUAAUAUACAUGCUAUUCCCUUUGCCUCACGAUAUUUGGUCUAGCUUCAAGCCGACCGCUCUUUCUCGAUCCUGUGAUUCGGAAUCCCUUUGUAGGUUAACUCUUAACCGUACGUAGCAUGGCCAUGCAUUUUUGGAUCCGAUCACUCGAGGGGCCCAGAGAUAUCACUCUCAAUCAGAGAGGGGCAAAUCCCAUCUUGACUGACCAUGUCUCAUAGCAUGCUUCUUGACAAACCCGAAAGCUACCUUUAUAACUACCCUGUUACGGCGUAGCGUUUGAUAGCCCCUAAGUAGGUCGAUCCACAUCUAGAAUACAUGCGACAAUCUCAGGUCUAAGGACAAAGCGUAUAUGUUGUUUAAAGAGAGAACUAUUUCUCGUGUUGGGUCAGUCCUAGCACAUGUCUCCACAUGCGUCCACAUUAUUAGUUCAACAUCUCCAUGUCCAUGACUUGUGAAACAUAGUCAUCAACUAAUACAUGUGCUAGUCUAAUAUUCAUGUGUGUCCUCACAUGAACUCCGACUAGGGACAACUUUAGAAUAACCAUACAAGUAAAGAGUUUCACAUACAAUUCACAUAAUUGCAAAUCAAUUCAAGUAGCCUUCAAUGGAUAUUCAAUGAACACAACAUACAAAUCAUGGAUACAAAUGGAAUAUCAUCAUCUCUAUGAUUACCUCUAGGGCAUACCUCCAACAUACCUGUCGUGUGCAAAGAUGAUGUGGUAAAGUACAUGCUAUCAUUGCUGAUUUUGUAAGGAAGAAUUGGAAAAUGGAUUCUAGCUCUAUCAGAGUUUGACCUAAGGUACGAAUCGGCCAAAGCUGUCAAGGGCCAAGUUAUGGCCGAUUUCGUGGCCUAGCAUUGUGGACCGAAAAUCGCCGUCAUCGAGCCAGCUCCAUGGACACUGUACUUCGACGGUUCUUCAUGUGGGGCCGGAUCAGGAAUUGACAUCAUCCUCAUAUUGCCUUGGAGAAACUCUUUCUCUAGGAAAACCCCGUUCCGAGCGACAAACACUUUGCCUUCUGAUCGGUUGUAGAAAUAAUAUCCCAAAGUUUCCUUUGGAUAUCCCACGAAAAUGCACUUAUCCGACUUGGGUGUGAUCUUGUCGGACUGAAGUCGCUUGACAAACACUUCACAUCCCCAAAUCUUUAGAAAAGACAAACUAGGAACCUUUCCAGUCCAUAUCUCAUAUGGUGUCUUAACUACGGAUUUAGAUGGUACCCUAUUUAGUGUGAAAGCUGCUGUUUCUAGAGCGUAUCCCCAAAAUGACAACGGUAGGUCCGACUGGCUCAUCAUUGAUCGAACCAUGUCUAACAAAGUUCGAUUACAUCGCUCGGACACACCGUUUCUCUGAGGUGUUCCAGGCGGCGUAAGUUGUGGAACAAUUCCGCAACUCUUUAGAUGAUUGCUAAACUCGUGGCUCAAAUACUCACCUCCACGAUCAGAUCGUAAGGCCUUAAUUUUCUUGCCACGCUGAUUUUCAACUUCAUUCUGAAAUUCCUUGAACUUUUCAAAGGUUUCAGACUUGUGCCUCAUCAAGUAGACAUAGCCAUAUCUACUAAAAUCAUCAGUGAAAGUUAUGAAGUAUUGGAAUCCUCCUCUAGCUGUCGUGCUCAUUGGUCCGCAUACAUCACUAUGUACGAGUUCCAACAAGUCUACUGCUCUCUCAGGAAAUUCUGUGAAAGGCGUCUUGGUCAUCUUGCCUAGCAAACAAGCCUCGCAUGUCUCGUAUGAUUCAAAAUCAAACGAAGUUAGAAGUCCAUCAGAAUGGAGCUUCUUCAUGCGCUUUUCACUUAUAUGACCCAAACGACAAUGCCACAAGUAGGUAGGACUCAAAUCAUUAGGCCGAGGCCUUUUAGCACUUACAUUACAGAUAGGUGAACCAUCAAGAUUUAAAACAAAUAAUCCAUUCACAAUGGGUGCAAAAGCCAUAAACAUAUUAUUCUUAGAGAUCACACAACCAUUGUUUUCACUCGCAAAUGAAUAACCAUCCUUCAUCAAGCAUGAAGGAGAUAAAAUGUUUCGACUUAAACUAGGAACAAAAUAACAAUUAUUCAACUCCAUAAUAAAUCCUGACGGGAGGUGGAGUUGCAUCGUCCCGACGGUCAAAGCAGCAACUCUUGCAUUAUUGCCCACGCGGAAAUCAACUUCUCCUCUUUCCACGCUUCUACUUCUUAUCAUUCCCUGCAUCGAAUUGCAAAUAUGAGCAACCGAUCCGGUAUCAAAUACCCAAGAAUUAAUAAUUGUAUCAGCGAGAAAUAUGUUGUCUAUAACAUUAACAACAAGCGUACCUGAGGUAGAAGUACUCUUACUUCCGCCGUUCUUCAACGAAGCUAGGUACUGCUUGCAGUUUCUCUUCCAGUGACCAAGUUCAUGACAGUAAAAGCACUCUUUAUCUGGAGCAGGUCCAGCUUUAGCCUUGGGCGCUGGGUUUGGCUUGGACACUCCAGCCUUGCCCUUCUUCUUCCAAGAAUUGCCCUUCUUCUUAAAGGUAGGCUUGUUCUGUACAGCCAUCACAUGGCUGGUACUAGCGCUUUUCUUAAUGUCUACCUCUGCUAUCUUGAGCAUACCACACAGUUCAUUCAGACCCUUCUCCGUCCCAUGCAUAUGGUAGUUCGAGAUGAAGUUCCCAUAGCUAGGCGGAAGAGAUGAAAGAAUGAAGUCAGUGGCCAACUCUUUGCCCAUUGGGAAGCCCAGCUUCUCCAAUCGCUGAGUGUAACCAACCAUCUUGAUUACAUGUGGUCCUACUGCUGCGCCUUCUGCUAACUUGCACUCCAGAAAGGCUUUGGACACAUUGAACCUUUCGGUCCUAGCCUGUGUCUGGAACAUGUCCUUGAGCGCCACGAUCAUAUCGUGUGCCUCAUGAUUUGUUUCGAACUGCAUCUGCAGCUCGGGUUCCAUGCAAGCAAGCAUAAGGCAGCUUACCUCAAGAUUAGCAUCAAAUGCCUUCUUGUAAGCAGCCUUAACAGCAACAGAUGCAUCAUCAGCAGGUACUGGUGGUAGUGGGGUGUCUAGAACAUCUUCCUUUUUUCUCAGCCCUGAGAACAAUUCUCAGGUUACGGAUCCAAUCCGAGUAGUUUGUUCCAUUCAACUUGUCCUUCUCAAGGACCGAACGCAAAGCAAACGAUGCGGUGGUGUUGCUAGGUGCCAUUUAAUCUACAACAAAAGUAAUGCAAAAUACACUAAGACAAACGUAUCCAUGAUAGAGCAAAUUACAUUAAACUAUUUUAACAGAAUCUACUCCCACUAAAAUCAAUAUCCCUCUAUUGAAACUUAGUGAUUCAGGAUCCACAACUAACAAGUCCACUAGUGAGCUUUAGCAUCACCGCUAGCAAACGAGGUAGAUCGGUAAGCAACUUUUGCUAAUCAUAUCACAUAUGACUCCUGUUGUUGGGUGACAUCUCUAUGUCUCGGCGCCCAACCUUUAUGCCCCAAGGUCCUUAACCGUUAAGAUAACCUUGUUAAGCAAACCAACCCUUAUGCGUGUAAGUGUCCGACACAAACCCGUCUAGUCAAGGAAAACUAGUGGCACCCUAAUUUCAUAGACCCACCACUAAUUGUACAAGACAUGGGACGGUGCAAGUUUUAGUUGGGAGGGCAUACUAACUUAAACUUUGUGAGGGAUCGUUCUACUUCUAACAUCACAGCAUGCAGAAAGUAAAACAUAAAUAGAAUAGCAUUCACACAGUUGUGACACAGUAUGGCCCGUUUUCAUAUGGUGAUCUCCAUCUCCAUAGAACCUGUUCACCAUGGUGAUCUCCAUCUCCAUGUUCCAUGUGCGCCAUCCUCCUGGUGAUGAGUCCUCCAAGAACUAGAGCAUGCUAUUACGCCUAAUAGCUAGUAAAGAAUCUAGUAAUGAAGAUUACAUAGUUGCUUGGAUCAUCACAGAUUGGUACGCAGACCAUUAAAUACAAUAAAGUGACAACACAUAUGGCUCCUGCCGUGUUGCCGUACGCGCGACACGCAGGUCACGAAUGAGUUACACACAUGCAUCACAUACACAAGGGGGCCAUACUGAUCACAAGAUACAUGCAUACAUUCUGCAAAACAGAGUUAGGCGUCCUAACGUUACAAACUUUGGAGGCCCGAAACUCCAUCUUCCAAGACGAAUUUGGGAAAUCUAAUUUCGCCGAAAACGGCAUUGCCGUUGAAUUUCAUGUGUAACUUUUUCUGUAGAUCAAUUUUCAUAUAAAAUUCGCCCCGAUCCGAGAUCGUACCGAAAAGUUACGGCUGAUUUACCGAAGCAUACGCAUACGGCAAAAUCCCGACCCCGGCAGUAGAUCCCAUGUACUAUUGCACAUCUAAUGCGCCUGGCGUAUGACCCUGGAUCUCGAUUCGACCAAUCAUAUUGAUCUUCGCUCACUGCAACUGGAUUUACGUGUAUCACUUAACUCCGAUGGCGGAAACCGACCGGUAUGAGUAUGUCGUUACACUACCAUUGCAGCAAGGGCACGAAACCAGGACAUAGAUCAAACAGAAAACUCGCAUAUCUCCAUAUGCUCACAUCCCGAAUCCAAAACUAAGCAGCUACGGCUCUGAUACCACUGUUGGGAUACGAGGUAGGCUACACUAGCGUAAUUCAAAAUUUCUACCGCGUAUAACCAGGAAGAACUGCCGUAUAAGGAUCACAGGAUUACCACUCGACGCACUACUGGUGCGGAAGAUGUAGAUAUGCGUCGAUGCAGUGAAGACGAUCACGUAGUCGUACGUAGUCGAUCACGUCCAGCAGCUCCUCAGCAGCUCGUCCACGUGCAGCAAGAUCGCCUCCGGUACCGCGGCUCGUCGUCGGCUCAUCGUGGCUCGUCGGCAGCUCGUCCAAGUGCUGCAGGCGCAACACCUCCAAGGUAUCCACACGUGCAGGGAGGAAGCGUCGCAAGCCGGAUUGCUAGAUCCGCGAGUUGCAACAGGCGAGGGCAUGGGAGGCGCGGCAGGUGUGUUUCGCCAAAAAGGUGUAAACCCUAGGGCGCCCCCACCCCUCUAUUUAUAGAGGUUCCUGAUGGGUCUCUGGAUUCGAGGCCCAUUAGUACCUCUAAACCUAAUCCAACUCGGAUCAGAUCCGAAUUGGGCUUCCAGCCCCUUAAGUGUGUGACCCUAUGGGUUCGGAUACGUAUAGACAUGGCCCGAGUACUUCUACUCGGCCCAAUAGUCGGUAGCGGCCUCUAGAAGGACGUGCCAACUCCUAUACGCACACGAAGAUCAUAUCAGACGAACCAUCACAACAUAAUAUACAUGCUAUUCCCUUUGCCUCACGAUAUUUGGUCUAGCUUCAAGCCGACCGCUCUUUCUCGAUCCUGUGUUUCGGAAUCCCUUUGUAGGUUAACUCUUAACCGUACGUAGCAUGGCCAUGCAUUUUUGGAUCCGAUCACUCGAGGGGUCCAGAGAUAUCACUCUCAAUCAGAGAGGGGCAAAUCCCAUCUUGACUGACCAUGUCUCAUAGCAUGCUUCUUGACAAACCCGAAAGCUACCUUUAUAACUACCCUGUUACGGCGUAGCGUUUGAUAGCCCCUAAGUAGGUCGAUCCACAUCUAGAAUACAUGCGACAAUCUCAGGUCUAAGGACAAAGCGUAUAUGUUGUUUAAAGAGAGAACUACUUCUCGUGUUGGGUCAGUCCUAGCACUUGUCUCCACAUGCGUCCACAUUAUUAGUUCAACAUCUCCAUGUCCAUGACUUGUGAAACAUAGUCAUCAACUAAUACAUGUGCUAGUCUAAUAUUCAUGUGUGUCCUCACAUGAACUCCGACUAGGGACAACUUUAGAAUAACCAUACAAGUAAAGAGUUUCACAUACAAUUCACAUAAUUGCAAAUCAAUUCAAGUAGCCUUCAAUGGAUAUUCAAUGAACACAACAUACAAAUCAUGGAUACAAAUGGAAUAUCAUCAUCUCUAUGAUUGCCUCUAGGGCAUACCUCCAACAUACCUGUUAUCGGCGGAGUGCAUAGUCGUGUGCAAAGAUGAUGUGGUAAAGUACAUGCUAUCAUUGCUGAUUUUGUAAGGAAGAAUUGGAAAAUGGAUUCUAGCUCUAUCAGAGUUUGACCUAAGGUACGAAUCGGCCAAAGCUGUCAAGGGCCAAGUUAUGGCCGAUUUCGUGGCCUAGCAUUGUGGACCGAAAAUCGCCGUCAUCGAGCCAGCUCCAUGGACACUGUACUUCGACGGUUCUUCAUGUGGGGCUGGAUCAGGAAUUGACAUCAUCCUCAUAUUGCCUUGGAGGGCUAGUUAUGAUUUCUCUCUGCCGAUAGAGGCAUCCGCCACCAAUAGUCAAGCAGAGUACCGGGCUAUCCUAAUAGGUAUCCAAUUAUUGAGAGAGAUCAAAGCCGAUGCAGUGGAGAUUUUUGGGGGAUUCCAUGCUCAUUGUCGAUCAAUUGAUGGGGAAAUCUGAAUGCAAAGAUGAUGUCUUAAGGAUUUACUACGAAGAUUGCCUUCGGUUGUUAAAAGAGUUCAAGUCUGCGGUUAUUGAGCAUAUUCCUAGAAAUUAUAAUGAAGCGGCCAACAGGCUUGCACAACAUGCUUCCGGGUAUCGGCCGAUUCAAGGUGCCAUGACUCUGGAGCUUACGGCCAACGAUUGGCGAAAGGAGAUCGCCGAUUACUUAAAAGAUCCGUCCAAGAAAGUGGAUCGGCGAAUACGUUUUCAAGCCACGAAGUAUGUGUUACUUGAGGAUGAUUUGUUUUACCGGACGAUUGAUGGGGUUCUGCUCAAGUGCCUUGGAAUGGAAGAGGCGAAGGUUCUGAUAGGAGAAAUUCACGAAGGAGUAUGCGGGGCUCAUCAAUCAGCUCACAAAAUGAAGUGGAUGAUUAGGAACAAUGGUUAUUAUUGGCCGAUGAUACUCGAGGAUUGCUUUAAAUAUUAUAAAGGGUGUUAGGAUUGCCAGAAGUUUGGCAACGUGCAGCGUGCACCAGCCUCGGCUAUGAACCCAAUAAUUAAGCCGUGGCCGUUUAGGGGUUAGGGAAUUGACCUCAUCGGACAGAUUUAUCCUCCAUCAAGCAAGGGACACAAGUUCAUAUUAGUAGCCACUGAUUACUUUACCAAGUGGGUGGAGGCAGUU